UUAUUCUGUUAUGGGCUUACUUUUCUUUGUUGUUUCUUGUAGGUGUGAAAGAAAUGUCUCGGAAUUAGUCCAUAUGAUUUUUGACAAUAAAUCAUACGCUGAUCCGGCUAUUCUUUUACCUCCUGUUCGUGCUCCAACUCUUACUGCAAUCUCCAGCGUUGCAUCCUUCACUCGCUUUGUUAGUGACUUUCUAUUUUUAUACCGCAGCUUUUUCCUUUGCUGUUGUUUUUUCCCUUUUCUGUAGUUGUUUUGCUGAGUAGUUGCUACUCUCUGUUGUUUUGAGGAUCAAGCAACCGUCUGGAUUAAGGGCCGUGUUGAAAUUGCGUGUCCAAUGACUCGCUUUUGGCAUCUCACCUGACCCCACUGUUAUCAGCCAUAUGAUUUUUCCAUUACCUUAGGGAUCUGGUGUCUUUCUUGCGGCCUGGGAAUGUCUAUUUUUCCAAGGUUCAUUCCAUGUUUGGUAUUAGUUAGUUGCUUUGGUUCCAAUUAGUCUUUUUUUCAAAUGGCUUUGUUUUCUCCUGCUGGUUAUUUCCUUUCGCUUGCGUAGGGUAUGGAUUAGAUUUUUUAUUCAUGACGAUACUGGCUAUGUAAGUGUUGUCACUCUGGGUGCUGAAGCUGAAAAGAUAAUUGGACUUAGUGCAUUUCAAUUGUACCAGACUGUUGAUGACGAGGUUGUGUUUUCCUUUCCACUGUUCGGAGCUUUGUUCACUGUAGUUGUGCCUUGCUAUCCGCUAUUUUCUUAUCCCUGUUUUUUUAUCUGUGCAGUUUUUUGGCCUGUAUAGACAAGUUCGCCGUCGCCUAGAACGGAAGAACCUGUUGUGUUAUAUAAAGCAUUCCUCAGAUGUGAUUAGGUCAACGGCCAUCGCCAAGUUCACAGUUGUUACUUGCUAUUUGUGUUAGGAUCAAGGCUGCUCUUCCGAUUGCCAUGUUGCUCUUGGCUAUUGGCCUUCUUGAUCUUUUGAGCCUUUGAGUCUGAUGUUAUGUAUGGACUGUAUUUUGUCUGUUAGGUUACUUUUUUACUUGAUCUGUAAUUCAGUUGCUUGUAAAUAAUGAGGAGCCUUUAUCCUCCCACAUUCAGAGUUUGGUUCCAAUAACCAAUUGUUUAAGGACCUUUGUCAGCAAUGCCUCUGUGUCAGCAAUGCCCAGUUGUGGCUUUUUUCACACGGGAUUUGCGCCUUGGAUGUUUAAGACAUUCCCAGUUCCGGUACUACAUUUGUUUCCCUCCAUCCCAUUUACCUACUGAAAACUUGUGGAGUGAUUAAUUUUGUUUGAGAAGAAGCUCUUUUUUUUAUGCUCGUUUCUUGCUGUGAUUCUAUUUUUUAAGGAUGAAGAAAAGAAAAGCAUGUAGAAAACUUGUCACGGAUUGCAUGUGCAUUGUUUUGGUAUUUUAUGCUUUAUUGAAUUGAUAAAACAGGGGAUGACACUGUAAUUGGGAAUGGUGAGGAUGAUGAUGGAGCAGGGCCAUGUGGUGGAAAGUUCAAGAAGUUAUUAAUUUUCUCUAGGAAUGAUUACCUAGGCUUGAGUUCCCACCCAACUGUUAUCAAGGCCGCAGUAAAGGUAAUUUUUUUUAAUCAAUAUGUUGUUGAGUUAUGGAUUCUCCUGAUAUCAAAUGGAGAAUUUUGGUUAAUAACUUGUGUUGUGUUGUGGUUUCCCCUGACAAAUUAGGCAGCUCAGUUGCAUGGGAUGGGACCUAGAGGUCAAGCAUUAAUUUGUAGUUACACAAAUAACCACAGGUUGCUGGAGUCGGCGUUGGCAGACUUAAAGAAGAAAGAGGUAGUUUCAAAAUUUUCAUUCAGUACCCAGUAAAUGCAGAUUUUUCAAAAGGUUUUAUUGAUAAUAUUUUUAUUUCAGAACUCUAAACAAUCAAGUGAUAAGAAAAGUGGUUUUGACAAUCCAUAUGACAAAAUUUUUAGUUAGGUGUGAUUCAACUAGGUCUUGGUUGCAAUGAAGCUUAAACCCAAUGAAUUGGUUCUUGCCUCCCAUGUCUAUUGCAGCAAUAUAUUCAUUAUAGAUUUCAUUUCUUUAGAAGGCAACAUAUAUCACGUAUAAACAAAUUGGAUGUAACUUCCUAUUUCAUGUACUAUGGUCAAUAGAUGGUCAAACUUUACCUGCUAUGCUUUUGAUCGUAAUGAAGGGUUGAUGCUGCUGGAUUUAGACUGAUGAAUUCUUGCUCUAAUGUCACAUAUUAGGAUUGCCUUCUUUGUCCCGCAGGCUUUGCAGCCAACAUGGCACUUAUCACAGCAGUUGGAAGUGUUGGUUUGCUGUUAGCUGAAGGGGGAAAACCUAAAAGGGAUGCAAGAGUUGCCAUUUUUUCUGAUGCACUCAACCAUGCAUCAAUUAUCAAUGGUAUCCGCCUUGCUGAGAAACAAGGGAGUUUAGUCAACAUUGAGCGUUUGUAUUGGUCUUUAUACUGGUGCCUUCGCUUAACCAUUACGUUUCUUGCAUCGAUGCUGCUGGCUUCUGUAAAUUCAAAAUGCUCUUCCGAAAUACAAAUGUCUCCAUGGUCUUCAACAAGGAGAAAUAUUUGUAUUCAUACCCCAGUCCCGUACAUCCCUUGCUGUUUUAAUUUUCGGAAUCAACGGCAUAGAAAUCAUGUAUCCAUGGCAUCAUACAUUUCACCUUUAAUAUAUUAGUAGCUUUGAUUACCAAAUUAGUAUAUCGCAUCCAUUACCAGAUUAGCUUGUUCCAUUUGUUCAACAGUUUUCGAUUGUUAACCAAUACAUAUACCUCCACUAUUACUUCUGAUCUAAUAUUACUUAUCAAUAAAGCCAACUAUUAUUUACACAAUUUUAAUCUUUCAUGGGCAUUCACGUUUUAUAUUCCACCGCGCGAAGCGCGGUUUACCUCUCCUAGUACCUCUCUAAGUUGGUAACUGUGCCCCAACUGGUCAAAAAAUUAUUCCUUUUUAGGCAUCGAGUUUCGAAAAAAUUUUGUAUUUAUCCUUGCUAACUUGUAGAAAUUCAAUAUACGUAUAUGCAUUCGUAUACUAGCAAUAAUAUCCAUUGCAUUUUUGAAAGUUGUUAAGGAGCAACUUCAGAUCAAUUCAGAUACGAUUAGUGCAACUGCAAGGGGAGCCCAUCUCCAUCUCUCAUGCAGGGAUCUUCCUCAAUUUUCCUCUCAAAUUUUUACGGCAGCUGAAGGAGAAACAAAUCCCACCUCCAGAGCUAGCAAGGAUUUCUUUCUUGAAAUUUACUUCCUUUUUUUUUUUUUUUUGUCUUUUUUGGCUGGGAUCGUGAAGAAGAGAAAUGCGAUAUUCAACUAUCCAACAAACAAACGGAGCAAGAAAGAAAAAAUCAACAAAGUAGUCGAGGCAAUGUUGUGAACUUGUAAUCAUACUCAAGGAGUACCCGUUUGGCAUUGUCCAUUAAGAAAGGCUCCCUGAUCAAGUGCCUCAAGGGCAAUGUUUUUUGUUUUGAAAGAUUUAUUCCUUUUUAUUAUAUAAGACCCUUUUGCAUGUUGGCCUAGUUACCUUGGUUAAAGACAGAAAAAAGAAAAGAAGGGGCCAAAAAAAAAAGAAAAAAAAUUUAAGAAGACAGGUUUCGAGAACAGAAGGGGCCAAAAAGCAAUUUUGUGUUGGAAUCAUCAUAAAGCCAUCUCGAUUAAGUAAAGAAAUUUUUGUUGUUUAUGGACUCAUUCACACUCGUAUUCAAUCAAGAACCUUGCACCUAGACUUGCUUUUAGUUUUAAAAAGAUUUAUUCCUUUUCAUUAGGUACCUGUGGAUUCGACCCUACUCACCGCUAUAUACAAAAUCUGUAUUUUUCUCGAGUAGGUAUUUAUUAUUGCACAGGUUCGGCACCUGUCAAUUUUUGGCGCCGUUGCCGGGGACUGGUGUCAGAUUAAUUUGUUUCUUUUUUUCAUUUUGUUUUUGUUUUUAUUUUUAUUUUUAUAUUAUUUUUCUCAUAUUUUUUUUAUAUAGUUUAUGGCUUCUAACACUCCAUAUUUUGGUAAUAGUCUGGAUCUUGUUUGCGGGGAAGGCGAUGAGACUAGUUUUUUUGCUAAGUUUGCAUAUUCAGAGGCACUAAACUCUAUUAGAGAAAGAAUGGCUGCUGCAACCCGUAAAAUUUGUUAUGCCAGGGAUCAUUCAACCGGUAUGUGCCCCGAAUAUCAAGAUAAUCUGAGUGUCCCCCUCAAUAAUUAUGGAGAUUUUUCACCCUGGUCUCAAACGUGGUAUAACCCUAAUCCAAACGGGUAUGAUCAAGAAUGGUGGGAUAACUCCGAUUAUAAUUAUACAACGGGGCCAAUGAAUUUUCAGCAGUACGAGUCUCAAGAAUCGUCAUCUAUGUCAGGUAUGUCUCUUGAAGAAAUAGUUGAAUCAAUAGCUAUUAAUACAUAUCAAUUCCAACAGGAGACACAAAGGAGAAAUGAGAUGAUGAAGGAGGCAAUGAGUAAUCUGGAAGAUCAAAUGUGUCUAUUGACAUCCAGAAUAAAUCGACUGGCUUCUCAAUUUGAAGAAUUGCCCUCGAAAACCAUUGUUGAAAAUGAGAGUGCAAUUUGCCUGACUAGUGAUGAAGAACUGCAAGAUUUUCAAGAAGAGAGAUGUACAGAUGCAGUUGAAAAAGAACCCGAAAAGGAAGAAAUUGAACCCCAACUGCAACCCAUUCAAGUGAAAGAAUCCAGUGAAGAAUCAGCAAAUGUGGUGACACCACCUCCAUUCCCUAACCUGCAUUUUCUUAACUCUUACUCUAUGAUUUCUGUUAAUGAGAUUGAUUUUGUUAUACCGGAAGUUCUUGAGUCUCAUGGCAGGAAUGAAUUAAGAGUAGCUAUGGUCAAAUAUCUUGAACCGUUGAAUGCUCUUGACGGAGGAGUGGAUGAAGAAUUGCGAUCAAUGCUUGAUUAUUUGGCGCCCUCAACUAGUCCAUGGAAGACCGUAACUCGUGUGCUCAAAGAUUACUCUAUCUAUGAGGGUUACCAGGAUCACAUUGAAGAUGAAGCAUUGAAGCGAGCCACAAGAUUUUAUCCUCCAUGAACAAGCAUAGCAUGUCUAGCCAAAGACAUUAAAGAAAGGCGCUUUUUGGGAGGCAACCCGAAUAUUGAUUUUAUUGGUUUUAGUUGUUUAUUUCUUUCGUUUUGUCGUUUCUCCAUUGGGUAGUAUCAAGGCUAAUAUCUCCUCCACUGUGACCAGGAAGUGAAAUCUUGGCGUGCCCGCGCGGUGUUUGUGUUUUCUGAGACCAGAGGACGAAGACCAAUCUUGGCGUGCCCGCGCGGUGUUUGACGACCCAAAAAUGAAUUCAAAAAAAAAAAAAAAUUUUUAAAUUUUAUUAUUACAAAAAAAAAAAAAAAAAAUUUCAGCAAUUUCCAAUUGGGACGAUUUACAUUAAGCGUAAGUUUUAUUAAAAAAAAAAAAAAAAAACAAUUUCCCUUUUCUCUUUUCUUUUUUCUUCUUUUUCCUCUUUUCUUUUUCUUUUUCUUUUCUUUCUUUCCUUUCUUUCCCUUUUCUUCUUCUUCUUCCCCGCUGCCUGGUUUUUUUUUCUUUUUCCUUCUUUUCUUCUUCAGCCGAUGCUCCUCCAUCGCGCGUCGCCGCCUCCCUCGCUCACCUCCAAAUCGCCGCGCCUCUCUCUUCCCACCGCGACAGCCGCACGCCACCAGCUCCACCUCACUCACCCUCGCCCGCCUCCAGCGUCAUCCGCAACCAGAGCCGCCGCUGGCCCCAAGCUCCACGACCACCACCACCUCGCGAGCUGCAGCCACGCAGCCGCCUGCCAUCGCCUCCUCCUAAGCCGCGCCCAUCCACCAGUCGCAACCCUUUGAGAUCAGCCCACGACGCGCGCCCGCAGCACAGCAGCUCCACCUGGGCGACCUUCUCUCUCGCCCAUCCUCAGCUCAGCCCACGCAGCCCGCGCGCCGCCGCUCCACCAGCAGCUUGCGGCCAAGGCGCGCCGCUCGUCAACCCCGCCUUCCAGACCAACAACCCCAGCGCACGCCCUCGCGCGAUACCAGCUGCAAGACGCCGCCGGCCCACGCUGCCGCUCCGUCGCACGUGGCCUUCUCCCUGAAGAUCUCUACUUCCUCCUGAGCUCGUGCGCUACCACCAACCCUGCAGCCCUCCAUCCGACGCCACUAGCCGCCGCUAGCCCUCUCUGUUCCAUUGCCGACUUCCACUGGCUGCCGCCCGUGAGCCCAGCCCAAGCUGCUCACGAGCUCGGCCCUCGCUGCACGCGGUCCCUCUCUGCCAAGCUCCACUUCGACCAGCAGUCCGGCCAAGCCGCGCCUCUCUUCACUUUCACCCUGUGCGCCGCUGCUUGUCGCGAGCUCAUCACCAGCCCUCCAUCAGGUCGCACGCCACCAGGAACCUAACAGUCCCCACGCCGUCACCACCUGUCGGUUUCUGACAGGUGGAGGUAUCGUGACUUCUUCCCCUAAUUAGUCUCCAUCUCUGAAAUUUGUGGUUGGAUUUCUUGUUAGAUACAGGAGGGUGGUACUUGGGCAUUUUCUAGGAUAAAUUUUGGACAGAUUUGGGGGUAAUGGCUGCCAUAUGUGGGAAAAUUCUCUGAUAUUUAUUGAAUUGCUGGCCAUUUGCUUUAAUUUUUUUUCCCUGUGACUCACCAGUGGUACUGGUUGAGCACUUUAGCCUAUCAUUGUUGCUGUUUUUGGAGACACUUGCUUAUUUUCAAGUUUCAGUUUUGGUGGAUUGAGUUGCUACCGUUGAAUUUAAUUCUUUCCUGUCUGUGCACCAGUGGUACUGGUGGGAGUGUUUUGAUUACAUUCGUUGAUUUUUUUAUGGUCGCCUGACUGUUUGCGAGCUACUAACGUUGUACUUCAGUUGUGGUCGCACUUUGACCUGUGGUUGCUGAUAUUGCCAAUUGCUUGGCUAAAUUGCAAAUUUGGUUAAUUGUAUUGGGUAAUUGACUGUCCAGUUGGAAGCAGUUGUUACUACUUUGGGGUCCAAGUGUGUCUCAUUUGCUGAAAUUUGUGUCCAAUUGUGGGUGAAUUGCUGCUAUUGCUUAUUGGGGGCGCCCGUGACGCUUCUUUUUGCUUAUUGAUAUUGGUUGCAUGUUCUAAGCGGUUCUCGUGACUGAUUGCUUGUUUUUGGACGGCUACUGUGCUCCUCCUUUGUUUAUUGCUUAUUAGUUGUGUCUUAUUGACUUGCUUGGGGUCUUUGGAGCAGUUGUUGCACUUUGGACGGCCUUAAUUCUGAAUUUGACUACAUGGGGUCCAUGAGUACUUAUUGAUUGCAUUUGCUAUAAGUGUUGGGGUCUGGUUUAAUCUAUAGGAGGUUGAAUUGUGCAUUUUGCUCAUUGGGAUGGCUUUAAAAAUUGUUAUUGCUUUGAAUUUGACUACAUGGUGAAGCCACGAAUGGCACCAGCUCCAGAUGCGAGUCGAGAGACUAGAGACUCGGAUGACCCACAUUGACGUCACCAUGCAAGUCUUGAUCCCCAAUUUCCACCUGAACUGCCCCUGUUUUGAUGACUUCAGGGAAGUACCGUUGCCCCUCUCCUUCCUUCUACUUUUACAUUAUCACAUUGAGGGCAAUGUGUGAAUUAGGUGUGGGGGGGAAUCAUUGUGGUGCUAGAAAUUUUGUUUUUAGUUUCUAGAGUUUUUUGUUUUUCUUUAUUUUUUUUUUGUUUGUUUUUUGUCCAUCUUUCGUUUAUUUUCUUUUCUUUUCUUUUUUUCUAGUGGUCAGUCUUCAUAUGAAUACCAAGUUUUGAUGUUGGAUUGUUGUCUCUGAUUCUGAUGUUGCCAAGUUUAUUAAUAAAAGGUAUCGAGUUGAUGUGGUUGAGUUCAGGAACAUCUUUCUGGUGAAUAUCAAUAAUUGCUUGACUUUUCUAAUUUUUAGUUAACUUUUCUAGGCAUAGGGAAUGAUUGUUGGCAUUUUUCUCGUGAAUUGGUCCAAUUAUUAAUUUUAGUUCUCCAUGUUUGGAAAUUUGAGGCUGGCUGCUGUUAUUUUUGUGUUAUUUUUAGUUAUUGUGCUAUAUGGUUAUAAAUAAGAGCUGACUGUACUCCGCUAGUGAUUACUACUGAGUAACCGGGAAUCUUCACCUAAAGUGUUGAUUUUCGCGACAAAAGGUAGUAGUUGCUAUGAGUGCGCGGUCCCGUAGCAAUUAGAGCUGAGUAACCGGGCUCUUCCAUCUGUCAAAUGUUGGAGUUCGCGUCAAAAAGCUCUAAGGGCUAUAGACUAAGUCUUUUGUUAUUGGUAAAAAAUAAAAAAAAAUAAAAAAAUAAAAAAAUAAAAAAAGAUUGUGUUAGUAUGUGAACAAGUCAGCUUGCCGGUUUGUGAUCUUAGUGUCGAGAUUUUGGUUAAUAGCUGGACCAUUUACUGAUAAAUGUGAGCAACCAUUCCUUUUUCUUAGAUUAGUUUGCUUUAAAUUGGAAAAGUUGGUGGUUGGGAAGCUAACUGGGGGGAUGCUUCUUGGAUUUUAAUUACUAAUGCCCGAUAUAUGGUUCUCUCUUGAAUAUCUUGGCAAUUUGGUAGAUAGAGCAAUGACCAUUAUCAAAUUUUGGUGUCUGUAUACUUUCCCCAUGCUUGAGGGCAAGCAUGAUUCAGGUGUGGGGGGAAUUGAUAGAGUAUAAUUUGUUAGUAAAUUUAUUAUUGAUUUCCCCUUCUAUCCCUGACAAAUAUUGUGUUAAUUGCUGAUAUUUACUCAUAUUUGGUAUUUGGAAUCAAUUUCAGGAGUGAAGCAGAAAAUUACCAAAAAUGAGGGACUUGUAUGGAAAAAUGCAGACUUCUAAGGGCUUCAACCUUUAGGUCCUUGAAUUGGUGGGGACCACAAGCUAGUGCAAGGCAUUUAGUCAUUUGGGCUUUUCAAAGAAAGCAACGUAGAGAGACUUGGAACAACAAGUACUUUGGAGGUUUUGUCCACAUGUGCGGGGACCACGGAUAAGAAGCAUGAGUCAUUUGGACUCUAGGAAAAGAAACGUACAAGACUUUGAAUUUGGUGUGGGGAUCACUAGAGAUAGCAUUAGACUUCCUUUUGGCUUUAAAAAUGGAGAAACGUACGGGAGAUCAAUCAAUCAAUAGUGAAUCAAUAGUUUUAGUUUAGGCUUUUAGCAUAGUUUUAGUUUUCUUUUCUUAGCUCUUUCGCAUGGUUGUUCUCCAUUAAUGGAGGACUAACCUCUUAAUUCUAGUCAAGGGGACAACUGAAGACUUGGUUCAACAAUUACUGUGAGAUCGAAUUUAUUUUAAUUGUUUCCUCCAUUUAUUGGUAUUCAUAUAUUUCCUGCUUUUAACUGUUAUAGCUCUUGUGUAUGAUUGAUUAGUGUGCAAUAAUUAAUUAUUCAUAUAGACUAUUUUGCUAAAUAGAGGUAAUUGAAUCCGUAAUUGUUCGUUAUGUCUAUCUUAGUAGCAACUGGCGUAAUUGGAUUUAUGUCAGGGGAGCAUACGAUCUAGUUUAAACAAACCCUCGUAGCGUGUUUGUUAGUUAGGAUUGGACCUUUCUAAUUAUUAAUGCAAUCUAGAAAUUAAAUCCUACGGUCGUACCUAGGGUUGUUUUUGGGUUAGAGAAAUAGUUAACGGUCGUACCUUAACUAUCGAGAAAUUAAGGAAAAGUUGGUUGUUUAUCGCGUGCAUGACAACUAUAACUAAUCUAUUAAUAAAUGCGGAAUUAUCUGUGAAUCAAUGAUCAGUGCCUGAACCAUUUCUGAAGUGUACCCUUGGCUAGAGUUUUCCCUUAAUUAUUUCUCUUAAUCAAUUAUUUCCUGCAGUUAAUUUAUUUAGUUAGUAUUUAAUCCAAAAACCCCCCAUACUUUGGACUCUAGAAGAAACGAAUUAUCCCCAGUCCCUGUGGAUUCGACUCUACUCACCGCUAUAUACAAAAUCUGUAUUUUUCUCGAAUAGGUAUUUAUUAUUGUACAGGUUCGGCACCUGUCAGCAAAUGAGAGAUUGAUCCCUAUAUUUAUGCACAGAGGUUGAAGUAAGUAAAUCAGGGAAAGAAGUGGGAAAGCCUCCUAAAGCAACUUCCACGAAUUUGGGGUUGGCAUCCUCCCGGAUUUUUCCCCAAAAAAAAAAACAGAGAAAAACCAUGAGUUGACUGAGAAUUAGUGGUAGUCGUCUCAAGAGUCAGAACCGAAAUGCACGCUAAUAGCCUAAUACAAGCAUGUAGUGUUACCGGGCUACUGGAAAUCAAUUCAACUCUAAACAUAAGUCUUUCUUCCACAUUCAGGGGGUCCAUGUGGAGAAUUCGAUAGAUUGAUGAAAACCGGAUACUAUUCUGGUCAAGCAUGGCUAGUGGACUGUCCCUUUUCUUGGUCUUUAAUUCAAGCUUUAGCAUUUAAGGGGCAAUGUUUUAGGUGGGAGAAGAUUUCAUUCAUAAUGUGUAACCGAUUUCUGGCCGUGUAAUUUUAACUUGCUCCAUUUUUCAUAUGUGACCAACUAUACUCAGGUUUUUGGGACCUGAAGAAUUUUUAAACCAAUUGAUAUAUGUCGCAGGAAUAUUUUCAUAUUCGCUCGUGGUUAAAUUUAAUAAUAUUGUACAAAGCUAAUUGAUAAGGCUUUUAUAAUAUUGUAUUUAUCUCUUAGAUAGAGCUACAAACAAAUCUCAUAAGCCAGUUUAUCAGUAACUAAUUGAAUCAAUAUUGGCUGAGUUCAGGCAGUUUAAUUAAAGUAUUAAUUAGUUUGAUUAAGAAGAUGCUUCGAAACUUCAUGAUAUGUAGACAUACUUUUUAACGGUAGCAUUGAUAAUCUAUUUUAAACCCCCUUCAAAAAAAUUAUAAUUAAUAUCUAGUUACAUAUGUGCUCGAUUAAUUAUACUUGAACUCAAGUUUUAUUGGGUUCAAUUUUUUGUCAACCUCUACUUCUAUGAAAUCAAGUCUUGUCUUGAGAUGACAAUGGGGGCAAUGCUUGUGAAGGGAGGUAUGAGGUACGGCCAUAAAUGGGGCCUCGUCCUCCGUAUUUAUUAAACAUUACUAUUAGUAGUAGUGGUGGUAAUAUUAGUUUUUUUUUUCGUGUUAUGUUGGGUUAAAUUAUUAGUAGUAGAAAUAAUAUUAGUUUUUCUAAUAAUAGUACUAUUAGUAGUAGUAGUGGUGAUAAUAUUAGUCUUUUCUAAUAAUAAAGAGACUAAUAUAAUUAAAUCUCUUCUCUAGUUCUCUUCAUUCCCUACCUUUCUUGUCGAAUUAUUUCCUGUAGUUCUGAUGCUUUAAUGUGGAGGUUCUGACUCAUCCCAUUGGUAUACUCACAAAUGUUUUCACACAUUUUCAAAAUGAAUUCAAGCCAAAAAAAAAAAAAAGAAGGUGCUAAGAAGGAAAAAAAGGAUGCCCCCGUAGAGGGAGCAAGGCGAGGUAGGGGGAGCAGGGCCGGGAAUGGAGCGGGAGCAGGGGGAGUUAUAUGACAACAGGAUCCUCUGUUACUCUGUUGUCAUUCCUACUCGUCGAGUUUCAACUCGUGCUUUACAUUAGAUGUGCAAAGCUAAACAAAUUUCACUGUAGAUUUGUCUACAUUUUUCACUUUACAUAAAAUUACAUAAGGUUAUGUGGAUGUUUUAAAACUAUGGGUUCAUAUCAUAUUAUUAAAAAAAUAUAAGGGAGUUAUGAGUAAUUUACUCUAAAAUCUAUUCUACCCAAUAACUAUAGGAUUAUCACCUUCCAAGGUGAUAGACAAGUAAUUGUAAUCAAGCUUAGGACAGAUGGAACAAGUUACUGGAUCUCAACAAGCAUUGCUAAAAAUUUUGCAUGGGAUUGAAAUUCUUUUUUUUUUUAGUUUCUAAAAAUAUAGUGCAAAAUAGUACUAUAAAGUAUCCAAAUCAUUCUGUAAGCUCCAAAUACACUCGAGGUGAUCCUUAUGAAAUAAAGCCACUGCUAAUUUAAUUUGUGAAUUAGAAAAAAAAAAAUUUACGCAAACUUUUCUAAUUAUAUAUUGCAUGAGGCAUCGUGUUGACCUCAAAUCGUAAUUAAGUGCCAAUGAAGCUUUUAUAUUUGAAUUCAGUUUCUUAAGCAAAAUAUUGAAUAGCAUAUUUAUUUGUGAAUAUAGUGACAACAAAAGCAUAUUGCACGCUAUUAUUACAUUGAAUUAUUGAAUUCGGCGUGCAAAAUAUAUAAAACUCUCCACCGCUAAAAUUUUCAACUUAGAUAAACCAGUAAUGUAUAGCACAGUAAUUGCACACAGGGAAUAAUUACAAUCUUUUAAUACACCCUAAAAUGAGAAUUUAAAUUCUCUAUUGUAUUUAAACUAAUGCAAGGUAGCGAUUGUAGCUAGGGUUCAUCAUAUUUACCAUCAUCGUAGCCUCUAUCGAUUUCUUCAACCCUGGUAUGCAUCUGCUGAGGGCCUUAGCAGUUUCUUUGUUGAAAUGACAUGCACAAGUUUUGAGCUCGGCCAUGAAAGGGCUAGUUUCACCAACAAUGUUGGAGAUAAUAAGGUGAGGAAGAUGAGACACGAAUGAGAUAUACAUACAUUUGAUCCAAGUCCAAAAUUUGAAGGAAUUUUUGUAGGCCUUGUUGCAUCGUCCCAAAUGGAAUUGGCAGCCAAAGUUCUAGCAAAUUUUGGCACAUUUUGUCAUGAACCACGGUGCGAUUAAUGGCAAUUGUAUUGUUGGCUUCAUCUUUGAUUACCUUAAAAAUAUCAUACACGGGCUAGAUUAAAUGCUAACCUCUUGACUGCUUAAAUUAGAUGACUAUCCACGACCUAGAAUUCCGUAGCCAAAAUCAACUUUGGUUAAAUACAUAGCGACCUAAAUAUAUGCAACACCUAAAAAUGAGAUGAAUUUGAGCUCCCCCACCUAAAAAUGAAUUUAAAACUUAUUUUUAAAAAUCAAUCCCGUUCAUAAUAUAUUUCAUUACUUGUAUUAAUUGUACAUAAAACUUCAUAUGAAAUUAACUAAGUUUUGCCCUUGGAUUAAUCAUUACAAAUUUUGUUAUAAUUUUAACUCAUUUUUCACCAUUCAUAAGUUUUGUGCAAGUUGAAUGCUAAAGUAUUUGUAAAAGAGGAUCAUUUUUAAUAUGUUGAUAUAGAUAUAAAAAAUGGAUGACAUAAUCGGAUGAAUUUAUUGAAUUAUAAAAUUUUAGACAUAAACAAAUGAAGAGAACAAUAGAGAGAAAUCGGAUGGAGAGAAUCCUAACUCCCCACCUAAAUGGCUACCAAAGCAUUUUAUGAAUGGCUCCUAUUUUUAUCUCUUAGAUCUUUAACUUUACCAUUUUAUACUACUCUACGGAAGCUUUGUCACUCCAUUGGAAUCCCAAAUUUACCUUAAUCCUAAUUGCAAUUGACUCAAGUGGAGGCCAUCUCCAUCUCUUUUGUAGGGAUCUUCCUCAAUUUCACUCUCUUAAUUUAGUGCAGCUAAAGAAGAACCAAACCUCAUCUUGUAGGGAGGUAGCAAGUAUUCAGUUAUUCAACGCACAAACAGAGUAAGGUGCAAGACACGUUGACAAUUUGUUUGGAUAGUCAAUUUGUUUGGUGAUCCUUGUAGAAUAAUGCUACUAUAAAUUCAUGGCACAUGAAGAGUACUGCACAAAAAGUCCUAUUAGUUUCCAAAUUGACCUCAACUUGAUAAGUGACAAUGAAAUUUUUACCUUUCAGUUCGGUUUUUAAAGCAGAAUACUGAGUAGCAUAUAUAGUUAAUUGGGAUUAUGAUGACAAGCAAGCAGAACAUAGAUGCUAUGUUUUCUGCUGCAAGAUGUAGAGGAAAUAAAAUCUGCUAUUAAACUGAAAGAUUAUAUAUAUAUUUUAGAAAAAAUUAUUUUGGAUUCUGAACUUCCAAUUUAUUGACUUUGAUAAGUACAUUAUCAAUACCCUCCAGCACUAAAAGUAUCAACUUAGUUGAAUCGUCAAUCAACUUAGUUGAAUAAUUGCACGGUUGGAAUACUACCAUCUAUUAGUAUAGCUUGAGAAGCAGAGGCUUUUAAAAUUAUUCAAAUCUCUCUUUUUUUUUCAUUUGAUUCUAUGUUAAUUAGCCCAAAAUUCACUGUAUUAGUUGUCUAGGUUCACUAUUGUCAUAGCCUAUAAAUAAGUAUAGGCAUCGACCUACUCUACAAUUGUGAAGUUUAUACAAUUUGGAUAUUUUAUAGUGUGGAAUUCAAAAAUAGAAGAUUAAAUAUCCAUACAAUCAUAUGACCUUUGAAGCUCUUUGGAGAAUUAAUUAUUUUUACUAACGUCCUUUCCAGCAAAUAGCUCAAGCAGCAGGAAAUCAAGUUGCAGACAUCUUUCUUAAAGGAACCUAAGUCCAUACUUCAUUCUUUGCCAAAAUUCUUUAACUUGAAGAAGUAAAAUAUGAUUCUGAAAAUUUAGCAAAUUUCAAAGUUGGAUAUCCUGGAUUCAAAAUUAAGAUUGAGCAUUCAUCUUCAACCAAUUCUACGACGGAGUACUACUCUAUCCUGAUCAAGCCACGCAAUGCCUUUUGCGAUCCCAAUUGCAACUUUUAUCUUAAACCUGUUUUGAGCAGAAAAGAGAAGAUCAUAUAGGUUUCAUUUUGACAUGAAUUUGUAGAUCAAAAGUAUGUUGUUAAUUCCCAAAUUGGGCUGUCUUAUUCUUCCAAGAAUCGUGAGUACAAAUAGAAAUUGUUAAUCAAUUCUGUCAAAAUGAUGGAAUUUCUACCUCAAAUAGAAAAAAAAAUGAAAAAAGAUAACAGAGUUUCUUGAGAGCAAAAGGCCAACCAUUUGCGUAGUAUCUUCGUACACUGUCCCAAUUCAGCAAAUUCACACAUGUUUGAAAGAAAUAACACACAACCAUUACUAAAUCCUGCAAAACGAAAUUACACAAAAUACGCCAACAGCAAAUUAUCUGCAUCGCCUUUAUGGCCUCAUUCAUUGUUUCCACCAUAUCUUGACAAGAAAAGAGCCUACUGUUACCUCAAAUCUUCUACAAAAGCACCAAAGAAAGCCAGACCACACAGAUGAACACUACCGUAGCACUCCCUGAUGAUAUCAUUAAGAAAAAAAUAGAGCAAUAAUUAGUUGUUUGCUCAUCAAUUUCAUGCCUGCAUUACCAAAAAAACUACCAAAAGCUAAAUAUAGAUUAUUUCUGCAAGCCAAUUAAUGGUAAUGACAAAAAAAAUUACCUGAUAUUGUACCCGCUGAUGCCCUUCAAUAUUUUCCAUAAAUGAUCUUCAGAUUCUCAUUUCCAUAAUUUUUCUGUUCUUCUGCAAUUUCCCAUACUAAAGAUUCGACGCCAUCUCCACAAACAUUCAUCUUAAUGGUUUCAAGAGUUGGUAUACGCCCUAAACAAGAAGGCAUCAUUUCCAAAUUAUAAGUCCUGUCGAGUUUUAAUUGCUGAAGACACGGGAAGUAAUCAUCACUGUCAGGGUCUACCUCUGUCCACUCCACAACCUCUACAUCUUCCAACGUCAAGACCCUGAGUUUAGGGAAUCCUCCUUCCAUCAACUCCCAUUUUUGGCCGUCCAUUGACCGCUGUCUUAAUUUGAGGACUUCAAGAUUGGGUAAUUGUUCAAUCAAUGACAUUUUUCGACAGGAUAGACCCAGGUUGGAAAGACACAACUUUUUCAAAUUCCUGGGAAAAGAAAGCCCAACAUGUUCCCGUGAACCUGAGAAGUUGUAGCCCCCUAAGGUGAGUGAUUCUAGGCAUUCUAGUCGACUCAUGUCGCAGCACACUCUUCUUUUUCCCCAACAACUGAAAAUUUUAAGUUGGCGAAUAUUGGGAAUCCUUCUCAAUAUGUUCUCUUCCCCUCGACGAAAAAGACACAGAGUAGAGAGUGUGUCUAAAUUGUGUAGGGUGCAGAGAAUUUCAACAACGUUUUCAUUGGAAGGAAGACAAACACGCCUUACAUGUACAUGCCUCAACUUCUUCAUGUUCCAGAUACUGUCCGGCAAUGAAAUCUUCUCACCAGAUUUUAGACGAAAGGUUUCCAAAUGUGAGAGAUUGGCUAUAGAUGGGGGAAUGAAUUUCAUUUUCCAAGCUGUAAGGGCUAAGUACCUCAAACAAAGAAGUGAUUCGACUUCAGUUGGGAGCUCCUUCAGCCUUAGGUUAAUGCCCUCUAAAUUCAGAACUUUAAGAUGUUUGUAGAUGCAAAAAAGGAAGGAGAUAUUAAGCAACUUAAACUUAUUACGUCCUGGAGUAGCAUCAAAGAAUACCAGAGUACCUAAAUAUGGACAAAAUAGCUUUGACUUUAUAAAAUCCUCUUCACUGGAGCAAAUGGACAACCGAGGUAGGUUGGGAGGUUCAUUAAAGGUAGAAAGCUCAUCAUAUCCUCGCAGGACCUGAAGAAAUUUCUUUUCUUUCGCCUCACCCUUACAGAACUCAAAUAUCAAAUCGUGAAUGUAACAAGUUUUGACUCCUCCAAUGGAUCUGUUUUCACUUACCAUAACUAGGUUUCGACCAAUUAGGUCCAUCAAAUAUUCUUCGGCAAUGUCCUCCAGUCUCUCUCCUUCAAUUUUUUCCACAAACCCUUCUGCAAUCCAUAGACGCAUCAAAUUCUUGGCACCAAUUAUUUCAUCUUCUCGAAAUGCAGCAAAAUACAGCAAGCAUGCCUUCAAGUGACAUGGUAAAUGCUCAUAACUGAGCUCCAAUGAAUUCUUGCACUGGUCUGUACCAGACACCAUGGUUAAAGUUAAACUUUUAGCAAAUUCUUCCCAAACCCAAAUAUCAUGGUCUAUAGUUGCUAGGACUCCAGCUACAACAACAAGUGCAAGUGGCAAUCCUCUGCACUUUUUGGCAAUCUCCAUUCCCAAUCCAUGCAAUGCUUGAGGACAAUCUUCUUUUCCAAAUACCUUCUUCAGCAGUAAUUCAAAGCUUUCUUUCUCACUGAGUGGGCGAAGAUUGUGAGGUUUCCCCCCAUAUUCAACCUGUGAAGCCACAUUAGAAGAUCGACUCGUGAAGAUGAUUCUACUUCCUUUCUUUUCAUCGGGAAAUGAAAUUCUCAGCUCAUUCCAUACCUUAAUGUCCCAGACAUCAUCAAAAACAACAAGAUACCUCUUCGUCUUCAGCCUUUGAUAGAGCUUGUGAAGCAAUUCAGGUUCAUUCAAGUUUUUAAGCUCUUCAUCCAUCCUAGAUUGUUUUCCAUUAGAGCACAAAAUUUGUAUUAACAAGCUUUCCAUGUCAAAUUUUUGAGAAACAGUGCACCAAAGACGAAUCUGGAAGUUAUAGAUAAUUGAACUAUCAUUGUAAACUUUUUUGGCUAAAGUUGUUUUACCAAGCCCAGCCAUUCCCACAAUGGGAACAAUUUCCACCUGUUUUGAUCCGCUUACAAGUCGUUCAAUUACCUUUUCUACCUCAUCAUCAAGACCAACCAUGACUUCAUGGGCUAUUGGCAUUUUACCUUUUGAUAGCAUGUGGCUGAAAGUCUUGCUACCUUCUGGUGCUCUUAAGCUGUGAAAGGAAGGAAGACUUUCAAUAAUGCUUGAGCCACUGAUCUGAUCCUUAAAAUGCUUGAUAUGGAUGUUGGUAUUAGACAGCAUAUCAUAACAGUCAAGGGCCUCUGUGGAUCCUGAGAAGCUGACUUCUCCUUCCUUCACUCUGUUUAGAGAAGGCGAGCAAAUUAUAAUGCCUGCCUCACUAAGAAGAGCACCAAUUUUUUCAUUUUGCUCAUCCAUCUUCUCCUGCUGCUCCCUUAAAAUGCUUCUCAAAAACCUCAAUCCUGCAUAGAGAAUUUCAAUUUCAUCUUUCAUAGAAUCCACAAAGCUAGAGCUGCAGCAUAACAACUCCCAGAGACGACUUAUCAGACAAUCAUUGAAGUUGUUCAAUAUCUGCUUAUCCCUCAUUCUAUCAUGCAAUGAUUUUGAGGAUCUUGUAGCUCUAAGAACGUCCAUAUAAAUCUCGUAGACUUGAAAAUCAACAGGUGUGAUUUUCUGUUGUUGUUCAUAUAUCAUGGAGCAGAACUCAGGAUUGUGCAGAUCCUCAUCUUCCCAAAAAGAACACAUGUAAGAGAGGCGUGCUGCGUUCAAAGCCACCACUUCAAAGUGAGCCAACAGCAAGGCAGGAAUAUCUACAGUUCCUCGCAAUUUGCCAAAGGGAAUGAAGCUUUUGAAGAAUGUUAGCUUUGCUUCAAGGGCUUGGAAUUGAGAACUCAAAGCAGCAUAAAUAGAUGAUUCACUAAUUUUGCGAUGCAUAUAGCCAUUUGUCAAAUCUGCUAGAUUUUGUAGGAUGAAGUCUAUGAAUUCCAUUAGUUCAUCAUCUGUCAUCCAAGAAUUUGAUUGCAAUGACCUGCUGCUUGCCAAAGCAAAGUAAAUUUGGAUGAUUUCUUGCUUAAGUAAUUUGAUUUCUUGCUCAAGUAAUUCGAUCUGUUUCUGAAUUUCUGGCUUAAGUAAUCUUUUACCCGCUUUUGAUCUAAGGGAAAGAGAGUGAAUGUCCUCCUCGUAUUUGUGAAAGGUGUCUUCAAUGCAAGAUAAGAAAGAUGGAAGACUCACCUUCUUCGCUACAUUGCCAGACUGCAAGUACAAAUCAUUGCUUUGGGUGGACUUUCUUGCACACAUAACAAAUGUUUUGAGAAAUUUCAUGCGUUUGAUUGUAUCACGAACACGAUCACGGCAAGGAACAUACCGGCUUCGGACGAUGUUCAGGAGCAGCAACUCUAGAUCAAGUAAGACCCGAUCGAUGCUGCAAGUGGAGACCAUCUCCAUCUCUUAUGCAGGGAUUUUGGUCUCAAAUUUUAAGAGAGAAGCAAAUCUCACUUAUUGCAGAGCCAGCAAGUAUUUCUUUCCUGAAAAUUACUUCUUUGCUUUUCUUCUUCUGAAGAGUAUUGAGACAAUCAAUUAUUGGCAACAAGGUGGAAUCGGCAUCAAGGUGGACCCCAGACACUGAUAAUACUACAACUAGGUGUUGGGCAUCUGAGGAUUUAAAAGAUACUACAAUUUUGUCACGUUAGCAAAAGUUAGUGUGAAAAUAAAUCGUGGGUCAUCAGCAAUAUCAUUUGCUCAUGUCUAAUUACAAAAGGAAGUUGAUAAAAUCAAUUAUUCAACUAGGUGGAAUUGGAGCUAGGCACGUAUUGGGUUAAAUUGGCUUCACCCAAAAUCCAAAUUUAUCUUGAACUAAUUACAAAUGGAAAUUGAUAAAAAUUAGUUGACUCUGUCAUCAACAUUUUAUUAGGGAAAUUUGAUAUGACCAUCUCUCAUGAUCACAGAGAAAUGCAUUCUUGAAACAUUUUCUGUUGGGGUCAUUUCGAUAACCAAUGUUGUAUUACAAACACAUUAAUUUUGUACUCUUUCAACGUGGAUGGCCUUUUCUGCAACUCUGAAAAAAAUUUGAAGUAUCUUAUCCUCAAAUACUUGUCUACUCUUAUGCAGGGAUUUUCCUCAAUAUCACUCUCAAAUAUUAGUGCAGGUAAAGGAGAAACAAAUCUCACCCCAGGGCCAACAAGUCUUUCUUCCCUCAAAUUUUAUUUUAUAUUAUUUUUUGUAGGGUAGUGAAGAAAAGAAAUUAAAUACUCAAUUGUUUAACAAACAAACAGAGCAAGAAACAGAAGAUCAGCAAGGCAAAAGACAAAAUGUUGGAAUUAUCAUAAAGUCAUCUUGUGUUUAGUAGAUUAAAGAAGUUUUCAUUGACAAGUUUAUUAUUUUUUGGACCACUCUGGUAUUUUCCAUUAGCAAAGGGUCCCUGCACCUGUACUGAAAAAAGCGUAAAAAUUUAACCAAUUGCUCAAUUCAGACUUGUUUUACUUUAAUCUUUAUAAAUUGAUUGUUUCUUUGAAAAAUUUAAGCAUUGUUUCUCCAUAUAGCCACAUCCUAUUAUUACAUACAUAAAUUCUAUGAAAUAACAAUUUUCAUUUUUGUUACUAUGGAAAAAGUAAAAUGACAUUAGAGGUUUUAAUUUAAUGGAUUCUUUCAGUUGAAUGUAAAUAAGUACAACUGAGCCAGGGCUUGAAAACUUGAACUGCCAAAACAAAGUGGUUAAUUCUACCGUUUUGCACUCUAAAGUUGUUAAUUCUUUCAAAAUAGUAUGGUUUCACACACUAUUGGUGCAAGUUUAGGAAUAACAUGGAGCUGUAUGUAGGGGUGACAAUUUGUCCCAAGUCCCAAUGGGCUACUCAUGCCCAAAGAGACUUUGAGUGAAAUGGGUAUUGUAAUUUGAUAUUGGGUUUAAAAUGGGAUAUAUUCUAAUUGUACCCAUUAAUUAAUGAGAAAUGUUGGAAAACACUUUGCCCAAAUAUCUUUCCAAAAAAUUGACAAACCCUUUUGGGAAGUAUGUUCAUCUGAAGAAACUUGACAAAUAACCAAGCCAGACCCAGAACCCACGGUUAGCUCAAGACUACCUUACAACUCCUGCGUUGACCCAUCCAUUUGACCAACCUACCCACUGGGUAUACCCAAAAUUUCCCCAGAUUCCAUGUCCAAAUCAGUAUAUUUAUAUAAAAAUAUAAAAAUUAUAAUAUUCUAAAAAUACUCAAAAAUAUGUUUCCACAAUACCUCUAAAAAUAAUUCAAAAAAAUCUACAGUAAAAGUUUUUCAUAUAGUUUUUGAAAAACAACCCCAAAAACAACUAAUCCAAACGGACUUGUUUUUCAGAUUCAAAAUGCUACAGUGGUGUUUUUGAAAAACAAACCCAAAAACAGCUAAUCCAAACGGAGCCCAGAUUUUCCAUUUUCCUCACGACUCUGUAAUUCGUAUCCUAUUCUACCUCUUUUCGGACCCUCCGAUCGGGACCCCUUCCCUGUUAGCAUCACCGAUUUCUCUCAUCCACCGCCAAAAACCUUAGCUUCAGAUCCGGAUUCUUUUUCUCGAUCCAUGUAAGAUCCAACCCGAAUUCGUUUGGCUUUCCGGUUUUGGUUUUUUUUUUUUUUAGAUUGUAAUGUUUGUAAUUAAAUUAGCAAAUUGACGUUAUCCGACUGUGUUGGGAAGUAUGUUCAUCUUAAGAAACUUGUAACGUGGAAUAGCUAAUUCUCUUGAAUGACGUGUGCUUCAAAAAUUCAUUAGUGUGUUUUCAGGAUGAAGGGGUGAUAAAUCAUAAUUUGUUGCUAAAUUUAUAAUUAUUCUUCCCUUGAUUUUAGCCAAAUAUUGUUUUAAUUAUCGGAUUCUACUUAUAUUUGGUUAAUGGUGCCAAUUGUAGGAAAAGGAGCAAAACGUGAUUAAAAGUGGCAAAUUUUCCAAUUCAUUGGAUAGUGGCACGUUUGGGGUUGGUUUCCAAGUCCGAGUCGAAUUCAAGGCAAUUUUUGAAGGAAGAUUUUGAAGAUUUUAAUCUUCAUUAGUAGUUUUAAUAUUGGAUUAGGAAACUUGGAAUAUUUUCUUUUAUGGUUUCUUUUCCUAUUUAGGAGACUAGUUUUAUUUGGUAGUAGACUUCAAUUAGGAAAUAAAAAAAAGACGGGAAGCCAGAUUCCCGUUUGAUUAGGACUUCAGCCAAAAAAACAAGAAAAGAGUCGUGACUCUUUGGGAAAAAGGGGAAGGUCGGAUCCCGCGUGAUUAAGAGUUGUCAAGGCAGCAACAAAUUUGGGGGACUUUUUCUUUUUAGCCGACUUUUACUUUUCUUCCUUGAACGAAUUUGGGAGACAACAAUUGUAAGCUUCGAAUAGCUUUUCCGCGUGGGUUGUUCUCCAUUAAUGGAGGACUAACCUCCUACUUCUAGUCAAGGGGACAACUGACAAAUUGGUUCAGCAAUUACUGUGAGAUCUAAACCGCUUUUAAUUGUUUCCUUCAUUUAUUGAUAUUUAUAUGUUUCCUGCUUUUAAUUGCUAUAACUCGUGUGAAUGAUUGAUUAGUGCGCAAUAAUUAAUUAUUCAUAUAGGCUAUUUUGCUAGUUAGGGGUAAUUCAAUCCGUAAUUGUUCGUUAUCCCUAUCUCAGUAGCAACUAGCGUAAUUGGAUUUAUGUCAGGGGAACAUACGAUCUAGUUUAAACAAACCCUCGUAGCGUGUUUGUUAGUUAGGAUUGGGUCUUUCUAAUUAUUAAUGCAAUCUAGAAAUUAAAUCCUACGGUCGUACCUAGGGUUGUUUUUGGGUUAGGGAAAUAGUUAACGGUCAUACCUUAACUAUCGAGAAAUUAAGGAAAUGUUGGUUGUUUAUCGCGUGCAUGACAACUAUAACUAAUCUAUUAAUAAAUGUUGGAAUUAUCUGUGAAUCGAGGAUCAGUGCAUGAACCAUUUCUGAAGUAUACCCUUGGCUAGAGUUCCCCCAAUUAUUUCUUUUAAUUAAUUAUUUUCUGUAGUUAAUUUAUUCAGUUAAUAAUUCUUUAGCAUUCAUUCCUCACACCCCCCAUUUGUCUUGACUCAAAAUAAACGAAUUAUCCCCAGUCCCUAUGGAUUCGACCCUGCUCACCGCUAUAUACAAAAUUUGUAUUAUUCUCGAGUAGAUAUUUAUUAUUGCACAGGCUCGACACCUGUCAAGCGGCAAAUUUGAAAGACUAUUAGCAUGAGUAGGUUCUUGGAAUCUUGCUAGAGGAAGAGUACUAAGUUUGCAUGAGAGGAUUUAUCUAUAUGAGAGCUAUUGGAAAUGGAUAAUAUGUUUAUUUUAUGUUUUGUAUCUUUACUUGUAAAGAAACUGACAAAACCUUGAUUUCCUUGUUAUCAAUUUUUAAUAAAAAAUAAAAAAUGAAUUAAAGGAAAAAAAAUAUCUAGAAAAUAAAUUUGGGUAUUGGGCGGGAUCAAUCUAAACCCAUCCCAAAGUGAUCCCGUCCAAGUUAGUCCCAAAACACAUAUGGAUAAGAUUGGACCCAAACUCAUAUGACUCGGUUCCAUCUCAAACCCAAGCAAAUCACGCCCAUCCCGUCUAUUUUACCACCUCUAGCUGUAUGCUAGGUUCUCAUUAACAGAUGAUAAUGAUUCGUUCCUACGAGGAAAAGCCUCUGUUUUAGUCGACUUUCAUUCACAAUAACAGCAGCAGUAGUUUAGGUGACUUGAGACACUUUGAUGAUUUUAAGGUCCAAAGCAUAUAGAAUAACUAAAUUAAGGGUCCGUUUGUUUCGGGUGAAAAUAUUUUCCAGGAAAAUAUUUUCCUAAUUUCCCGUGUUUGGUUGCACAAAAGUUACUGAAAACAUUUUCAUAUGUAAAAUAUUUUCACUCAUCCUAUGAAAAACAACUUCCCUUCCAAACUUACUGAAAUUGUUUUCCGAAAUGCAUGCAUUCCACCGGUAGUAUGUUCCAAAUUUACUGAAAACAUCUUGUAGUAUGUUCUUUUUUUUUUAGUGUAAACAGGAGGAAUCGAACCCAAAACCUCUUCCUUACACUCCCUCCCCCCGUACCAUCUAACCCAACCCAACCCAACCCUCCCCCUAGUAUAUUCAAAAAAAAAAAAAAAAAAACCCCAUCCUGCUCAUCCUAUACUAGUAAUUAAUUAUGUAUAAUAGGGACAUUUUUUCUAGAGAAACUUUCAGCAGUGAAAGUGCAAGAUAUAUGUCACAAUAAGCAUUGCAUGUGAUUGAUAUUUGACACUAAAUGGUUAGCAAUUUGUUUAUUGCUUAAGGAGAUAUUUUUUUAUUCAUAUAUACAUUUCUCCAAGAUUUUUUAAAGUUAAACAAUGAGAUAAAUUUUCUUAUUUUGUAUGGGAAGAAGUAUGUAGUUAUAAUGUGUAGAAAGUAAAGAUAGAGAUAAAAGUGAAAAUAUUUCAAAAGUUAAACAAACACCAGAAAAAUGAAGUAAGAAAAUAUUUUCAAUAAGCUAACCAAAUACCUGAAAAUGAUGAAAGGGAAAUGAUUUUCAUGGAAAAUUACUUCCACAACAGACCCUAAAGGUAGGAUUAUUCCCUACCAAGAAUGGUCCAGACGGAUCAGUCCCUCUCUAUCAUACAUUUAUAAUAGAGAGGAAUAUAAAGUGGAAUAUAAGUUGUAUUAGCAGACAUAUGCAAGUGGUGGGCUCAGUGCUUCUGAUCCAUUGAUAAGUAGCGGGUUGGUUUCAUAGAAUUAUUGGGAAUUAUUGUAUUCCAUUUCCACACAAUGGGGUCCCGGCUCCACAGACCAGAAUUAUUGCGGACGGGGGCAGGGCGUGAAGUUUUUGUGUAAAAUGCACAAUGUGUGACUCUGGAUAACACGGUGUAAUUUAUUUUUAAUAGUAUGUAAUUAUAGAAUAAAAUUUUGUAAGUCUAAUGUAUAGUGUGAAAAAUACUAUAUAAGAUGCAAUCUGAAUUUUAAAUUUUUUUUUUUACCAAAUCUUAAUCAUGAACCUGCAAUAACAGUAACCGUUCUUGCCCCUUCUCCAAUUAUUGUAAGCCCCUGUUUUUGCAAUAAUUUCACUUCUUGUCAUGAGGCAAUCAGUGAGUAGGAAAAAAUCGACUAUCCACAGUUUAAUUUGUUAAACUUCGUAAUUAAGAAGCCUUGUUUUGAUAGCAGAUGUGGAGUGAGGGUUGAGUGUUUUAAUUCAUCCAUGUUUGAAAUAUGAAUAGAGUAUUAUUUGAAAUGUUAUUUGAAAUAAUUAUUAUAGCACUUUUUAUGAUGUGAUGUAUGUGAGAUAAAAAGGUGAUUGAGAAUAUAAAAGUUGAAUUAUAAAAUAUAUUUAUGAUACAAACGAAAUUUAUGUUUCUAGACCAAAAAGAAAUCAACCAAAAAAUUUGCUCAACCAAUAAGAAAAGUUAAAGUUUCAGUUAUGCAAUAUCAAUAUUGGCUCUCGAGAAAGUUAGUAGAGAAGUCUUCAAAUGUAUUUUUGUGUUUCGUAAUUAGUAUAUAUUUAGCAUUUAGUAAUAAUAUAUUUGGAUAUAUAAUUAUAUAUAUAUUUAUAUCAUUAUAUAUAUAGCUAAUUUAAGGAUCGGGCCUAUAUCGGGUUUAAAUCUGAUGAGGACCAAAUUUGACUCAUAUUUAAUUUGGGCAUAAUUUUAGGUUCAAACUCAAAUUGGCUCAGUGAAAGGUCGGGUUCAUUGGACUUUUUUUGGGCUGAACGCGCCAAGGUCGAGCUGAUCCGACCCCAUUGACAGUCAUAAUAAAUAUAAAGAGUAAAAUGAUAAAGUUCAAAAUUAAUGUUACGGAAUGCAUUAAUGUUAACAAUAUACAAUGGUCAAAGAAAAUGAUUGGAUUAAAGAAGUAAAAAAUUCUACUAAUUAGUAGCAGUGCUUCUUUCCAAGAGUCAGGACUUAAAUGCAUGCUAAUUAUUUAUACUAAUUUAUCUACUUGUAUCAUAAACAUAUUUUUAAAUUACCUUUUCAUAUCAAAAAAGUGAUACAGAAUUUUUUUAAAAAUAUUAUCCGAAAUAAUCUCCUAUCCAGACACAAAUAUAUGCCCAUUUCAGACUGUGUUACUUGGGCCAUUGGAAAUUAAUUGAAAGUCUUCUCAUUAGUCUUUCUUCAACAUUGAGGGUGUCCAUUUGGAUAAUGAGAGAGAAGGAGACUGGUUGUUCUUCUGGUCAAACACGGGCAGAGAACCCUCCCUUUCCUUGCUUUUUAACUAAGGGUUCAUGGGUAAGAAAAAUUCUUACUUUCGUAAGAAAAUGUCAGAAAAAAAAAAAAAAACUAAGGGUUCAUGGGUAAGGCAUACCCAUAUUUUUAAAUGUUUGAUAUCAAUUCUUAUUACUCAUAUAGAAAACUUCCACGAGUUGAUUGAGAAUUAGGUCUUAUUUGAUAAUUCAAUUCAACACUUAAAUUUAAUGGAUUCAAAUUUUAAUAUAUUCAAAUACGUUUGAUAACAAAAAAUUAACAUUUGUAUUAAUUAAGCAGUACUGAAUUUUUUUGACAAAAUUUACUCUAAAAAAAAUGAUAACCUAUUCACUUAUCAUUAACACUUAAUGUGACAUAUUUAAAUAAUUUAAUAGAUUCAAAUUUCAAUUUUACUAAAUGCUGAAGAGUUAGAACCGAAAUGCAUGCUAAUACAAGCAUAUAUUAUUACAGCUAUUAGAAAUCAAUUCAACUCUUAGUCUUUCUUCCACGUUCGGGGGGUCAAUGUGCAGAAUUCGAUAGAUUGAUGGAGAUCAGAUACUGUUCUGGUCAGGAAUGGCUGCUGGACGGUCCCAUUUCUUGUUCUUUAAUUCAAGCUUUAGCCUUUAAUUCGGGGGUUCUUGUUUUUAGAUGGGAGAAGAUUUCAUUCACAAUGCGUAACCAGUCUCGCCUUAUGAUUCUAACCUGCUCCCUUUUUUACGUGCGAGCAACUAUAUUCAGGUUUUGAGACCUGAGCAAUUUUGGGCUAAUUGAUAUACAUUGGAAAAAUAUUUUCAUAUUCUCUUGUGGUUAAAUUUAAUAAUAUUAUACACAGCUAAUGAACUGAUAAGAUUUUUAUAGUGUUAUAUUUAUCUCUUAGGUAGAACUACAAACGAAUCUCGCAAACCAACUUUUUAGCAGCGAAAACUGCCUUAAUUGGCUGGCUGAGCUCAAGCAGUUUGAUCAAAGUAUCAAAUCAAGUAGUUUGAUUAAGAAAAUACUCCCAAACCUCAUGAUAUGUAGGCAUACUUUUUAACAUUAGUACCCAUCGUCUAUUUUAAAUUCCUUCAAAAAAAUAUUAUAACUAAUAUCUACUUACAUAUGAGCUCAAUUAGAUCGGAUCUAUGCAAGUGGAGGUCAUCUCCAUCUCUUAUAAUGCAAGGAAAUUCCUUAAUUUCACUCUCAAAUUUUAGUGUAGCAUAAGGAGAAAUAUUAACAAAUCUCGCCUUCUCCAGAUCUAGCAAGUAUUUCUUCUGUGGAAUAUUCAAUUAUUCAACAAACAAACAGAGCAAAAAAGAAAAGAUUAACAAAUAACAACGUAGUCGUAACAGUAGUGUAGGAAUUACGAGAAAGUUGCAUCUCGGUUUGGAAAAGCAAAGAAUUUUUUUUUAUUCAUUACUUUAUGGUUUUUGAAUGAAUUAUUUCACUCUCAUUUUGUAGCUAAGAAGCACCAGUGUCGGCAUUGUCCACUAAGAAAGGGACCCUACACCUAGACCCUUUUUUUAAUUUUAAAAAUUUUCGCUUUCCAUAAGGUAAGGCUUUCUUGGAAUUUUCGAGAGAAAAAGAGCAUAUAAGGGGCCCAAAAAAAAAAGAAAGGAAAACAUUAAAGUUGAAGAGAAAUUUUUAUUAUCACGAAAAUAGUUUCUUUCAUUUUCAAGUGAAAGGGAGAAAGAGAAUGAUAAUUAAUAAUUAUUCAUCUAUGUUAGCUUUAUUUCGCAAUUUUUUUUCUUUUUGUUGAAAAUUCAAACAUUGUUGUUCAAUAUGCAUGCUACAAAAAUCAAUCUUAUAAUCCAAAAAUCAAUAGCUAGUUUUUAUUUUCAAAAGAAAGUAGUAAAUUGACUUCAAUGGAGAUUUUAGUUUGAUGGAAUCUUUGACUUGAGUUUAUAUAAUUACUAACAAGGGCCUUAAGCCAUGAACAAAGAGUAAAGAGGAGUCAGCAUCAGUCUGUGAUUACGUUUCACGGGUCAGGUGUCCUUUCCGCCUAACAAUUUUAUAACCCGAACCAGUUCUAUUGGUUCGAUAAAAAGUUAAAUCAUAAUUGUGUCCAUGGUCAUAGAGUACUCGAAUGACCGGGUAUUUGGCAAAGCGGUUCACGGAUCCGAAGGUACUAGACUCGGUACCAAAAUUAAAAAAGAAAUCAUAUUUUCAUAAUUGAGAAUAAGAAAAUAAGUAAACACCUAAAAGACUUUAUUAUUUGUUAAGAAAUAACACAUAACCAUGAAUAUUUGCAUGUUCAUAGUAAAAACAAGUUUGUAAAUAUCACUUAUUCUCUGAAACAAAAGCUAAAUAUAUUAUAUAAUUAGCAAGUUAAACAAGUUAAGACUCUUAUAUUAUUGAGAUAGUCAAGUAUAUCAUCUCAAAUAUAAAUAUUUGAUGAAAGAUGAUUAUAUAUUCCUCUAUUAAUUUUGGUAUUAAUUUUAGUUUUAAUGGACAAAAUUAUAAGUAUAUCCUUACAUAUGAAUUAAGGUAUUUGCGAUUUUCAAAGUUUUUGAAUUGCGACAGGAUGUACGUCCUUGUUAAUCCGAUUUGCUGCUACUCGAACUACACAUAUUAAAACCGAUUCGAGUACCCUAAAUUUACGGUUCAGAUCGAAUCAAUGUUUACGAAUUUUUGGAUUUCUCUUAUCAAAAUAAACAGCAUGUAUUACAUAAACUUGCAAAUCUUUAUUACCGACAAACAAACAAAAAUUUAUUCCUAUCAUACCAUAGAACCCAACAGACAACGGGAAAAAGAGGAAACCAAAGAACAUUAAAGCGGUUAACAGUUGAGAAUUUUUUACAACCAAAAUUUAGCCAACUAAUGAAAUCUAAUUGAGCCACCCAAAGAAGGGGAAUUGACAGGUAAAGAUGUAGCCAUCCAAAGACAAGGAGCUUUAGGACACCUCCUAAUUUAUACGUUUAGACUCCUUUCCCGCAAAAAACGCAGGAGUUCUCUCGAGGCUAGUCUGUUUUGAGAACACAACCGAAGAAAAUGCUUGGUUCAACUUUCCAAAUCCAUGUAAGAGGACUCCUAGUAGAAUUAAGAAUAUUGCUACAACUCAAAACUAAUUUAGCAGAAUCAAUCUUAGUAGCAGGUGGAAAUUUCCAACCCAAGAUUAGAUAUCAGUGACAGGUUGGAAUAUUACCAUCUAUAACUUGAGAAACAGAGACUUAAAAUUAUUCAAAUCUCAUGAGCUCAAAACAUAACAAAGUUCCUUGACUGCAAAUUGACACAUGUUUGAAAAGAAAUAGUACACGAUCAUCACUAAAUUCAGCAAAACAAAAUUACACAAAAUACACCAACAGCAAAAUAUCUGAAUAACCUUUAAGCGGCCGUGCAUAUUGAUAAAAUGGUGCACGGUGUACAAAUCUCAUUGAUUGUUUCCACCAUGUCUUGACAAGAAAAGAGCCAUCGAUCCUUUCAAUUGUCACCUCAAUCUUCCACAAAAGCACCAAAGAAAGCCAGACCACACAGAUGACCAUCACACUCCCUGAUGAUAUAUCAUCAAGAAAAAAUAGAGCAAUAAUUAGUUGUUUGUUCAUCAAUUUCAAUGUGCUCGUGCACGCACUAAGGCAACUGAAGUAGUACAAAAAAGCUACCAAAAUGUCAAUAUAAAUUAAACUCCCUUAAAUGAAAAAAGCAUGAUUAUUUCUACAAGCCAAUUAAUGGUAACGACAAAAAAAAUUACCAGAUAUUGCACCAGCUCAAUCUAUGAUGAUGACCUUCAGAUUCUCAUUUCCAUUAUAUUCCUGUGCUUCUUCAAUUUCCCUUACUAAAGAUUUGACACCCUCUCCGCAAGAACUCACAUUAAUUGUUUCAAGAGUUGAUAUAUGCUGUAGACAAGCAGGCAUCAUUUCCAAAUUAGAAAUGAUUUGGAGUUUUAAUUGCUGAAGGCACGGGAAGUAAUCAUCACUGUCAGGGUCUGUCUCUAUCCACUCAACAAUCUUUACACAUUCCAAAGUCAAGACCCUGAGUUUAGGGAAUCCUCCUUCCAUCAGCUCCCAUUUUUGGCCGUCCAUUGACUGCUCUCUUAAUCUGAGGACUUCAAGAUUGGGUAGUUGUUCAAUCAAUGACAUUUUUCUACAGGGAAGACCCAGAGCUUGAAGACUUAACUCUUUCAAAUUCAUGGGAAAAGAAAGCUCAACAUGUUCCCGUGAACCUGAGAAAUAGUUGCCCCCUAAGGUGAGUGACUCUAGGCAUUCUAGUCGACUCAUGUUGCAGCAUACUCUAUUUCGUCCCCCACAAUUGAAAAUUUGAAGUUGGUGAACGUUGGGAAUCCUUCUCAAUAUGUUCUCUCCCUCUUGAUCAAGAUAAAGACACAGAUUUGAGAGUGUGUCUAAAUCGGGUAAAGUGGAGAGGUUUUCAACAACGUUGUCGCUGGAAGAGAGAAGAAUAAUGCAGUUACGCUGUACAUGUACAUGCCUCAACUUCUUCAUGUUCCAGAUGCUAUCUGGCAAUGAAACCGUCGUGCAAGAAUUUAGACGGAAGGUUUCCAAAUGUGAGAGCUUGGCUAUAGAUGGUGGAAUGAAUUCCAUGGGCUGAGCUGUACGAAGGGCUAAGUACCUCAAACAAAGAAGUGAUUCGACUUCAGCUGGAAGCUCCUUCAACAUUAGGUUAAUGUCCUCUAAAUUCAAAACUUUAAGACGUUUGUAGAUGCAAAAAAAGGGGGAGAUAUUAAGCAUCCCAAACUUAUCUCCUGGAGUAGCAUUGAAGAAUAGCAGAGUAUCUAAAUCUGGACAAAAUAGUUUUGACUUUAUAAAAUCUUCUUCACUGCAGCAAAUGGACAACCGAUGUAGGUUGGGAGGCUCAUUAAAGAUAGAAAGCUCAUCAUAUCCUCGCAGGAUCUGAAGAAAAUUUUUUUCCUUCGCCACAGUCUUACAGAACUCUAAUAUCAAAUCGUGAAUGUAACAAGUUUUGCCUCCACCAAUGGAUCUGUUUUCACUUACCAUAACUAAGUUUCGAUGAAUUAGGUCCAUCAGAUAUUCUUCUGCAAUAUCCUCUGAUCUCUUUCCUUCAAUUAUUUCCACGAACCCUUCUGCAAUCCAGAGACACAUCAACUUCUUGGCACAAAUUUUUUCAUCCUCUCGAAAUGCAGCAAAAUACAGCAAGCAUGCCUUCAAGUGAUAUGGUAAAUGCUCAUAACUGAGCUCCAUCGACUUCUUGAAUUGUUCUGCACCAGACACCGUGGUUGAAGUUAAACUUUCAGCAAAUUGUUCCCAAACACAAAUAUCAUGCUCUAUAGUUACUAGGACUCCAGCUACAACAACAAUUGCAAGUGGCAAUCCCUUGCACUUUUUGGCGAUCUCCAUUCCCAAUCCAUGCAAUGCUUGAGGACAAUCUUCUUUUCCAAAAACCUUCUUCUGCAGUAAUUCAAAACUUUCUUUCUCACUGAGUGGGUGAAGAUAGUGAGGUUCUCCACCAUAUUGAACCCGUGAAGCUACAUUAGAAGAUCGACUCGUAAAGAUGAUUCUACUUCCAUUCUUGUCAUCCGGGAAUGCAAUUCCCAGCUCAUGCCAUGCCCCGGUGUCCCAUACAUCAUCAAAAACAACAAGAUACCGAUUCUUCAAUAGCUUUUUGCGGAACAUUUCAAGCAAUGCAUGUUCAUCCUUUUGAAAGUCAUCAUCCAUCCUGGAAUGUUUGGCAUCAGAGCACAAAAUUUGUAUUAACAAGCUUUUCAUGUUAAAUUCUUGAGAAACAGUGCACCAAAGACGAAUGUGGAAGUUACAGAUUACUGAACUAUCAUUGUAAACUUUUUUGGCUAAAGUUGUCUUACCAACCCCAGCCAUUCCCACAAUGGGAACAAUUUCCACCUGUUUUGUUCCCCAUAUAAGUCGUUCAAUUACUUUUGCUGCCUCAUCAUCAAGGCCAACCAUGACUUCAUGGGCUAUUGGCAUUUUACCUUUUGAUAGCAUGCGGCCGGAAGUCUUGCUAACUUCUGUUGCUCUUAAGCUAUGAAAGGAAGGAACACUUUCAAUAAUGCUUGAGCCACUGAUCUGAUCCUUAAAAUGCUCGAUACGAAUGUUGGUAUUAGCCAGCAUAUCAUAACAGGCAAAGGCUUCUGUGGAUUUUGAGAAGCUAACUUCUCCUUCUUCCGCUCUGUUUAGAGAAGGCGAGCAAAUUAUAAUGCCUGCCUCACUAAGAAGAGCACCAAUUGUUUCAUUUUGUUCAUCCCUCUUCUCCUGCUGCUCCCUUAAAAUGCUUCUCAAGAACCUCAGUCCUGCAUAGAGUAUUUGCAUUUCAUGUUUCAUAGAAUCCAUGAAGCUAGAGCUGCAGCAUAACAGCUCCCAGAGACAACUUAUGAGAGAAUCAUUGAAGUUGUUCAAUAUCUGCUUAUCCAUCAUUCUAUUAUGCAAUGAUUUUGAGGAUCUUGUAGCUCUAAGAACUUCCAUAUAAAUCUCAUAGACUUGAAAAUCAAUAGGCGUGAUUUUCUGUUGUUGCUCAUAUAUCAUGGAGCAGAACUCAGGAUUGCAGAACGCAUCAUCCCAACAAGAACACAUGUAAGAGAGGCAUGCUGCGUUCAAAGCCACCACUUCAAAGUGAGCCAACAGCAAGGCAGGAAUAUCUACAGUUCCUCGCAAUUUGGCAAAGGGAAUGAAGCUUUUCAAGAAUGUUAGCUUUGCUUCAAGGGCUUGGACUUGAACACUAACUUGGGGAUCCAUUUCAACAAUACACAAAUCGAUAGUUGUUAAAUCCGCUAGAUUUUGCAGAAUGCUGUCUAUAAAUUCCAUUAGUUCAUCAACAGGCAUGCAAGAAUUUGUUUCCAAUGAUUUGCUGCUAGCCAAAGCAAAAUAAACUUGGAUGAUUGCUUGCUUAAAUGAUUUGAUCUGUUUCAAAAAUUUAAAAACCACUUCAUCGCCAACAUCACGUAUGCCACGUGCAUCAGAUUCCAACAUAAGGUAAAGAGAGUGAAUGUCCUCCUCAUAUUUGUUAACGGUAUCUUCAAUGCAAGAUAAAAAAGAUGGAAGACUCACCUCGUUACCAACAUUCUCGGAUUCCAAGUGAAAAUCACUGCCGUAGCUCCAAUUUCUUGCACACAUAACAAAUGUUCUGAGAAAUGUUAUGUUCAGGUACGCAGCUUCAAUUUUGAGAAAUGUUACACCCACGUACGUAUAUCCAAUUUUGCCUGUUCGGAACAUGACAUUGAGGUUGUCCACAAGCAACUUUAGAUCAAGGAAGACACGAUCGACGCUGCAAGUGGAGGCCACGUCCAUCUGUUGUGCAGGGAUUUUUCCUUAGUUUCACUCUCAAAUUUUAAGGGAGAAAAAGAUCUAGCCGACUGCAGAGCAAGCAGCCCGAAAUUUUUUUUCCUAGUGGGAAGGUGAAGAAUGAGAAAUGAGAUAAUAAAUUAUUCAACAGACAAACGGAGCGAGGUCAAGAAAGAACAGAUGAAUCAAAGUUAACGAGAGAGCGGUCAAAUAAUCUGGAAAUGAUCUUGGUUUGAAUAAAGUAAAGAAAUUUUAUUGACUUUUUUUUUUUUGAUACAAUAACUUCCUAUACACUAUGAGGAGGGAAGACUUGAAGAGGUUCUGGGAAACCCGGAGGGGACUGAACCACCACUGGGCGAGACGAGUGAGUUAAGUAAGGCCACAUUUAAUUAUGAUAAAUUAGUCCUUUACCUUACCAAGCCUUAUAGUUUUUUGGAGUUCUUUUUAAAUACUCAUUUCGUUGUUGAGAAAGUGGUCUGGAAUUGCACGUUAACAAAGGUACUGACACUUUUAUAAUUUCGCUCAUUUUGGUAUAAUCAUCGCGUGGUAAAAUGUACUGACUCCCAUUCCCUUUGUACAAUUUUUCCAAAAAACUCAGGGGACGUUUAUGAAAUUAUCCCACUGUACAUUUAUAUUGACUCAAAUUGAAAAUAACUAAAUCAAUAAGGGAAAAACCUUCCGAAAUCUUAAGUGGAAUACGUGCAAGUGGUGGGUCGGGUUUCAUAGAAUUAUUGGGAAUUGUUGUAUUCCAUCCCCACACAAUGAGGUGAACAACUCUUUUGUCUUUUUUCAAAUGAAAAGGAGAGCUACUCAUAAAAUAUGCGCAUUAUCAUAAUGAAUAUAAACGCUAAGAUAAUAAAUAUAAACAGUAAAACGAUAAUGUACAAAAUUAAUUCCUUUGACAAGUGGUGGAAUAUAAGUUGCACUUGGAGACAAAUGCAAGUGGUGGCCUCGGUGCACUUGGGGCCCCUGUUUUUGCAAUAAUUCCACAGUUUAAUAUGUUAAACUUUAUAAUUAAGAAGCCGUGCUUUGAUAGCAGCUGUGGAGCAAGAGUUUGAGUCUUUUAAUUCAUCCGUGUUUAAAAUAUGACAAUUUUGUCAAUUAUGGUUAAGCUAUUACCUUAUUUAGUGUGGGUAUAUUAUUAUUAUUAUUUUUUUUUUUUUUGUCGACGGAGUGGGUAUCCGGGUCAAGUCCGUAAAGGCGGCCCGACUAAUCGAGUGUGGGUAUAUUAGGAAGAACAAAAAAUAAAGAACCAUCAAAAUAUAAAUGAUCCCAGAGGCUUUUAUUGGGAGGAGUAUAGAGAUAUAAAUACAAAUAUAGCUUUAACUGGUUUCUUUUCAUUUUUUUUUUAUUUUAGCAUGAAUCUUCAAGCUAGCUCUCUAGUUUUCUUCAAUUGUUUUCCUUCUCGAGCAAACCACUAAAUUUGAUCACUUUCUCUUCUAAUUCUUUCGUAUUAAUAAUCAUGACCAUUGAUCUUGGAGAUUAAUAACCAUGACCAACAAAGUAAAGAGUCUGAGAAAAAAAAACUUGAGGGCUUCUUCAACCCUUAAAAUUGUGGAAGCAGAGAAUUCGAGAUUUCUACAAUUAUUAGUGUCAAUUAUAUCAUAAAAUAUACGCAUUACUAUAAUAAAUGUAAACUCUAAGAUAAUAAAUAUAAACAGUAAAACAAUAACGUUCAAAAAUUCAUGCUACCGGCGUGCAUUAAUGUUACCAAAAUACUAUAGUCAAAGAAAUGAUUGGAUUAAAGAAGUGGAAAUUUCUACUAGUUAGUAGUAGUAUUUCAUUUUCAAGGGCCCGGACUUAAAUGCACGCUAAUUAUUUGUAUAAAUUUAUUUACUUGUAUUAUAACAAUAUUGUUUAAUCAUAUUUUAUUUCACAUAUAUCACAUUAAAAUAGUCAUACAAUACUUUUAAAAAUAUUAUUCCAAAUAAUCUCAUAUGCGAACACAAGUGUAUGCCCAUUUCAGUGUUACUUGGACCAUUGGAAAUUAAUUUUAGUCUUCUCACUGGUCUUUCUUCCAUAUUCGGGGGGUCCAUUUGGAAAAUGAGAGAGAAGGGGACCGGUUGUUCUUCGGGUCAAGCACGGCAUACCCAUAUUUUUAAAUGUUAGAUAUCAAUUCUUAAAUAUUUUCAAAUGUUGACGAAGAAUUGGUGAUAAUGGUCUCGAGAGUCAGAACCGAAAUGCAUGCUAAACCAAGCAUAUACUGUAUUAGAAAUCAAUUCAACUCUUAACAUUAGUCUUUCUUCCACAUUCGGACGGUCCAUGUGCAAAAUUCGAUAGAUUGAUGAAGACCGGAUACUGUUCUGGUCAAGAAUGGCUACUGGACGGCCGCUUUUCUUGUUCUUUAAUUCAAGCUUUAGCCAUUAUGAGGCAAUGUUUUAGAUGGGAGAAGAUUUCAUUCACAAUGCGUAGCCAUUCUGGUCUUGUGAUUCUAAACUGUUCCAAUUUUUAAUGUGUGACCAACUAUAUUUAGAUUUUUGGGACCCGAACAAUUUUGGGCUAAUUGAUAUAUGUCGCAAGAACAUUUUCAUAUUCUCUUGUGGUUAAAUUCAAUAAUAUUAUACACAGCUAAUGAAUUGAUAAGGCUUUUAUAGUAUUGUAUUUAUCUCUCAGGCAAGACUACAAACGAAUCUCGUAAACCAGCUUUCUAGCAGCAGCGACAACUGCCUCAAUAUUGGCUGGCUGAGCUCAAGCAGUUUGAUCAAAGUAUCAAAUCAAGCAGUUUGAUUAAGAAAAUACUCUUAAACCUCAUGAUAUGUAGACAAACAUUUUAACAUUAAUACUGAUCAUGUAUUUUAAAUUCCUUCAAGAAAAAUAUUAUAAUUAAUAUCUACUUACGUAUGAGCUCAAUUAAUACUUAGGAUCUAUGCAACUGGAGGUCAUCUCCAUCUCUUAUAAUGCAAGGAACUUCCUCAAUUUCACUCUCAAAUUUUAGUGUAGCAUAAGGAGAAAUAUUAACAAAUCUCGCCUUCUCCAGAUCUAGCAAGUAUUUCUUUUGUGGAUGACAGGUGCCGAACCUGUGCAAUAAUAAAUACCUGCUUAAAUAAAAUAUAAUUUCUGUAGAUACUGAUAAGCAGGAUCGAAUCCACAGGGACUGGGGAUAAUUCGUUUCUUUUAAAGUCCAAAGUAUGGGGUUUUUUUUGGAGAAUAUAAAAUAACUAAUUAACUAACUAAUAAAACAACUAAUAGAAAUAAAUAGAAAUUAAUCAAUAACCAAUAUGACUCUAGCCGAAGGUACAACUUUUCAGACACGAUCCAUGCAACUGAUCAUCGACGCAAAGAUAAUUCAAUUACUCAUUAAUAGAUUGGUUAUAGUUGCCAUACACGCGAUGAACAACCAGCCUUUCCUUAAUUUCUCGAUAGUUAAGGUACGACCGUUAACUAUUUCUCUAACCAAGAAAUAACCCUAGGUACGACCAUAAGAUUUAAUUACUUGACUGCAUUAAUAAUUAGAAAAGCCCAACCCUAACCAACAAACACGCUACGAGGGUUUGUUUGAGUUAGAUCAUACGUUUCCCUAACAUGAAACCAAUCACGCUAGUCGCCACAGGUAUUAAUCGAUAGAACAAUUACGGAUUCAAUCAAUUAAUAUGACAGUAGAUUAUUAGGUUAAUUCGAAUAUCGGGCCCUUGACAUUCAAAUAACAAAACAAUCAUAAACAAUUAAAUCAGGAAACGUACAAAUACCAAUAAAUAAAAGAAAUAAAUAAAAUAAUUAGAUCUCACAGAUGUUCGGAACCGAGUUCUCAAAUUGACCUUCGACUAGAAAAACUUAGCCACGCCUCAUGAGAAAAUCUCCACGUAAUUUAAUUGAGGUCUAGGCCAUCAAAGGAACCAAGAAAGAAUAAAACUAAACUAUGCUAAAAGCUGUCCCCAGCCUUUCUUACGAUUGUCCCUUUUAAAGCCAAAAGAAAACAUGAAACAAUGCUAUCUAUCUAGUGACUGAAUUGAGAGUCCAAGGGCCAUAGAAUUGGAGCUCUGCCAAAGUCCUUGUUUUUAGUUUCCUCUUACCCCUAAGACUCCUAGUACAAGUCCACCCUUUUCAGCAUAAAGAUAGGAAAUCCCUUUUCGUAGCAUCCUGUGGAGCCCGGCUUGUAUUUCCUUUUAGAACUUCCCAUGUGUGGAGUGUUUAUCUCAAUAAAGUCUCCUUUUUAGCACUUGUUUGCUCCACUUCCUGUAAUUAGGGCCAAAUACCAAAUAUAAGUAUAUUUCAAUUAUUAAAACAAUAUUUGACAAGAACAAAGAGGGAAAUUAACCAUAAAAUUAACAACAAAUUAUGCCCUAUCAGUGGAAUAUUUAAUUAUUCAACAAACAACUGGAGCAAGAAAAAAAGAUUAACAAGUAACAAUAUGUAGCGGUGACAAUAGUGUAGGAAUUACUAGAAAGUCACAUCUCGGUUUGGAAAAGCAAAGAAUUUUUUUAUUCGUUACUUUAUGAUUUUUGAAUGAAUUAUUUCACUCUCAUUUUGUAGCUAAGAAACACCAGUGUCGGCAUUGUCCACUAAGAAAGGGACCCUACACCUAGACACUUUAUAUUUAAUUUAAAAAAUUUUUGCUUUCCAUAAGGUAAGACUUUCUUGGAAUUUUCGAGAGAAAAAGAGCAUAUAAGGGGCCCAAAAAAAAAGAAAGGAAAAAUUAAAGUUGAAGAGAAAUUUUUGUUGUCACGAAAAUAGUUUCUUUCAUUUUCAAGUGAAAGGGAAAAAGAGAAUGAUAAUUUAUAAUUAGUCAUCUAUGUUAGCUUUAUUUCGCUUUUUUUUUCUUUUUGUUGAAAAUUCAAGCAUUGUUGUUCAACAUGCAUGCUCCAAAAAUCAAUCUUAUAAUCCAAAAUCAAUAGCUAGUUUUUAUUUUCAAAAGAAAAUAGUAAAUUGACUUCAAUGGAGAUUUUAGUUUGAUGGAAUCUUUGACUUGGGUUUAAAUUAAUUGCUAACAAAGGCCUUAAGCCAGUGAUGGAGCCAGGAUUUUUUCCUUGGGGGGAACCAAAAAUUUUUCGAACAAAAUUAUCUUAAUAUGUUAUGUUCAAACUAAUUUUCAUUUAUUUAAAUAUAUGACAUCUUAAAAUAUCAAAUUUUAAUUUUAAUUAUAAAGGUAUGUCUAUUCCAUAAAUAUGUAGUAUAGUCAUAACUUAAAUUAAGAUAAGAAAUAACAUUUGAUUAAAUAUCUUAUAACAUCACAAACCACUUAAGUUGCACAUUAUGAGAAGAUGCUCCAAUAUGCCACUUGUGCAAAAACAAAAAUAUAACUAUGUAAUAUAAAUAUAAUUAUUUUCAAUUAAAAAAAGAUAAAAGUUAUGUUAAUAUACCUUGAAAUUUCAUCCUCUUUUAUUAAAAGUAAAUUGAGAUUUACGUUCUUUCAUAGAACUAAAUUCAUCUCUAAUUGAAUCAAUGAUAAUUUUUCGAACAACUUCCUUUUUUUAUGUACAUUGUUAGGCAAUCAUUUAAGAAAUGGUCUUUUAUCUUGUUUUGGAGUUUUAUUUUGAUUAUUUUCAUAAUUGAAAAUGCCAUUCUAUAGACUAUAAAACAGAUUCAGGAUUUUUUCCUCGGGAGAGGGGCCAAAAUUUUUCUGAACAAAAUUAUCUUAAUAUGUUAUGUUCAAAAUAAUUUUCAUCUAUUUAAAUAUAUGACAUCUUAAAAUAUCAAAUUUUAAUUUUAAUUAUAAAGGUAUGUCUAUUUCAUAAAUACGCAGCAUAUUCAUAACAAAAAUUAGGAGAAAAAAUAACCUUUGAUUAAAUAUCUUAUAACAUAACAAACUACCCAAAUUGUACAUUAUAAGAAGAUGCUUUAAUAUAUCAUUUGUGCAAAAAUAAAAAUAAAAAUAUAACUAUACAAUAUAAUAUAACUAUUUUUAAUUAAUAAAAGAUGAAAGUUAUGUUAACAUACCUUAAAAUUUCAACCUCUUUUCUUAAAAGUAAAUUGAGUUUUACGUUCUUUCAUAGAACUAAAUUUAUCUAUAAUUGAAUCGGUGCUAAAUUUUGAUCAUUCUUUUUUUUAUGUACAUUGUUAGACAAUCAUUCAAGAAAUUAUCUUUCAUCUUGUUUUGGAGUUUUGUUUUGAUUAUAUUCACAAUUGAAAAUUUACGUUCUAUAGUUGCAGUUAAUAUAGAAAGAGUGAGAACAAAUAUAAUCAAUCUGCCAAUAACAGGAUAUACCACUCGAUUUCUUGUCUUCACCAAACUUUCAAGUAAUUAUUUGAUAUUUGUAUAUGAGUCAACAAGAGGCUAGAUCACUAAUUUUAAAUUUUUUAUCAAAUAGGCUAAGGUGUAUAUUUGUAUAUGGGCCAAUAAAGUAAUUAUUUUUAUUUUAGCCCAUUGAUAAUUAUGAAUUGAGACUUUUGUUGCAACACAUCAAAUUGGGUCAAUUUACUAUGGAUCAUCAAAUUAUAUGUUUAAUUUUUUGAAUGUUAAAUAAUUAGUACAAUAAAAAAUAAAUAACUUUUUUUGAAGAAAAAAUUAAAUCAAAAGGUGGCUAAUUCAUACAUACACAGAUAUAUAUAUAUAUAUAUAUAUAAACUCUCAUAAUAUAAACUAAAAUUAUAAAAAAUUGGGGGGACAAUUUUAACUUAUAUAUAUAUUUACAUAUUAUGAAUUAAAAUUUUCAAAACUUAAGGGGCCAUGGCCCCCCUUGGCUCCAUCAUUGCCUUAAGCCAUGAAAAAAGAGUAAAGAGGAGUCAACAUCAGUCCAUGAUUACGUUUCACGAUCGGCGUCCUUUUCGCCUAAUAGAUUUAUAACCCGAACCAGUUCUAUUGGUUCGACAAAAAAUUAAAUCAUAACAUUGUCCACGGUCGUAGAGUAUAGAGCUGCUCACAAAUCGAGCCAAUCGUGACUCGAGUUCGGUCAAUAGCGAGCUCGACUCGAGCUCAAACUAAUUAAGUCGAGAUCGAGUUCUAGUUAAUCAACUCGAGCUCGAGGUUAAAAAUAUUAAGUUCAUUGGUUCACAAGCUCGAUUAUGUAUAUAUAUUUUUUAUUUUAAUAGUAAAAUUACAUAUAUAUUUCUAAUAUUUUAUUAUUUGUUAAAAAUUAUUAUUUUAUUCAUUUUUAAAAAUAAAAUAAUUAUUUUUUAUUUUUUAAAAAUAAAAUAAAAUAAUUAUUUUUUAUUUUUUAAAAAUAAAAUAAAAUAAUUAUUUUUUAUUUUUUAUUUUUUAAAAAUAAAAUAAAAUAAUUAUUUUUUAUUUUUCAAGCUGGAGCUCGAGCUUGACAUUUUGAGCUCGUCAAGCUCGAGUGUCAUAAAAUUAACUAGAGGCUUGGCUCGAUUAGACCAAAACUCGAUUCGGUUCGGUUCGUUUGCACCCCUAGUCGAGUAUUCGAAUGACUGGGUAUUUGGCAAAGCAGUUUAUGGACCUGAAGGUACUAGACUCGAUACCAAAGUUAAAAAAAGAAAUCAUAUUUUCAUAAUUGAGAAUUAGAAAAUAAUUAAACACCUAAAAUACUUUAUUUAAAUAUAAUUCAUUAUUUGUUAAGAAAGAUCGCAUAACCAUCAAUACUUGCAUAUUCAUAGUAAAAACAAGUUUGUAAAUAUCACUUAUUCUCAACAACAAAAGCUAAAUAUAUUAUAUAAUUAGCAAGUUAAAUAAGUUGAGACUUUUAUAUUGUUGAGAUAGUCAAGUAUAUCGUCUCAAAUAUAAAUAUUUGAUGAAAGAAGAUUAUGUAUUCCUCUAUUAAUUUUAGUUUUCAUGGACAAAAUUGUAAGUAUAUCCUUACAUAUGAAUUGGGUCAGGCAUAUGCAAUUUUCGAAGCCUUUGAAUUGCGACAGAAUGUUCUCGAACUACACAUAUUAAAAACCGAUUCAAGUAUCCUAAAUUUGCGGUUCAGAUCGAAUCAAUGUUUGCGAUUUUUUGGGUUUCUCUAAUCAAAAUAAACAACGUGUGUUACGUAAAAUUGCAAAUCUAUAUUACUAACAAUCAAACAAAAAUUUAUUCCUAUCAUACUCUACCAUGAGUAAAUUCCCAAAAAGAGAGAGUUUUCAAACUAACUUCCCAAAGGGUGGCAAUUUUUGAAUCUCUUCCCAAAAGGUGAAAAACGCAUCCAAGGAAUGCAUUCUUCCAAAUAAAAACGUAAUUUUCAAAUACGUUAUUUUAACUUUCAUAAAUUUAUUUAAAUAGGGAAAAUUGGUUAAAUAACACAUUAGUAGAAUGCAUUUUUUGAUGUCACCGAAAAAACACAUUUCAGAAAUGCACUAUUUUGUAUAAAAACUCAUUAGACGAAUGCGUUUUUUGUUUAUCAAUCUGUACCACUUUUUUUCAUUUCUUUGAUCUUGACUUGGGUUAUGUACGGUUUUUUUUUGAAAAAAAUUAUCUUAUUAUUUUAUCGAAGUUAUUGUUAAUUUAGCUCACUAACACAUGUCAAGAUCCAAAAAAUGGUUAUUUCAUAGUUGUUAUUAAUUUAUCUGGUAUAGAUUUCAUUUUAAGUUUGCAAAAGACUUAAAGGUUUUGAACUUUGGAUUUUACAUACGUAUGCACAUAUUUUGUAUCUCAAAUGUUGGUAAUUUGUCUUAAAAAAUCUUAACACUUUUUGUAAAGAAAAUUUUACGAUUCGUAAAAGGUUAAUCCUAAAUGUUUAGUGUAAAAAUAUGAUGGCCCUAAAUGAGUUAGAACAAUCACAUAUCUUGAAAACUUGAAACAAAGGAAAAAUUCCAGAACUCCUCUGAGAUUUCUGACACUAGCACUCACCUCUUCUAUGGUUUAAGAAAUAGCAGUAACCUCCCUUAAACUUACUGAUUCUAUUGCAUAUUCAGUCCAAACUAGAAAAAGUGUCAUUAAAAUAUUGUUUUAAAGAGUGAGAUCAGAAAUUUGUACCAGAUUUGCCCUUUGUAUUACCAAAGUAGUAUUAGCAAAGGAAUGACAAAGUACUACAAAAUAAUUAACAAUUAAUAAAUUUCAGGCGGUAUAGUUUAUGGGCAAAUGGGCAUUACCUAUUCAAAAUACUAGAUGUUUUGUAGAUAUUUUAUUCUCAAACAUUCAAUUUAUAAUAAAUAUAUAAAUAUUUUUAAGUAAAAUUCAAAAAGUGUUACAGUAAUUUCUUGCCAAAAAAACUAGUAGGUUAUCUAUUUAACAUAAAUUAAAUAUUUUUUAAAAAAGAAAUAUCCCAUAAAGUACCAACUCUUUAUGGCUUUUCUCUAUUAUAUGAACCAAGUACUAGGUUUUUAUGGACAUUUUGUUCUGAAUCAUUUAAUUUAUGCUAAAUAUAUUUGCAAAUAAAAUUCAAAAGCCGUUACACAAAUAUUUUUACGAAAGGAAAACUAGCAUGUUUUGGAUUUAAUAUAAAUGAAGUAUUUGAAAGUAAAAAAAAAAAUAUCCAUAACAUACCAGUUCUUUACGAGUUUCUUCCAUUAUUUUACUUUGAAUCAUUUAAUUUAUAUUAAAUACAUAAAUGUUUAUAAGUGAAAUUCAAAAAGUGUUACACUAAUAUUAUUAUGAAAGAAAAACUAGUAGGUUUUGUAUUUAAUAUAAAUUAAAUAUGUGAAAGUAAAAAAAGAAAUUACCUACUUUUUGCUAGCUCUUUACGGGUUUCUUUUAUUAUAUGAAUAAAGUACUAGCUAUUUAUACGCAUUUUACUCUGAAUCAUAUAAUUUAUGUUAAAUACAUAAAUGUUUGUAAGUAAAAUUUAAAAAGUAAUAUACUAAUAUUUUUACGAAAGGAAAACUAGUAGGUUUUGUAUUUAACAUAAAUUAAAUAUGUGAAAGUAAAGAAAAAAAAGAAGAAAUUGCCCAUAACAUAUCAGCUCUUUAUGAAUUUUCUUUAUUACACGAACAAAGUAAGAGCUAUUCGUGAGCAUUUUACUCUGAAUCAUUUAGUUUAUAUUAAAUAUACAAAUGGUUGUAAGUAAAAUUCAAAAGUAUUACACUCAUAUUUUUACGAAAGGGAAACUAGUAGGCUUUGUAUUUAACAUAAAUUAAUUAUGUGAAAGAAAUACUCGCAAGUAAUUUAAUUAGUUUAAUUAGUUAUUUAAUUAAAUGCAUCCAUUUCAUAAACCCUAAAUUCGAAAUUUCAAGUAUUACCUAACAAUAUGCCUAAUUAGCUCGGCAGUCUCCCAAUCACCACCCUUGCUCUUACGCUGGUUGCGAAUGCGGGAUAAGAUGUCCGAAAAAAUUGAAUGGGUGAAAGAGAGUAUUGGAGGCACGUAUUGGGUUAAAUUGGCUUCACCCAAAAGCCUAUGUUUUAGUCGACUUUCAUUCACAACUAGUUUUGUACCCAUUCGUUGAAUGGAAAUUAUUUAAAAAUAAUAAAUUAUUUAGUGUAGUUCAUAAAAAUAUUUUCAUAAAAUACAAACUUAUUGUAUAAUCUAUUAUAACCUUUCUUAAAUACAUUGUUAUUAAAAAUUAGUCUUAUAAUGUAUAUUUAAACAUCUAAUUCAGUGAUUAAUAAUUCAAAAUGCAAAAAAAAAAAAUCGACAAUAUGAUGACGUUAAAAAACUUGAAAAUAGGGAAGAUCAAAUUUUGGCUGAUCUUCUGUAAACAAAAGAAUGGCCAACCCGUUACCAAAACAUCAAAUUUGGUACUUAAUAUAAAUGGCUUAAAGGUUAAUGUGAAAAGAAAAGAAACCGAGUGAAAUAUUAAUAAAAGAUAAUAAUUCAGAAUCAAUCAAGUCACAGGAACAUAGCAACCUUCUAAAUCUGUUCAUGGCUAAUAGAAACCAAAACGAAAACAUAAGAUGUAUUUUGCUAUUAAGUCAAAAACAUAAAAAAUCUAAAUAGUCUGAUGUAUAUUGCAUGACGUGAACUGCUGUAUGACAAUGAACUUGAUGUCUUGCCAUUUAUGUAACUAAUGACACCUUUUUAGGAAAGAUGACUUUAUUAUAUAUAUAUAUGAUUUAUUAAGAAUCCUAUUAGGGGGUUAAAAAGAUAAGUGACAGGUGCCGAACCUGUACAAUAAUAAAUACCUACUCGAGAAAAAUACAGAUUUUGUAUAUAGCGGUGAGUAGGGUCGAAUCCACAGGGACUGAGGAUAAUUCGUUUCUUCUAGAGUCCAAAGUAUGGGGGGUUUUGGAUUAAAUGCUAACUGAAUAAAUUAACUGCAGAAAAUAAUUAAUUAAAAGAAAUGAUUGGGGAAACUCUAGCCAAGGGUACACAUCAGAAAUGGUUCAUGCACUGAUCAUUGAUGCAGAAAUAAUUCCAACAUUUAGCAAUAGAUUAGUUAUAGUUGUCAUGCACGCGAUAAACAACCAACCCUUCCUUAAUUUCUCGAUAGCUAAGGUACGACCUUAGCUAUUUCUCUAACCCAAAAAUAACCCUAGGUACGACCGUAGGAUUUAAUUUCUAGAUUGCAUUAAUAAUUAGAAAGGUCCAAUCCUAACCAACAAACACGCUACGAGGGUUUGUUUAAAUUAGAUCAUAUGCUCCCCUGACAUAAACCCAAUUACGCCAGUUGCUACUGAGGUAGAGAUAACGAACAAUUACGGAUUCAAUUACCCCUAUUUAGCAAAAAUAGCCUAUAUGAAUAAUUAAUUAUUGCGCACUAAUCAAUCAUACACAAGGCCAUAGCAAUUAAAAUCAAGGAACAUAUAAAUACCAAUAAAUGAAGAAAAUGAUUAAAACAGAUUCGAUCUCACAGUAAUUGUCGAACCAAAUCGUCAGUUGUCCCCUUGACUAGAAAAGCUUAACCACGCCUCAUGAGAAAAUCUCCCCGUUGGGGAAUAUUGUCGAAUACCUGGCGUGUGUCAGAGGCCAGUCCAAAGAAAGAAAACUAGAACUAAACUAAAAAAACUAAAACUAAAGCCCUCGAUAUCUUUUGCUUCUGUACGUUGUCCCCUUUUAAAGCAACAAAAGAAAGAUGACUAAAAGCUAUCUAGGUGGUCCCCACACAUGUGGACAAAGCCUCCCAAGUACUUCUUGUUCCAAGUCUCUCUACGUUGCUUUCUUUAAAGCCCAAAUGACCAAAUGCCUUUCACUAGCUUGUGGUCCCCCACCAAUUCAAGGGCCCAAGGAUUGAAAUCCUUAGAAGUCUCCAUAUUUUUCACAAAAUCCCUCCUUUUUGGUAGUUUUCUGCUUCAUUCCUGAAAUUGAUUCCAAAUACCAAAUAUGAGUAAAUAUCAGCAAUUAACACAAUAUUUGUCAGGGAUAGAAGGGAAAAUUAAUAAUAAAAAUACUAACAAAUUAUACCCUAUCAAUUCCCCCCACACCUGAAUCAUGCUUGCCCUCAAGCAUAAGAACAGCAAUUGAACACCAAAAUUUUGACAAUGGCUAUUGCUCUAACUAUCAUAUUGCCAAGAUACCCAGAAAAACAUAUAUCAAGCAUCAUAGUUAAGAUCCAAGAAAAAUCACUCCGGUUAGCUUCCCAACCACCAACUUUUCCAAUUUAAAGCAAACUAAUCUAAGAAAAAGGAAUGGUUGCUCACAUUUAUCAGCAAAUGAUCCAACUAUUAACCAAAAUCUCGACAUUAAGAUCACAAACUGGCAAGCUGACUUAUUCACAUACUAACACAAUCUUUAUUUUUUUCUUUUUGUUUUUUGUUUUGUUUUUUUUUUUUUUGAAGGAACAAAAGACUUAGUCUAUAGCCCUUAGAACUUUUUGACGCGAACUCCAACAUUUGACAGAUGGAAGAGCCCGGUUACUCAGCUCUAAUUGCUACGGGACCGCGCACUCAUAGCAACUACUACCUUUUGACGCGAAAAUCAACACUUUAGGUGAAGAUUCCCGGUUACUCAGUAGUAACCACUAGCGGAGUACAGUCAACUCUUAUUUACAACCAUAUAGCACAAUAACUAAAAAUGACACAAAAUAACAGCAGCCAGCCUCAAAUUUCCAAAUAUGGAGAACUAAAAUUAAUAAUUGGACCAAUUCACAUGAAAAAUGCCAACAAUCAUUCCCUAUGCCUAGGAAAGUUAACCAAAAAUUAUAAGAGUAAAACAAUCAUCGAUAUUCACCAAAGAGAUAUUUUUGGACUCAACCAUAUUAACUUAAUACCCUUUUAUUAUUAAAAUUUGGCAAUAGCAGAAAUAGAGGCAACAAUCCAACAUCAAAUUUUGGCAUGCACUUACGAGCCAAUCACUAAAAAGAAGAAAAUGAAAAUGAACGAAAGAUACUAGCACCAUAACUGCUCCCCCCACACCUAAAUCCUACAUUGUCCUCAAUGGAGGAAUUAAAGCAAUUAAAGUGAAGAGGACAACGAAACUUCCCUCUUUGAGUGGCCAAGAGGUAGGCGGGGACGGUGGAGGAAACCAAUGUGGUGGAAGUACGCGCCCAAGUUCUGAGACAUCAUACUCAAUUCAACCAGCAAAUGCAAAACUCUGUCCUCCCAAAAUCUCAACAAAUAGCUCCAGUUGGCCAGUUAAUGCCUUAACUCAGAAUCAGAAAUUUCAACAUUGAGAGUUUAGGUAUUUGACAAUAACAAUUCAGUCACAAGUUCUUGGCUGUCAAUUAGACAGCCAAUCAGAUGGAAUUACCAAAUCUAGUCAAAAUACCCCAACCAGUACCAUUGGUGCACCCCACAGAUAAUGAAGCAACUUAAAUGGCAAACCCAAUCAACAAAAUGUACAUGUGAGGCACCCAAGGUCUAUACAAAUGUCACAUACAAAGCAGCGAUUGCAAUCAAUAAUCAGUAGUGGUCCUAAUUUACUCAAAUGCAGAAUUAAUGCAGCCCAACAAUUCAACUGGAUGUACCCACCUUGACAAGCAAAGCAAGUGGCACAGGUUUCCCAAGUCAACAGGCAAUUCAGAGAUAACUCAACCGAAAUCACAGUAGAAACUUCAAUUAAAUACACUCAACAUGAAUAAGCCAAGCAAGUGUCAUAGAAACUCCCCAAUUCAACAAGCAAUCACAGUAUUUCAACUCACCCAAAAACUCAACAAUUCCACCCAAAAGUUGAACAAAUGCCCCCAGCGGUGAGCCUCAAGAAGUGAACAAGUCAAGCAAUAGUAGUGGAAAACUUUGACAUUAACAACUGAAUCUCAAACCCCCAGCAUUUCAACUAGAUGCACUGAACUGGAAUAAGCAAUGUAGAGGGUAUAGAAGCCUCCCAAUUUAACAAACAAGUGCAAUAUUGCAGCUCACCCAAAUACUCAACAAAUGGCUCCAGUUGGCCAGUAGAAGUCGCAACACAAAAUCAGCAAUUUCAAGGAUAACAGCUCAGGGCUUGGACAAUAAUCACUUAGCCAACCAAAUAGAAGUACCCAAUUGAGGUCCAAUCACCCCACCAGUACCACUGGUGUAGUAAACUAUGGAAGAGAAAUCACACACCACCAAUAUCAGGCCACCGACAAACCAAAAUAACAAUUAACCCUGCUCAUAAUUGAGAAUCGCAACAAUCAAAACACAAGCAAAGCUGCCUCCCAAUUAGCAAAAGACAAUUUCACGAAUCCAGCCCACCCAAAAAUUAGCAAUUUCAAUGAUAACAGCCCAGAAAGUUGUCAAUAAGAACUCCGCCAAACAACUAGGGGUAAACAAAUUCAAUUGAAAAUAUUCCCUCCAGUACCACUGGGGGUAAAAACGUAGGCCAAAAUCAAUGAAACGUCAAUCGCAACAAAUCGCUUCAGGUGGCCAGUUAAUGCACAAUUGCACCCAACCCAAAAGAAGUAAUAAAUUCAAGUGAAAAUACCCCAACCAGUGCCUUCCCCCCCCCCUUUUUUUUUUUUUUUUUGGAAUGAAAGAGUAAAUGUACAACUCAAUCAACCGAAUUCGCAGUGAUAGUUCCAAAAGUCAGCAAUUCAAGCCCAAGCUUUCAGUGAAGAAAGGACGAAUUAAUCAGUGAAGAAAGGAACCCCAAACUUCCAGCUCCCAAUUAAGCAGCAAAUAAGAGAGGACGAAUCUAUAGUAGCCACAAGAAAUGACGCCCAAUAGGUAUACCACACAAGUGAAGAAAUAAACUCCAACAGCCACAAAUACCAAUUGUGGAAAAUCCUUAACAGCACCAAUCAAUGUUAGAAAUUGGGGGAUAAAGUCCAAAUACCUCUGCUAGGACCUCGGCAGUAGGCGGACAGAGGAGCUGUAGUGGUGGCGGGCAAGCUGGAGUUUGAGCAGGCGGCGGCGCGCAGCUCAGCGGAGAGGGGCGCCAAGCUGGUGGAGGUGAGCUGAAGUGCAGCUCGUUCGCCAAGUGGAGAGAGAGCAGAGGGGGAGCUGGGUGGCAGUUCGCGGAGCUUGGGCGAACUGUUGGUGGCGCGAGCUCAGGAGGCAGCGACGCGCUUGGAGUUGCGCGCGGAGAUGUGGCGAGCUGGUGGAGCUGUUGGCGGUGGAAGCUGAACUCACGGCGAGAGGAGAGUUAGCUGGCGGUGCAGAGUUGGUGGUGAACAGCAGCGGAGAGAGAGGUGAGAGAGCGCAGGGGGCUGGUAGAGGUCCCCUGCUUGUGCGCACGAUGCAGCGCGGCGUGUUGCGGACGAAGCUGGGGAAGAGCUUGCGGAGGAAGCGCAGGUGGAGAUGGCGCAACGGGCUCGCAGGGGAGAGGGCUGCGCGCGAGGGCUGCAGCGUUGCGGGUAGCGCGCGAGGAAGCUCCUGGUCGCGUGCGGCGUGGUGGUCAGCGGAGCGCAGGUGGGGCGCGACUUGGUGCUGGUAGCGGCGCGCCGUGGAUGAUGAAGAGGAGGAGGUGCUGCGUGGGUGAGGUUGUGGCGCAGUAGCGGCGGAUGAAGGAAUAGAAGGAAAAGGGGAAACAGGGGAGCGGUGGAGAAGAAGAAGAAAAAGAAAGAAAGAAAGAAAGAAGAAGAAAAGAAAGAAAGAAAAAGAAAAUUUUUUUUUUUUUUGGGAUUUUUUUUUUUUUUUUAAAUUGAAUUGAGAUUGGAAAAUUCGAUUUUUGAAUACCAAAACUGAAAAUGAAAAAGGAAAUUACUGUUAUUUAAAGAAAGAGGGAAAAAAAUAUUUUUUUUUUAUUAUUAUUUUUUUUGAAAGUGAAAAAUUAUUUCCUUUGUUUUUGGGUCGUCAAACACCGCGUGGGCACGCCAAGAUUGGUCUUCGUCCUCUGACCUCAGGAGACGCAAACACCGCGUGGGCACGCCAAGACUUCACUUCCUGAUAACAGUGGAGGAAAUAUGAAAACCAAUUACUACUCAAUCGAGAAACGAAAAACGAAAGAAAUGAACAACAAAAAAUAAUAAAAUCAAUAUUUGGGUUGCCUCCCAAAAAGCGCCUUUCUUUAAUGUCUUUAGCUAGACAUUAUCAUGUUUUGCUCAUGGAGGAUAAAAUCUUGUGGCUCGCUUCAAUGUUUCAUCUUCAAUGUGAUCCUGGUAACCCUCAUAGAUGGAGUAAUUCUUGAGUACACGAGCUACAGUCUUCCAUGGACCAGUAGAUUGCGCCAAACAAUCAAGCAUUGAUCGCAAUUCUUCAUCCACUCCUCCAUCAAGAGCAUUCAACGGUUCAAGAUAUUUUUCCAUUACCACUCUUAACUUAUUCCUGUCAUGAAAUUUCAAAUUUUCUGAUAUAAUAAAAUCAAUUUCAGUAACAGGAGUUGAAGAAUAGGAGUCAGGAAAAUAUUGAUUAAGGAGUGGAGAAGAUGUCACCGCAUUUGGAGAUUGUCCACUGGAUUCAUUCACUUGGAUGGGUUGCGGUUGGGGUUCCAUUUCUUCAUUUUCGGCUUCUUUUUCAACUGCAUCUGUAGAUCUCUCAUUUUGACACUCUUGCAUCUCCUCAUCACUAGUCAAGCAAAUUGCACUCUUAUUUUCUUCAAAAUCAACAAUGGUUUUCGAGGGCAAUUCUUCAAUUUGAGAAGCCACCAAUCGAUUUAUUCUGGAUGUCAAUAGACAUAUUUGAUCUUCCAGAUUACUCAUUGCAUCCUUCAUCAUCUCAUUUCUCAUUCGUGUCUCCUGUUGGAAUUGAUAUGUAUUAGUAGCUAAUGAUUCAACUAUUUCUUCAAGAGACAUACCUGACAUAGAUGAUAAUUCUGGAGACUCAUACUGCUGAAAAUUCAUUGGCCCUGUUGUAUAAUCAUAACUGGAGUUAUCCCACCAUCCUUGAUCAUACCCGUUUGGAUUAGAGUCAUACCACGUUUGAGACCAGGGUGAAAAAUCUCCAUAAUUAUUGAGGGGGACACUCAGAUUAUCUUGAUAUUCGGGGCACAUACCGGUUGAAUGAUCCCUGGCAUAACAAAUUUUACAGGUUGCAGCAGCCAUUCUUUCUCUAAUAGAGUUCAGUGCCUCUGAAUAUGUAAACUUAGAAAAGAAACUAGUCUCAUCGCCUUCCCCGGAAACAAAAUCCAUUAGAUCACCAAAAUACGGAGUGUUAGAAGCCAUAAGCUAUAUAUAAAAAAAAAUAAAAAAAUAAAAAAAUAAAAAAAUAAAAAAAUAAGAGAAAAAUAAAUUAAAAAUGAAAACAAGGUGAACUCAAAAAGAAACAAAUUAAUCUGACACCAGUCCCCGGCAAUGGCGCCAAAAAUUGACAGGUGCCGAACCUGUACAAUAAUAAAUAGCUACUCGAGAAAAAUACAGAUUUUGUAUAUAGCGGUGAGUAGGGUCGAAUCCACAGGGACUGGGGAUAAUUCGUUUCUUCUAGAGUCCAAAGUAUGGGGGGUUUUGGAUUAAAUGCUAACUAAAUAAAUUAACUGCAGAAAAUAAUUGAUUAAGAGAAAUGAUUGGGGAAACUCUAGCCAAGGGUACACAUCAGAAAUGGUUCAUGCACUGAUCAUUGAUGCAGAAAUAAUUCCAACAUUUAGCAAUAGAUUAGUUAUAGUUGUCAUGCACGCGAUAAACAACCAACCCUUCCUUAAUUUCUCGAUAGCUAAGGUACGACCGUUAGCUAUUUCUCUAACUCAAAAAUAACCCUAGGUACGACUGUAGGAUUUAAUUUCUAGAUUGCAUUAAUAAUUAGAAAGGCCCAAUCCUAACCAACAAACACGCUACGAGGGUUUGUUUAAAUUAGAUCAUAUGCUCCCCUGACAUAAACCCAAUUACGCCAGUUGCUACUGAGGUAGAGAUAACGAACAAUUACGGAUUCAAUUACCCAUAUUUAGCAAAAAUAGCCUAUAUGAAUAAUUAAUUAUUGCGCACUAAUCAAUCAUACACAAGGCCAUAGCAAUUAAAAUCAAGGAACAUAUAAAUACCAAUAAAUGAAGAAAAUAAUUAAAACAGAUUCGAUCUCACAGUAAUUGUCGAACCAAAUCGUCAGUUGUCCCCUUGACUAGAAAAGCUUAACCACGGCUCAUGAGAAAAUCUCCCCGUUGGGGAAUAUUGUCGAAUACCUGGCGUGUGUCAGAGGCCAGUCCAAAGAAAGAAAACUAGAACUAAACUAAAAAACUAAAACUAAAGCCCUAGAUAUCCUUUGCUUCUGUACGUUGUCCCCUUUUAAAGCAACAAAAGAAAGAUGACUAAAAGCUAUCUAGGUGGUCCCCACACAUGUGGACAAAGCCUCCCAAGUACUUCUUGUUCCAAGUCUCUUUACGUUGCUUUCUUUGAAGCCCAAAUGACCAAAUGCCUUUCACUAGCUUGUGGUCCCCCACCAAUUCAAGGGCCCAAGGAUUGAAGCCCUUAGAAGUCCCCAUAUUUUUCACAAAGUCCCUCCUUUUUGGUAGUUUUCUGCUUCAUUCCUGAAAUUGAUUCCAAAUACCAAAUAUGAGUAAAUAUCAGCAAUUAACACAAUAUUUGUCAGGGAUAGAAGGGAAAAUUAAUAAUAAAAAUACUAACAAAUUAUACCUUAUCAAUAAGGAUGAGAAUCUUAGUUUUGUACCCAUUCGUUAAAUGAGAAUUGUCUAAAAAUAAUAAAUUAUUUAGUGUAGUUCAUAAGAAUAUUUUCAUAAAAUACAAACUUAUUGUAUAAUCUAUUAUAACCUUUCUUAAAUACAUUGUUAUUCAAAAAUAGUCGUAUAAUGUAAAUUUAAACAUCUAAUUCAGUGAUUAAUAAUUUGAAAUGUAAAAAAAACCGACAAUACGAUGACAUUCAAAAACUUGAAAAUAGGGAAGAUCAAAUCUUGGCUGAUCUUAUGUAAACAAAAGAAUGGCCAACCCGUUACCAAAACAUCAAUUAUGGUACUUAAUAUAAAUGGCUUAAAGGUUAAUAUGAAAAGAAAAGAAACUGAAUGAAAUAUUAAUAAAAGAUAAGAAUUCAGAAUCAAUCAAGUCACAUGAACAUAGCAACCUUCUAAAUCUGUUUAUGGCUAAUAGAAACCAAAACGAAAACAUAAGAUGUAUUUUGCUAUUAAGUCAAAAACAUAAAAAAUCUAAAUAGUCUGAUGUAUAUUGCAUGACGUGAACUGCUGUAUGACAAUGAACUUGAUGUCUUGCCAUUUAUGUAAUUAAUGACACCUUCUCCUUCUUUAGAAGCUUUCUAUCAAAGUCUAAAAAAAAACCAUUGAAAACUGCACAAAAUUUUUUUAACCCCAAAAAUCCAGAAAAUAAUGUACACCUUCUUAGCUCGGCAGUCUCCCAAUCACCACCCUUGCUCUUACGCUGGUUGCGAAUGGGGGAUAAGAUGUCCGAAAAAAUUGAAUGGGUGAAAGAGAGUAUUGGAGGCACGUAUUGGGUUAAAUUGGCUUCACCCAAAAGCCUAUGUUUUAGUCGACUUUCAUUCACAAUAGCAGCAAUGAUGUCCGAAGCAUGUGGGAUCCUAAUUAAAGUUGGGAUUAAUCCUACCAAGAGUGGUCCAGACGGAACAGCCCCCUCUCUAUUAUACAUUUAUAUUGCCUCAAAUUGAAAGUAACUAAAUUAAUAAGGGAAAAAAACCUGGGCCGGAAAAAAAAAUCCUUGCGAAAUCUAAAGUGGAAUAUAAGUUGUAUUGGCAGACACAUGCAAGUGGUGGGCUCAGUGCUUCUGAACCUUUGACAAGUAGUGGGUCCGGUUUCAUAGAAUUAUUGGGAAUUAUUGAAUUCCAUUCCCACACAUUGGGGUCCCUGUUUUUGCAAUAAUUCCACGGUCUUUUCACGAGGCUAAAAGAAAAAACUGACAAUUUCCUCAUCUACCUUUUCUUUAAUUUUCAAUUGAUUCAUUCUUUCUGUCUUUCUUUCCUUUUUUUUUUUUUCAAAAUUCAAGUAUUGUUGUUCAAUAUGUUUACAUUCUAUAUAAUGCUACAAACACAUUUUUCUAAAAAUAAUUUUCUUCUUCUUCCUUAUUAGAUUUAGAAUUUUCACUGAAUUAAAAAUAAAAAAAUUUAAAAAUGAAUCUAAAAUCUUAAGGGAUAUAUCGAGCCAGCUGUGACUAGAGCUUUAGACACUUUAUUGCCUGAGUUCUUUCAGCAUGGAAAUGGCAUCAAAAGGGACCCGGGCAAUGAUAAUUAAUUAAGAUAAUUUGAUCAUGGUGAAUCUAACGUUAGAAACUGCCAGCCAAGAAGUUUCUAGGUAAUUGUCCAAUUAUUUUGUGUGAAGAUAACCACUACUACUGAAGUACUUGCAUUUCAGACAAUAAAAGAAAAGAAAACCUUAGGGCAUCUCAACUGAAAAUCUCUAAGUUAAAGUCCCUCAUUUCAAUGUCCGAAAGAAACAGAUUAAAGAUGAGACAACAGUUCCCAGGUCUUGGUUUCCAUGACAUAAAACGCUUAAUAAAUCUUUAUCAAACGGCAAUUCUUUUUUUUUUUCAUCUCAUUUUCAUGCACAAAAAUUGUAUUUUUAACUUUUUCCCCCUCAACCAUGAAUCUGGUAGCGGGAAAACUUCUAAGAACCAUCUCUAUCCACUAAGCAGAUCCCAAUACUCAUUGUAUUUUUUGUUAGAGUGGUUAUCUAAAUUGAACCUUUGGUGAAAAUCAUCACCUAUUAAAUCUAAAAUAUAUAUAUAUGACGAUUAUUAAGAAAUAAAUUAACAUUAAAAUAGCAGAAGCAUACCUAAAUCCAUAUUAACAAACUUGAUACUUGAAUCUUUAGAGAAUUUGAGAUAGCCUUCCAGAUCAACACGUAUUUACCAAUUCUUGAGAGAGGCCUUUAGUUUCUCUCUGGUAUCUUUCCUGACGAUGGGAUAUCAGGGAAGAGUUAUUUGUGGUAUUAAGAAAUAUGACAACUAGAAUUGAUACCUGUGACUUAGGGACCAUAACCCUAUUUAUAGGUAACAUUCCUGUUAGCUUUUGGAACCCUAUUUUAGCCCAUCAUAGAAAUAGGAGCCCUUAAGUCUCUACACAUUAAAGGCUCAUAUCCUAUUAGAUACAUUAAACCCAAACUAUAUUUGAUCACUUUAAUUGGGUUUGAUCUUAAUUGACAGUUUGCAAUACAUAAUUAUUCACAUAUAAAUUCAAUGUUGGAUUAAGGAUCCAACAAUCUCCCACUUGGACUAUAUGUGUAAUUUUAUAAUUAUGUUUCGCAAUUAAUCGUAUGAGCUCAACUUUACUGUCAUUAUCAUAAUGUAUCUACAACCAAUUCGGUCCAUCAAUCAUAUCAACAUAGGAUCAAAGUGGCCUUUGUUACAAUUUUAUAACUCGACCCGUCAAUGGUCACAUAUAUCGAUGCAAUUGAAUGACAUGAAUUAUGAUGUGGAUGUGUAACAUGAAAAUUUCAUGUAAUGUAAUCAAAACAUGCCUAUUUCCAACUGGUUCACCUUAAAUUUUCAUGAGAUCAAACUAUACUAAAUUCAGAGUGUAAAUAAAUUCAAACUUUAUUUAUGCAUAAAAUAUUCUUAAAUCCUUAAUAAUCGAAAACUAUCAUAAGAGCAUUUAAAAAUAAUAAACUCCCACUAAAACUGUACAUCAUUUAAUAACACGACACCCAUACGAGCAGUAUGCUUAUGAAAUAUUUUGGGUGACAAUCCCUUAGUAAGCGGAUCCGCAACCAUGGAGUUUGUCUCGAUAUGCUCUAUCGAUAACUGUUCAUUCUGCACUCUUUCUUUAACAGUCAGGAACUUGAUAUCUAUAUAUUUAGAUUUCGUCGAGCCCCUGUUAUUAUUAGAAUAUAGGACUGCUGAUUUAUUAUUACAAAAUAAUUUGAGUGAUCUUUCAAUACUAUCCACUACACGUAAUUUUGUGACAAAAUUUUGCAGUCAGAUUCCUUGGUUGGAUACCGCAUAACAAGUUAUAAACUCUGCAACCAUAAUAGAAGAAGCUAUGAUGGAUUGUUUAGCACUCUUCUAGGAUAUGGCACCUCCAACCAACAAGUAGAUAUAGUCUGACAUUGACUUCAUAGUAUCUUGACAUCCACCAUAAUCGGAAUCAGUAUACCCAAUGAUCUCUAACUCAUCUGACUUUCGAUACGUGAGCAUGUAAUCUUUUGUUUUCUGUAGAUGCCGUAAGACCCGUUUGGUUGCUUUCCAAUGAUCUAAUUUAGGAUUACUCAAAUAUUUACCCAACAUCCUAGUAAUAUAUGCAAUAUUCGGACGCGUACAUACUUGAGCAUACAUUAGACUCUCUACUGCUGAUGCAUAAGAAAUCUUUUGCAUCUCUUUUUUCUCAAAAGCAUUCUUAGGACACUGCUCAAGACUAAAUUUGUCUCCUUUAGUCAUAGGAAUGUCACCUGAUUUACAAUUUUACAUGCCAUAUCUUUUAAGAACCUUUUCGAUAUAACCCUUUUGUGAUAGUCUUAAAAUACCCCAAAAUUAAUCCCGAUAUAUUUGUAUGCCUAACACAAAAAAUGCAUCACCAAGAUCUUUUAUCUCAAAAUUCUUGGUUAGAAAUUUCUUGAUUUCAUGCAAUAGACCCAUAUCGUUGCUAGCAAACAAAAUGUCAUUAACAUACAAUAUCAGAAAAAUAUAUUUGCUCCCACAGAACUUAUGGUAUAUACAAUCAUCCAUUAAGUUCAUCUCGAAAUCAAAUGAGAUGAUUACUUGAUGAAAUUUGAAAUAACAUUGUCGAGACGCUUAUUUGAACCCAUAGAUGAAUUUUUUAAGUUUGUAAAUCAUAUUUUUUGGAUCUCCUGAUACAAAGUUUUCUGAUUGCACCAUAUAAAUUGUCUCAUCAAUGUUACCAUUGAGAAACGCUGUCUUUACAUCCAUCUGAUGUAACUCAAGAUCAAAAUGUGUCACUAAUGCCAUGAUAAUUCUAAAAGAGUUCUUUGAAGAGACUGAAGAAAAGAUUUCUUUAUAAUCGAUACCUUCUUUUUGUAUAAAUCCCUUGGCGAUAAGACGAGUUUUGUAUCUUUGCACAUUGCCUUUCGAAUACCUUUUAAUUUUAAAUAUCCAUUUACAACCAAUGAGUUUCAUUCCUUCUGGCAAUGGGACAAGAUCCUAAACAUCAUUGUCCCUCAUGGCAUCGAUCCACUUUUGAGAAUUUGAACUUUCUAUCGUUUGACGGAAGUUGAUUGGAUCAUCUUCCAUCAAUCCAAGGUCAUUCUCAUGUUCUUGAAGAAAAACAAUGUAAUCAUCUAACACUGCACUUUUCCUUUCUCUAGUGGAUCUUCUUAGCGGCACUGGUUCUUGAAGAGGAAGAGUUUGUUUUUCUAUAACAGUUUGCUCUUCGAUAUUGUCUUGAUUUGUCAUAUCAUGAUCAAGUUCAGGAAUAGGGUCCUGAGCAAAUUCAAUGAUACCUGUGAGAAUAUUAAUAUAUUUCUCUUUAAAGACAAUGUCCCUUACUAUAUUUUCUCCCCCAAACUCGACAUCCUCAAAGAACCGGGCAUUUCCUGUCUCAAAAAUUGAUUUGACUGCGGGAUCAUAAAACUUGUAACCCCUGGAUCUUUCAGAGUAUCCAAUAAAAUAACAACUAAUUAUUCUUGAAUCCAGUUUCUUUUCAUUAGACCUAUAAGGUCUUGCUUCAACUGGACAUCCCCAAAUAUGUAAAUGCUUUAAACUGGACUUUUUUUCUGUCCAAAGUUCAUAAGGGGUUUUGAAAGUUGCUUUAAUUGGAAUUCUGUUAAGGAUAUAUGCUGCAGUCUUAAGUGCUUCUUCCCAGAGUGACUCUGGUAAGGUAGAAUGAUAUAUCAUACUUCUUACCAUGUGUUUAAGCGUUCUAUUUCGUCUUUCAGCUACACCAUUCAUAGUGGGUGAAUCCGGCAUAGUGUACUAUGGGACGAUACCGCAUUCCUCUAGGUAUUUAGCAAAUGGUCCUGGACGUCGUUCAUCUGAACCGUCGUAUCUACUAUAGUACUCACCACCACGGUCAGAUCUGACGCUUUUAAUUCUUUUGUUGAGUUGAUUCUCAACUUCAGCUAUAAAAUUUUUGAACACGUCCAGUGACUAUGACUUUUCAGAAAUGAGAUAUAUGUAACCAUAUCUUGAAAAAUCGUCUAUGAACGUUAUAAAAUAUUGUUGACCAUUCCAAGCAGAUGUAAAAAAUGGCCCACAAAUAUCUGUAUGUAUAAGUUCUAAGACGUCUAAGAACCUAUUGGUUUCAAAUCUCCUUUUAUUGAUUUGUUUUCCCUUUAUACAGUUAAUUGAAUCAUCAAAAUCUGUAAAGUUUAAGGGGUCGAGAAUUUCAUUUGACACAAGUAUUUCUAUUCUCCGUUUGGAGAUAUGUCCUAAUUUCUUAUGCCAUAAUGCGGCUAAUUUCUCAUUGAUUAAUUUUCUCUUUACUCCUCUAGUACUCAAAUACAGGGAUUCAUUAAAUGAGGCAACUGUAUCAAUUAAAUAUAGAUAAUCGUAGUGCAUUAAAGAACUAGAACCAACCAAUUUUGAAUCAUAAAACAAUUCAAAUUUUUCAUUUCCAAAUAAACAAGAAUAAUCAAAUUUGUUCAAAGUAGAAAUGAAAAUUAAAUUCCAUCUAAAAGACGGUACAACAAAUGUCUCAUUAAAAUCCAAAAAAAAUUCGGUCUUUAACAAUAAUAAAAAAACUCCAAUUGCUUCAACUUAGACUGUUUUGCCAUCGCUCACGUAGAUAUAUCUUUCAGUAUCAUUAGGCUUUCGACAAUUCAAGCAACCCUGCAUAGACACACUGAUAUGAGUUGUUGCACCAAAAUCUAACCACCAUGUGUAUCUAGGUACCGAAGUUAAAUUAAUCUCAGAACAAACCAAAUUAAGAAACAUACCUUUCUUAGCACGCCAAGCGUGAUAGUUGGUGCAAUGCUUCUUUUGAUGCCCUUCAGUUUCAUAGAAGAAACAACUAUUCUUUCUCUGAUCAUUUGAUUUCUUUUGUUGUUUCUUUUGUGGCGCUGUACCUGCAGCUCCUUUUUCCUUCUUUCUUUUAAGUCCCAUACUUUUAUUAUUAGUGGUUGAUAUCAAAUGGGCACUUUCUGUCUGCUCUUGUUUCAACCUUUUCCCUUCCUCUACACAGUGUGAGAUGAGUUCAUUUAGAGACCAAGUUUCCUUUUGACAGUUGUAACUUAUCUUAAACUGGCUAAAUUGUGUAGGAAGAGAUAUUAAAAUCAAAUGCACUAGUAACUCUUCAGAGAGUUUGAUGUCCGACGGAUCUAGACGAAUACCAAGUUGGGAUGAUUUGCGAAACUUUGACCCUUCUAGAAUCACAAGCCACGAACUAAGGAGAUUCCUUAACCCAAGACUAGCAAAUUUAGUGAACCAAAAGUAUAGUUAGAAGAACGCCACAAUCAAUGAGACUACUUGAUUGAUAAGUUCGAUGAACAACUUGAGAUUAAUUCUCAAGUAUUCAAAGGAAAUUCUCUUGAGGCAAAAGAGAGUGAAUAAACUCACGAAUAUUUUGUAAAAACCUGAAUAUCCUUCAUGAAUGAAUACCUAGGCUAUAUAUAGCCUUACAAGACAAAACCCUAGACCGUCAAUGGACGAUCUUGCCCUUCAUUAAGGGUGUAGUUGUCCAAGUUGUAUUAACUUAAUAUCUAACAACUAAUUAACUAAUCUAGGACUCAGAAUUCGGCCAAAGGUAAAGUGUAAUUGACCGAAAUUAUUUAAUGCUAACAAACAACUAAUAAUGGUAACUAAAAACCUAAUUAACAAGCUAGUGAUCCGCGACUAGUCUUCGCUUGAUUCUUCCACUUGAAGGAAAGUGUAUAAAGUAGUUUCUCCAUGGUGUAAUCCUUCAAUGGUCCUCAAGUCAUCCCCAAUUCGUUCUUGAAUCGUGCAAACAAGAGCUUGAAGUGAUUCUUGGAUUUUUCUAACGCGUGCUCGUGUAGUUGGACCACUUGGUAUUUGCAUGACUUGGGCACUAGAAGUUCGAGCAGCCGUGAGCCCCUCCUCAUUAGGCCCCUCCUCUUGAAGGCGAUUUGUCCCCAAAUCAAACUCAUCGUCUGCAUGAAAAGGACUCAAGUCAGAUACAUUAAAUGUAGCAUGUAUUUCAUACUCACCUGGAAGUUCAAGUUUGUAGGCAUUGUCAUUUAUACGCUUUAGGACUUGGAAUGGACCAUCCCCCCUUGGGAGUAGCUUGCUACGACGUUUGAGUGGGAACCUCUCCUUGCGCAUGUGGAUCCAUACCCAAUCACCAGGCUCAAAGACCAUCUUGCGGCGCCCCUUGUUGGCACUUUGGAUGUAUUGAAGUGUACGCUUCUCGAUGUUGGCUCGCACCUUAGUGUGUAACUCACGUACAUAUGCAGCUUUGUUCUUACCAUCCAAGUUAACUCUCUCAUGAACAGGUAAAGGAGUUAAAUCCAAAGGUGUGAGAGGGUUAAAGCCAUACACGAUUUUAAAAUGUGAGUAAUGUGUGGCAGAAUGAACAGUGCGAUUGUAUGCAAACUCCACAUGUGGUAAACAAUCUUCCCAAGAUUUAAUGUUUUUUUUUAUAAUUGCGCGCAAUAGGGUAGAUAAAGUCCUAUUAACCACUUCGGUUUGACCAUCCGUUUGUGGGUGACUAGAAGUAGAAAAUAGUAACUUAGUACCUAGUUUACACCACAAAGUUUUUCAAAAAUAGCUAAGGAAUUUGGCGUCCCUAUCAGAAACAAUAGUGCGUGGCAUGCCAUGUAAUCUAACUAUCUCACGAAAGAAUAAAUCUGCAACAUGCUUAGCAUCAUCUGUUUUAUGACAAGGAAUAAAAUGGGCCAUUUUGGAAAAGCGGUCAACUACCACAUAGAUUGAGUCAUGGCCUUUUCUAGUCCUAGGCAGUCCAAGCACAAAAUUCAUUGACAGAUCAACCCAUGGUUCAUGUGGAAUAGGUAAAGGUGUAUAGAGACCAUAAGGGUGUACCUUUGAUUUUGCUUGGUGACAAGUCACGCACCUUUCAAUGUGUCGUUCCACGUCACUCCUCAUGCGUGGCCAGAAGAAAUGUUCUUGGAGAAUCAUUAAGGUCUUGGCAAUGCCGAAGUGUCCCAUUAGCCCUCCUCCAUGAGAUUCUCGUACUAGGAGUGUGCGCAUGGAGCUCUUGGGAAUGCAAAGCUUGUCCUUGUAGUAUAGGAACCCCUGAGAGAUGAAAUAAUGCUCACGAGAGUGUCGUGGCAAGGCGACAAAAAUCUCACCAAAAUCUGGGUCAGACGCAUAAAAAUCUUUAAGGAAUUCAAAACCAAGCAACUUAGCGUCUAAUGUAGUGAUAAGGGUAUGCCUUCGCGAGAGUGCAUCAGCCACUACAUUCGUCUUACCUGUCUUGUAUUUGAUCACAAAGGUAAAACUGUCAAUGAAGGUAAUCCAUCUUGCAUGUCGCUUACUCAACUUGUCUUGGGACUUGAUAUGCUUGAGCGACUCAUGAUCGGUGUGCAGACAAACUCACGAGGGCGAAGGUAAUGUUGCCAUGUUUGUAGGGCUCGCACUAAGGCCAUGAGUUCCUUAUCAUAGGUUGAGUAGUUUAGAGCAGCUCCAUUUAACUUCUCGCUAAAGUAGGCAACUGGGCGGCCCUCUUGAAGUAAAACAGCUCCAAUACCUAUACCAGAAGCAUCACACUCUGCUUCAAAAGCUUUGUGAAAAUUAGGUAAACUAAGAACAGGUGCAUGUGUGAGCUUGUGUUUAAGUAAUUGGAAGGACUUAGCUUGCUCCUCUCCCCAAUGAAAUUGCACAUCUUUCUUGAUAAUUGAUGUAAGUGGUGCAGCUAUUGUGCUAAAAUCCUUGACAAAACGCCUAUAGAAGCUUGCCAAGCCAUGUAAACUUCUCACCUCACUUACAUUGGUAGGGGUUGGCCAGUCACUAAUAGCCUUCACCUUGUCUUGAUCAACAUGAAUUCCCUGCUCACUAACAACAUAGCCUAGAAAAACCAAUUGAUUUGUGCAAAAGGUACACUUCUUAAGGUUAGCGUAGAGGCUUGCCUUGCGAAGUGCAUCGAGAACCAUUUGUAAAUGUACAACAUGCUCAUCUAGAGUCUUACUAUAGAUCAAAAUGUCAUCAAAGUAAACGACCACAAAUUUACCAAUGAAAGAACGUAAAACAUGAUUCAUGAGUCUCAUAAAAGUACUUGGUGUAUUGGUUAGCCCAAAAGGCAUGACCAAUCGCUCAAAAAGUCCAUGUUUUGUUUUAAAUGCAGUUUUCCAUUCAUCUCCUUCUUUCAUGCGAAUUUGAUGGUAACCACUUUUCAAAUCAAUCUUAGUAAAAAUGAUAGCACCAUGUAAUUCAUCAAGCAUGUCAUCCAAACGAGGUAUGGGAUGGCGGUACUUUACCGUUAUGGCAUUAAUCGCUCUACAAUCAGUGCACAUUCUCCAUCCUCCAUCUUUCUUCGGAACAAGUAGAACUGGUACAGCACAAGGGCUUAGACUUUCUUGAAUCCAACCUUUACUAAGCAACUCCUCCACUUGUCGUUGUUGCUCCUUGGUUUCCUCAGGAUUGGUCCUAUAUGGUGCCUUGUUUGGAAGGGAAGAGCCAGGAAUGAAAUCAAUUUAAUGUUCAAUUCCCCUUAAUGGAGGCAAACCAUUAGGUAUAUCCUCAGGAAAGACGUCUUGAUACUCCUGUAAGAGGGUAGUAAUAACACUAGGCAAAGAAGUAUCAAGAACAUUAGUGAGUAAGGAUUCCUUGCCAAAUAAAAUAAAUAAAACCUGAUUAGAAUGCAAGGCCUUUCUCACAUCUUUCACCUUGGCAAGCAUGCUGGGUUUGUGAUCCAACUUGCUUGAAGAAGGGUCGGCCAACACUAAGUGCUUAGCUUUGGCGUUAUCCUUCUUAGUGGUAGCAUGCAAGUCAUACUCUUUUUGUAGACUAACUUGAUCCUCAUGUACUUGUUGAGGUGUAUGAGGUGCAAGUGUAAUCUUUUUACAAUUAUGCAUGAAAGAGUAUUUGUUCAAGAAACCAUCAAAAGUGACUCUUUUAUCAAAUUGCCAAGGACGCCCUAAGAGUAUAUGUGCAGCUUGCAUUGGUACUACAUCACACAUAACAUCAUCUUCAUACCUACCAAUGCGAAAAGUAACCAAAACUUGUUUAUGAACACGUACCUCUCCACUGUUGUUUAACCACUGAAACUUGUAGGGACGGGGGUGCUCACUAGUUGGCAAGUUUAGUUUCUCCACCAUCAAUGCACUAGCAACAUUAGUGCAACUUCCGGGGUCAAUUACCAAACUGCAUACCUUGUUGGUCACAUGGCACCUCGUGUAAAAGAUGUUGUCACGUUGAAGCUCAUCUUUACUAGCUUGAGUAGCUAGUGCUCUCCUUGCUACCAAUCCAACUUUGUCUUGAGUUGGAACUUCCUCUAUCUCAUCUUCCUCUUCAACCAAGGAAGGCAUGUCUUUGUACUCCUCCUCUUCAUCAUCAGUGACAAUGUCUCCAUUUGGUAGCACAGGCAUGGUCCUUGGAUUUGGACAUUGGCUUGCAAUGUGCCCAACUCCUUGACACCUCCAACAUUUGGUGUCACGAUGCCUAGGUUUUGAAGUUUCCAUUGUUGAUUUUGAAACAACCUUGGAGUCUGUUUUUGGAAAAGAUGGCCGUGAGCUGGUCCCUUGGUUUUGCUUCGGCUUUGGAGUGUUCCAAACGUUCGGACCUCUCUCCUCCCUUCUAGGCUGGAAUGGUCGAGUAAAUGGUUGUGGAGUAGUGUUAUAAUUCCGGGUUGUACCCCUCCGCUUGAGCCUUUGCUCAAUCUUGAUAGCCUUUUCGAUCAUAUCUUCUAUCUCCACAUAGUAUUGAAGCUCAAGUUGAUCGGCUAUCUCAACCCUCAGACCACUGAGAAAUCUUGCCAUUGUCGCCUCUCGGUCUUCUUGAAUAUCAGCUCUCAACAUAGAGAUUUCCAUGUCUUUGUAGUAGUCCUCAACUGAGCGUUGAUCUUGAGUCAAGUUUUGAAGUUUUUGGUACAAGUCUCUAUGGUAGUGACUUAGUACAAAUCACCUCUUCAUAAGCCUUUUGAGCUCAGUCCAAGUGGUGAUAGGCGGUUCACCACACCUCCUCCUGCUUGUAACCACUUGUUCCCACCAGACUAUGGCAUAGUCGGUGAAUUCCACCACGGCAAGUCUCAAUUUUUGUGCAUCGGUGUAGUCAUUACAAUCGAAUACUAGCUCCACUCGACUUUCCCAUUCAAGGUAUGUAUCCGGAUCAGAUUUGCCUUGGAAUGGAGGAAUCUUCAUCUUAAUCCCUUUGAUGCAUCACCAAUGGCUCUUGUGUUUCUCCUCGGUCUUCUUUGCUCGAAUGCCUCAUGAUCCGAAUCGGCGUUGGAGCCACUAGAUUCAUCCAGGACUGAUUUCCUCCUAGAUUUCCUAGAAGAAGCUUUAGAGGAAUUUAGUUGCUCAAGCUGCUCAUGGAUCGAUUCCAGCUUUUGGUCCACUCGCCUUUGCAUUUCGUUCCACAUAGUAUCCAUUUUAAGUGAUAAUUGAGCAACGGUGAGUUCAUUUUCCUGAGACAUGGUGAAACCUGCAAAACUUGGCAAAUUGUUAGUAGAAAAAAAUGCCUCACUCGCUCCCUUAAGUGUUGCACUCCUCUUGUGUUUUCACUCAAGUGUUUAUGUCCCUCUAAUGCACUCACCAAUUCACUCCUCAAGUCACUUGAUCGUUUCCUUUGAAGAAAUCAGAAAUUAUCUCAAAACAAUUCAAUCAAACUUUAACCAAUUGGCUCCCAAAUCAAAGGACAAGAGUAGAACGGAAAGCUCAAGGACUGAUUUGGUAAGAAAUGGAACAAGGAAAAAUUGAUGUACAAAAAAUUGCCCAAGUAUAAUGAUGGAGUUUCCCAAGUGUUUUUACUUAAUUUCCUAAUUGAUUUUUUUUUUGGAAACAAGUUAGGUGUUGUACUUAUUUGGAAAUUUCCUUAAAGUCGUCUAACCAAAUCAGAAUUGUUACCAAAAAAAAAAAUACUAGAUUUCCUUUCUCUUUAACCUUCCUAAAGUCGGCUGCUAACCAAGUGCCAAACAGUUUUCUUGGCAGUUUCCUAUUCUAACCGAAACUAUCCUCUGAAAAUUCCAGAAUUUCCUCUUCUUAAAUCCCUCUCAAAGUCGGCUAGAACUUCCUAAAAAUUGUCCAGAUUUGGUAGCUUUCUCACCUCUAAAAUUUUCCAGAAUAUCCUCUUCUUAAAGCCGAUCCUUACCCCCCAAAAUUUUCGUCCCUUACUCUCCCUCAAGAACAAACAAUUCGGCCCCCCUCCUCUUUGCUCCACACAAGGACAGUUUCGUCGUGUGGUUCUAGUCAAUGGCUUCACAAGAUGAUACAAGCGACGUCACUCAAGAAUUCCCCAAGCGGCCUGCUCAAGAAAUUCCCAAGAGGUUUACUCCUAAGCCAAGGAAGCCCCGUAUGGAUGCAAGGACGUACAAUAAACUUUUUAUACGAAGAGAGGUGCAAAUCUUCAAGAAUCAAGAUGGUCAAGAUCCUCAAAAAUCUCAACGGGUGAUACAAGUGAUCAAGGCUCAAGGUGCUCAAGAUUUUCAAGAGGAGGUUGGUCAAAACUUUUGAGUAGUCUUUUCUUGAUGUAAUUUUCUGGUUUGUUGGAACAAUUGCAACAAGACAGAAUUUGGCAAAUAAAAGUGCGGCUUCCUUCUUUGUUGUUUGCUACCCGAAUGCCUUUUCUCUUUUCCUUUUUCUGUUUUUGUUUUUUUUUUUUUUGACUCUAAGAACACACAAUUACUCGGCUGUUUUUGGGUAAAAAUUCCAGAAUCUAAUGUCAAUCCAAUGUUCUCCUUCAAUCCUCCAAUAAUUAUCAAGACAUGUAUCAAAGUUUCAAGACUUCAAGAUUAGUUUCAAGAAACUCAAGAAACCCUAGAUUAUGGUAGUCCCUCUCCAAGAUUCCAACCCCAAACAAGUUUAACCACAAAAAUCAGUUUAGGAAAUUAAUGAAAACAACUUGGUGGAAUAAACUAAAGUUUGGACGGAUUUGGCAAGAAACUUGCGCCCAAGGAAACCCUAGUUGCAAGUGAAAACCCUAGCCGUCGCGACAAAUUUUUUUUUUUUUUUUAAUAUUCAAACAGAAUAUGCAAGGCACACAACUCGGUUACACUUGAAGGCAGGCUUCAAGACAGAAUCACACAACAAGUAAUGCACGAAGUGGCUGCGAAGCAAAAGAAAACAAAGAGCUACGCAACAAGAACAAACAAAGGCGGACAGAAUUUUUUUUUUUUUUUGUAAAAUAAUCGGACUUGACACAAAGAGAGACACAACCAGUUUUGCAAGAUAAAAUUUACUAGAAAGCUUACGAACAAACUCAACAGGAUAUACUUGAUGUCGUCGACUAGCUCUGGAUACCAACUGAUGUGCGGCGGAUCUAGACGAACACCAAGUUGGGAUGAUUUGCGGAACUUUGACCCUUCUAGAAUCACAAGCCACGAACUAAGGAGAUUCCUUAAGCCAAGACUAGCAAAUUUAGUGAACCAAAAGUAUAGUUAGAAGAACACCACAAUCAAGGAGACUACUUGAUUGAUAAGUUCGAUGAACAACUUGAGAUUAAUUCUCAAGUAUUCAAAGGAAAUUCUCUUGAGGCAAAAGAGAGUGAAUAAACUCACGAAUAUUUUGUAAAAACCUGAAUAUCCUUCAUGAAUGAAUACCUAGGCUAUAUAUAGCCUUACAAGACAAAACCCUAGACCGUCAAUGGACGAUCUUGCCCUUCAUUAAGGGUGUAGUUGUCCAAGUUGUAUUAACUUAAUAUCUAACAACUAAUUAACUAAUCUAGGACUCAGAAUUCGGCCAAAGGUAAAGUGUAAUUGACCGAAAUUAUUUAAUGCUAACAAACAACUAAUAAUGGUAACUAAAAACCUAAUUAACAAUCUAGUGAUCCGCGACUAGUCUUCGCUUGAUUCUUCCACUUGAAGGAAAGUGUAUAAAGUAGUUUCUCCAUGGUGUAAUCCUUCAAUGGUCCUCAAGUCAUCCCCAAUUCGUUCUUGAAUCGUGCAAACAAGAGCUUGAAGUGAUUCUUGGAUUUUUCUAGCGCGCACUCGUGUAGUUGGACCACUUGGUAUUUGCAUGACUUGGGCACUAGAAGUUCGAGCAGCCGUGAGCCCUUCCUCAUUAGAGUUUCAACUUAAGUGCAUUUAAUUUCGAAACAAGAUGAGACAUUUCUAUGAUGUACUCUCUGAUAUUGUCUUUACCACUAUCUUUCAUCGAAACCAGGCGUGUCAAGAGCGUAUUAAUUUCAGCCUUUUCAUUCUUGACAAAACCUUUUUUCAAUGUCCUGAAAGAACUUUUUAGUGGUUACAGUCGUUUCUGACAUUGUUCCCCUGAAUGCCUCUGAAACAGCCUUUUUGAUGAUUAUCAGACACAAGCGAUUUGAUCACUCCCACCUCUCAUUAUUUUUCUUUUCAUCAGAGGUACUCUGAUCUGUAAGAGGUGGGGGAGAAUCAAUCCUUAACGCAAGGUCGAGAUCCAUUACUCCAAAUAUUAUCAAGAGAUUUUCUUUCCAAAAUUUGAAAUUUGUGUCAUUCAACAUAGGAAUAUUAUUGAUGUUGGAAGUAAUAUUUGUAAGAUCAUUUGCAACUGAACAGAAAACAUAAAACAAUUAAAAACUAUGCUCAUAUAAACCAAAAAUAAUAAUAAAUUCAAAUAAAGGUAACCUCAUCUCAAGAUACUGAUAUUCCAUUAAUAUUUUAUUUUUGGACAAAAAUAUUAACUUCUGAGUGAUAUCUUGGUGCAGUGAUAAAUACUGAUAAUGAUAACAUGUCGAAAAUAAAUUUUCCUUUGGGCCAAUUUAUAAAUCGCAUGUAAAGUCCAAAUAAUUAUCACGUAUUUAUUACCACAAGUGCACAUGUAAUUUCAUUAAAUAUUAACCUUCUUUGGGCCGAUCAAUAUUCAUAAAAUUACAAGUAUCCAACUAGUUAUAUUUAAAAUAAAUUAAUUUUCAUAAUAGAUGUCACUUUGGUGGCAUAUUAUUUCAAUUAAUUUAUUCUAAAAUAUAUAUAUUCAUACCAAUAUUCAAAUUUAAAAUUAUCCAAAUUAAAUAAAAAUUUUGAUCAAAGUCAACUUUGGUGAACUCUGAUCAAAACGUGGCCGAAUCUGGUCAAACUAGUCAAUUGGAUCAAGGCUUAUUAGACCAAAGGUCCAUAUUUAUAAUUUGAUCCAAAAUUAUCAUUCAAACCCAAAUUUUUUUUAAUCCAUAAGUACUUUAUAUAUAAGGAAAAACUACAUAUUUAAUGGGCCACACAUAUGAAUUUUAUAGGGUUUAAAUGCCUUAUUUAACUUUAUUAGAGUUCACUUAAAUUAAGAAAACCCUAAUUUUCUUAACAUAAUUACAGACAUAUUUAUUCUUAAGCAAAGAAACAGGUCAAAGAGCUCAAGAAUUAACCAAAUUAAUACUAUGAAGAGAACAUAGAAACUCAAAAUAUUAUAAUUCUCAAGAACAGAGAAAAAGACGAAAGCCUUCCCGAAGCCAGAAACCAAAUUAAUUUACAUUAUUAAAAGUAUGUGAGUCCUAAAACUCAUGACUUGUGCCACCAAUCAUGUGAACUUAACAUGACACCCACGUGAUAGAUAAAACCGCAACAUGACUUGAGAUAAAACACAUGCCAAGCAUGCGGGUCCUACAUAUUAGAAAGAUACGAUGGAAACUCACGAGUGAGCACUUUAUUGCAGAAAAUUGGAAUUGCAGACAACUUUAUGAAAGUUGCAAAAAAAAAAACUAGAAUUCCUCUAUGACUAGGCACCCGAAGGCAUGAAAAAACAAUAAACUUAGGAAUCAGUUACUUCUCAAGCAGUUUUAUUUUAACGAUUGCAGCAGAUGUCACUGGAUUCGAGAAUCGAAGUCAAGGGGCAUAUAAGUGAACAAUCAGCCAUUACAUCACAUAAACAAUUUUAAAAAUUGCAAACAAUUGCCGAUUCUUCACAAAUAUUAUACAUAAUUAUUCUUGAAAAAAGGAAAAUAAAAUUACUAAAUCCAAAUUAUUUCCUAAUAAUCAACCAUAUGGGCUCUGAUACCACUUGUUAGGGUGGUUAUCUAAGUUGAACCUUUGAUGAAAACCAUCACUUAUUAAAUCUAAAAUAUAUAUAUAUGGUGAUUAUUAAGAAAUAAAUUAACAUUAAAAUAGCGGAAGCGUACCUGAAUCCAUAUUAACAAACUUGAUACUUGAAUCCUUAAAGAAUUUGGGGUGGCAUUCCAGGUCAACACGUAUUCACCAAUCAUUGAGAGAGACCUUUAGGUUCUCUUUGGUAUCUUUCCUGACGAUAGGGUAUCAGGGAAGAGCUAUUUGUGGUAUUAGGAUAUACGACAACUAGAAUUGAUAUCUGUGACUUGGGGAUCAUAACCCUAUUUAUAGGUAACAUUCUUGUUAUCUUUUGGAACCCUAUUUCAGCCCAUCAUAAAAAUAUGAGCUCUUAAGUCUCUACACAUUAAAAGCUCACAUCCUAUUAGAUACAUUAAGCCUAAACUAUAUUUGAUCACUUUAAUUGGGUUUGACCUGAAUUGACAGUUUGCAAUACAUAAUUAUUCACAUAUAAGUUCAAUGUUGGAUUAAGGAUCCAACAUUUUUAACUUAAUAAACACCAAGAGGUUAAAUAUGGAUAGGGUAGGGCUAUCACUAUUAGGGGUGUUCAAACCUAAAAAGGGGGGGGGGGGUUCGCGAUCGAAUUUAGCUUAGAAAUUGGAUAACUAUAAAAUGAUUGAUAUCCAAUCUUUAAAGUUUGAUAAAAUGAGUUAAACACAAAUAUUGAAAUUUGAUUCUCACUUCUUUAGUGCAUGACGAUAUAGUAAUUUUUUUACACUAGUAGUUAUAAAUGCAUGCCACAUAUGUAUGAUUUGAAUUCAUAUUAUAUGGUAUGAUCUAAAUCUGCUAGUCUAAAAAAAAUCACUCUAACAAUGUAUAAAAACUUACUCUAAUAAUAUAUCAUAUUUAUUACAUAACCACUAGUAUAUUAUGUAUUAUAGUGAAAACUAAUCCAUAUUAAUAUAUUAUAGUGAAAACUAAUCCAUUAAUAUGUACCAUAGUGAGUUAUAGCUUAUCCUUUUAAAGGAUUCCAUUCAUUAAAAUUAAAUUGCACACCUAGUCACAUUUGAAACUCUCUAUUUAAGGAUUCUAAUGUAUGAUGCAUCACAAGGAACAUUAGAAUAUGGAUUAAUCUAAUGUAUGAUGCAUUUAAGGAUUCUAUUUAAGGAUUAAUCUCUAUUUAAUCUCUAUAUGGAUUAAUCUCUAUUUAAGGAUUCUAAUGUAUGAUGCAUCACAAGGAACAUUAGAAUAUGGAUUAAUUUUGUAUACACUGUCAGUGUAUACACUAUCACCGUUAGAUAUAUGACACAUGUAUAAAAUUUAAAUUUGAAAUUCAAAUUUUGCUCAUGUGUCAUAUAUCCAACGAUGAUAGUGUAUAUAGUGACAGUAUAUAUAAGAUUUAUUUUUAGAAUAUUCCCAGAAAUUUUUGCACUAAAUGGGAUUUGUAAUAUUGUUGAUUAAAGAUUAGGAAUAGGUCACCUUAGAAGCAGAUUAAUUAACUUAUCAAUGGCCUCUAUCUCGUUGAUUACAUACCGAAUAUGCUUCACUAAUGCAUACUAGAAAACUCAAUUUAAAAUUUUAGAUAUUACCCAUACACCAGUGAGCCGGACAGAACUGAAAUUCUCCUCAAAUUUGGACUUGGACACAAACAAUGGCUUCUUGAAGUUCAAGAAAUUUAUUGUGAUCAUGAGGAAGAACAAACCAAUAAUUGAUACUUGAAUAACUAUAUUUUCAAAUACUUAUUAUGCCUCUAGCUAAGAUUGCCUAGAUAAUAGGUCUAUUUGCUGGUUUAAUCUGGAUUGUCUAAUGCAGAAUUUAUUAAGCAUAGGCAAAUGGUUUUCACUUUUCGAUUGUGUUUGUGAGGUGCUUCAAAGACAGAUAGAUAAACAAGCCAAGUCAUUCAAGUGAAUUGGGCAUCACUUCAGGAAAGCCGAAACAGCCCAUCAAGUUCCCAAAUUUACAGUGCAUUUAAGCAGUACGCCCAUCAUCCCAAUCAAGCCCAUCAGGUUCAAGCUCCAUACCAAAUAUUUCAACUCAAGCCUAGGAGUGGUUCAAGAGGUAAUUAAUCAAAUGACAAAUGCUUUCAAUGUCCUGAAAUUCAAGAUUAAAGCUUUGAUGAUUGCGAGAAAGUAUUAUUUGGCAUAGCUAAAUAUGAGUUUGAUCAUGUGACCAAUUUGUAUCCGUUUGGAUUAGCUGUUUUUUGAUGUGUUUUUGAAAAAUUUUGCUGUAGCAGAAUUCUUAGAGUAUAUUUUGAAAUAUUUUAGAAAAUAUUUUAGGAUAUUUAAGAGUAAAAGAGUUUCUAAAAUAUAUUUUGAGAUAUUUUUUAAAAUUUUAAAAAAAUUUAAACUAAUUUUUAGAUUACCUUUUGGAGUACUUUUAUUGUAUUUGAAAAACUAGUUUUAAAAAACACUCAAAAAACAGGGGAUCCAGACUGCAACUGGCUAAAUUUUUUCUACAUUUUUAAAAGGCUACGCUAAGAAUUAUGUUUUUAAAAAACUUCUUAAUGUAUAAAUUAAGAAUCAGAAAACCAAUAACCAUUAAGCCAUCUAAUCUCAGCUGAAUACCCCUAAGUGUUGGGCACAACUGUUGAAUUAAUCUUCUUCCAAACCAUUCCAGAAAUUGGGCACUGAUGAAAAAACACAGGAGCUCCAUACAUUCCCAAGCUUCCUUGAAUAAAUCACAGAUAUUAGACUAAUAAUUCUUAAUCAGUUUGUCUUUAGUAGUCAUUUUCCCUGUGCAAAGCAACUAAACAAUAAAAGCAAAGCAUGGCAGAUACCCAGUUACCUUUUCCCCCAUACCAAUUUGUACCAAAAAACCAUGCCGCUAGGAGGAUUGAGAGCCAUCAUAUGUAGCUGACCGCACAAUAGCAGAACCAGAGGCAGUAGCAGUCCAUAUUGCAUCAUCUCCAGAAUCAGGGGAGGGAAGAAGAAACAUGUCAAGAGUACCUUGGUGCAAGUGGCCUACUUCAGCAUUUAACCUGCUGCCCUUAGGCCAGAUGCCCCGUAUAAAAGCAUCUAAUUUCUUAUUUGUUGUUGUUGUAUUCGAAGUUUGCUUCAGUAAUGGCUUUUUAUCUUAUGCUUGGGGGUAUUUCAAUUACCAUGCUGUUUGCCUUGUCCUUUUGCAGGACUAGAUUGAUACAACAUGAAUCUGUAUUAGUCUCUAGUCAUUUGCUAGUUCACAUCUCCCUAUGAUUUUGCUCAACAUUCUGUUCAAACUAACGAAUGAGCAGUAUACAUCUUCAACCAACACAACGAUGGAGCAGAAUUUGUAAUCAAAAGUCAGUUAAUUAGUUGUGUCAAAAUGAUGGUAGUAAACAGAGUUUCUUGACGGCAAAAAACCAACCAUUUUAUGGUAGUAACUGCGUACACUGUCCCAACUUUCCAAGUCCCAAUUCAGCAAAUGACACAUGUUUGAAAAGAAAUAGCACACAACAACCACUAAAUUCAGCAACACAAAGAAUUACACAAAAUACACACACAUGUAUAUAUGCUUCUUCCACACCAACAGCAAAAUAGCUGAAUAACCUUUAUGCUGCCUUGCAGAUUGAUAAUAUGGUGCACAGCGUACAAACCUCAUUGAUUGUUUCCACCAUAUCUUCACAAGAAAAGAGCCAUCCUUUCAACCUUUACCUCCAUCUUCCACAAAAGCACGAAAGAAUGCCAGACCAUACAGAUGAGCAAUUACAAUCUCAAGUGGAGAAAAUGUAUCAAUCCCAGCUGAUAUAAAAAAAAAAAAGGAGCAAUGGUUAGUUGAUACUGUUCAUCAAUGUCAUUCAAAAAAAAAAAAAAAAACCAGAACAACAAUUGUUUUGGGAAGCAAAUUAUUGGUAAUGACAAAAAAAUUAGCUAAUAUUGUACCAGUUGAGGUCCUUCAAGAUAGUAUUUGUUUGCAGGGAAAAGUGUGGAAAAGUGCAAGAAAGUUCUUUUUGGUUGGCAGGAAUAUUAUUAUUAUUAUUUGCAUUUUCUGGCACUUUUGUGCAUUUUGUAUCUUGUAAAAUUUAUGAAUUUUGAAGAAAAAUAGUUAAUUAAAACUUUUCUUCUCUUUACCUUCUUGUACAACUUUCCUUGUUUGAAACCCAAUUGAUGAUGAGCUCCAGAUCCUCAUUUCCAUAAUUUUUCUGUGCUUCUUCAAUUUCCAAUACUAAAGAUGUGACACGAUCUCUGCAAUGGUCGAUCUCAAUCGUUUCAAGAGUUGAUAUACGCCCUAAACAAGAAGGGACCAUUUUCAAUCCAGUAACGUAGUCGAGUUUUAAUCGCUGAAGACACGGAAAAUAAUCAUCACUAUCAGGGUCUGUCUCUGUCCACUCCACAAGCUUUAGAUCAGACAUAAUCAAGACCCUAAGCUUAGAGAAUCCUCCUUCCAUCAGCUCCCAUCUUUCGCCAUCCAAUGAAUUACUGUUAUGACCUGAAUUCAUGGGAAGCUAUUAAACUAACUACCAGAAAGAGUCAGCAGAGGAGGUAGCAUGAGAAAUGGGAGCACAGGGGAAGAAUCACGUGACAAAGCCUGGUCCUAACAGAAUGAAGAGUUUUGGCGGGAAAGUUAGUUAAUUGCUAGCAAUCUGGUAAUUGAAAGAACACUAGGAUUUGUAUAAGUAUUACAUCUGCAAUUGUAAUAAUCAUCAGAUUCAUUGUUGCUUAAUUCUCUUCUCAAUAAUAUCUCAGUCUCUCUCAUUAUCUUUUCCCACCUCCCUCUGAAAUUCUUCUCCUUUCUCCCUCCUGAUUUCUCUUCUUCUAUCUUCCCUACUGAUAUAAUUCAGUUUCUCGACUCCAAUCCUCAACAGUGGUAUCAGAGCUUGCGGUCCUCGGAUUGCAAGUUCUUCCACAAUCCAUAAUGGCAGAAGGUACACGCAUGAAAAGCUUCGAAGAGCAGCUUAGGAAACAGGAUGCCAGGAUUCAAGCGGUUCUCGAUUCCAUGAUAGCAGACAAGCAGGUCAUGGAGGAAAAGUUGGAAGUUAAUCAAAGGGAGAUGCGGUCCUUACUGGAAGCAAAUAGCGCAGAACUGAAGAACUUUGUGAGUAGCCAGAUCAGCUCGAUCUUGAGAAGUUUGCAGGGGGACAAAGGCAUUUUGGGAAAUCCUAAUGGUUCUGCAGAAAGGACUCCUAACAAUCGAAAUGCGGGAAAUUCGAAUACCAGGCAUGGUGAAUUUGGCAAUUCCUCUAGAGGAGAGGGGCAACACUGGCCCAUGGGGGUCCCCAGGUUGGAUUUCCCCAGAUUUGAUGGCCACAGUCCUAAGGAGUGGGUCAGGAAGUGUGAGAAAUUUUUCCAACUAUUUCGCACUACUGAGGAGCAGCAGAUGGACCUUGUGGAACUGCACUUAGAAGGAAAGGCGGAUCUCUGGUAUCAGAAUUUCAAAAAAGAUAGGGGAAUAGUCCAAUGGAAGGAUUUUGGAUCAGAAAUAUGUAGGAGGUUCAGCACUGUGGGAGAGGCUGAUGCAGUGGAAGAGUUUAGCAAACUCAAUCAAACCUCCACUGUUUUGGCUUAUCAGGAGAAGUUUGAGGAGUUGAGGUCUAUUGUAAUGAUCCAGAUGCCAGAACUGACUGAAUCCUACUACAUUUCUAGUUUCUUAAGUGGACUGAAGGGGGAAAUUAAAUCUGCCGUGAAGAUGCACAGGCCAGACAGUCUACAGUCUGCCUUUGAGAUGGCCAGAUGGCAGGAACAUCACUUGGAUCUGGUUCACAAGUCCAGUAGGCCUAUACUCAGAAAUACCAUGCACUCAACCUCAUUUGGAAUUAACAAAGGAGGAAAUGGAGCUCAGGAUCCGGGAGCAAGACAAGCGGGAACAUCACCAACAGAAUUCAGUAGGAAGUCUAAUUCACAGCAAGUUUUCAAGAAAAUCUCCCCCACUGAAUUCCAGUACAGGAAGGAUCACAACCUAUGUUUCAGGUGUGGAGAAAGAUUUAGUCCAGGUCACAAUUGCAAAAGCAAGGGGAUCCACAUGAUGAUAGUAGGAGAGGAGGAGAAGGGUGAGGAAAAUCACACAGCAGAAGAGGAGGAGGUUAUUGAAUACAUGGGAACUCAGCAAGAGCAUGAGGUGAUGCUAACCUUGCAUGCACUGUCAGGGGAAUUAUCCUCAAGCAUUAUCAAAAUGCAAGGGGAAUAUAUGAACCAGCACUUGACAAUCCUGCUAGAUGGGGGAAGUACUAAUUGCUUUAUCAGGAGGAGUGUGGCUCAGCAAUUUCCAGAAAGGGUACAGAACCACAGGCCCUUCAAGGUCAAGAUAGCUGAUGGCAAGGAGUUGACAUGUGACCAGUGGAUUCCAGGGAUGCAGUGGAGCAUGCAGGGCCACAGAUUUGCACACGAUGUGUUUGUAUUGGACCUGGAGCCUUAUGACUUGAUCCUUGGAGUUGAUUGGAUGAAGUCCUAUAGUCCUAUUACUUUUGAUUUCAAGAAGCUGAAUCUGUCUUUUGAAAAAGGAGGGGAGCAAGUGGUGCUAAAUGGAGACUCCAACAAUGCAAACGUAAGGAUGCAGCAAGGUCCCUCAGCUCACAAGUAUGUCAAACACAAGAUCAGGAAGGCAUUGCAGCAAGCAUGUAUGGUGAAGAUUCACAACUCACAGGUAAUUUCUGAACCAGAUUCUCUUACUAAGUUGUUGGCUAAGUAUGAUGAUGUCUUUGCAGAACCAAACACCCUUCCCCCAAAUAGAUGCCAUGAUCACCAAAUUCCCCUCAAACCAGAUGCCCAACCAUUCAAAAUUCCUCCCUACAGAUACCCUCAUGUACAAAAAAAUGAGAUUGACAGACAGGUGAAAGAUAUGUUGAACUCUGGCCUUAUACAAGAUAGCCAUAGCCCCUUUGCAUCACCUGCUCUUUUAGUAAAAAAGAAAGAUGGGAGCUGGAGGCUUUGUAUUGACUAUAGGCAACUGAACAACCUCACUAUUAAAGAUAAAUUUCCUAUACCUAUUAUAGAUGAUUUAUUGGAUGAACUAUAUGGAGCCAAGAUUUUUUCUAAAAUUGAUCUGAGAUCGGGCUAUCACCAAAUCAGGAUGAAUCCUGAUGACAUCCAUAAAACUGCUUUUAGGACUCAUUCUGGUCUAUAUGAAUUCUUUGUCAUGCCAUUUGGUCUAACAAACGCCCCAGCCACCUUUCAAGCACUAAUGAACUCUGUCUUUGAACCUUAUAUAAGGAAAUUUGUUCUUGUGUUCUUUGAUGACAUUUUAAUCUAUAGUCCAGACUCCAAGAGUCACCUACACCACUUAUCCAUAGUUUUGGUAACCCUGAGACAACACUCUUUGUUUGCAAAGAUAUCUAAGUGCUCUUUUGGUCAAGACCAAGUAGAGUAUCUGGGACACAUAAUUACUAGUGCAGGGGUGAAAACUGAUCCAUCCAAGGUGGAAGCUAUGCUGUCCUGGCCAACGCCCUCCUGUGUAAAGGCUCUCAGAGGAUUCUUGGGCUUGACAGGUUACUAUAGGAGGUUUGUUAAGGGGUAUGGGGAGAUUGCUAAGCCUCUUACUGAACUGCUAAAAAGGGAUCAAUUUGCAUGGAGUACUGCUGCAGAAACUGCAUUCCAACAAUUGAAGCUGGCAAUGAGUGCAGCACCAGUGUUGGCAUUACCUGACUUCUCAAAGCCAUUCCUGCUGGAAACUGAUGCCAGUCAGAAAGCCAUUGGUGCUGUUCUAAUGCAACAGGGGAGGCCAAUAGCUUACUACAGCCAAGUACUGGGACAGAAUAAUCAAGCCAGGUCUACCUAUGAGAAGGAACUCUUAUCACUCAUCACUGCAGUUCACAAGUGGAAACACUACUUGAUGGGACAUCAUUUCAUUAUCAAAACUGAUCAUGAGAGUCUCAAAUACUUGUUGGAUCAGAAAAUUAACACCUCUCUCCAACAAAAAUGGCUGGUUAAACUUAUGGGAAUGGAUUAUGAGAUUCAAUACAAAAAAGGGAAGGAAAAUGUAGUUGCUGAUGCCUUGUCAAGGAGGGGUGACUUGGAGAAUACAGCAGAAACAUCUGUGCAUACUAUCACUGCCAUCAAGCCUCAGUGGUUGACCAUGGUAGCUGAGAGCUACAACAGUGAUGAGAUGGCCAAGGAGGUUCUGCUGAAGUUAGCUAUGGGAGCUGACGCAUUACCAGAUUACUCCUAUAACCAGGGAAUUCUAAGGUUCAAAGGAAGGGUGUGGAUAGGAGCGGAUUCUGAAUUAAGACAAAGGCUGGUUUCUUGUUUUCAUGAUUCUAGUCUUGGGGGACAUUCUGGGAAUCUUGGUACUUAUCAGAGGAUUAAGAGUUAUCUAUACUGGCCUGGAAUGAAGAAGGAAGUGGAGCAAUAUGUACAGAGCUGUGAGGUCUGCAAAAGGAGCAAAAAUGAAAAUUGCCCCUAUCCAGGUUUGCUGCAGCCACUGGCCAUACCUGACCAAGCUUGGCAACAAAUUUCUAUGGAUUUCAUAGAGGGAUUACCCAAGUCCUUUGGUUGUAAUGUGAUCUACGUGGUGGUGGACAGAUUCACUAAAUACGCCCAUUUUAUCCCAAUGACCUCUCACUAUACUGCUAAAAGUGUCGCAGAGGCAUUCUUUGAUCAGAUUUUUAGGUUUCAUGGCCUACCAACGCACAUUGUCUCUGAUAGGGACAAGGCUUUUACUAGCUUGUUCUGGCAAGAGCUCUUCAAAAUGCUAGGCACAGAAUUAAAUCUGUCAUCUGCAUAUCAUCCUCAGUCUGAUGGACAGACUGAGAGGGUGAAUAGGUGUGUGGAAAAUUACCUGAGAAGUAUGUGUAUGUAUCAACCAGGGAAAUGGAGGAAAUGGCUACCUGCUGCAGAGUGGUGGUACAACACUAACCACCAUAAUAGCUUACAAAUGUCUCCCUUUCAGGCCUUGUAUGGUUACAAGCCUACUCAGAUGAACCUGAGGCCUGAUAGCACACUAGUAGCUGCAGUGGAGGAUUGGGCACAAGAGCGAGUGGGCUGGAACUCCUUGCUCAAGGAGAAUCUGUUGAAGGCUCAGAACAGGAUGAAACAAAUGGCAGAUAAAGGGAGGAGUGACAGGGAAUUUGAAGUAGGAGAAUGGGCUUAUUUGAAGCUUCAGCCUUACAGACAAACUUCUGUAGCUGUAAGAAGGAACAUAAAACUGGCGGCUAAGUAUUAUGGGCCAUAUCAAGUAGAGCAAAAGUUGGGGACUGUAGCUUACAGGUUGAAGUUACCAGCAGGAUCAACCAUACAUCCUGUUUUCCAUGUCUCCUUACUCAAGAAGUCACCUAAGGGGGCUCCUCUUAGCACUGCCUUGCCUACCCUAAAUGAUGAUGGAGAGUUUGGUGUUGCUCCCUCAGCAGUUAUAGACCAGAGGACAAUCUUUAGAAAAGGGCAAGUGGUCGAACAGGUGUUGGUGCAAUGGGAAAACAUGGAACCUGAGGAAGCCACCUGGGAAGAUUGGACAUUCAUUCAUGCUCAAUUCCCUACCUUCCAAUUUAAUCAAUCCUAGAGACUAGGAUUAUUUUUAGGGGGAGGCAUUGUUAUGACCUGAAUUCAUGGGAAGCUAUUAAACUAACUACCAGAAAGAGUCAGCAGAGGAGGUAGCAUGAGAAAUGGGAGCACAGGGGAAGAAUCACGUGACAAAGCCUGGUCCUAACAGAAUGAAGAGUUUUGGCGGGAAAGUUAGUUAAUUGCUAGCAAUCUGGUAAUUGAAAGAACACUAGGAUUUGUAUAAGUAUUACAUCUGCAAUUGUAAUAAUCAUCAGAUUCAUUGUUGCUUAAUUCUCUUCUCAAUAAUAUCUCAGUCUCUCUCAUUAUCUUUUCCCACCUCCCUCUGAAAUUCUUCUCCUUUCUCCCUCCUGAUUUCUCUUCUUCUAUCUUCCCUACUGAUAUAAUUCAGUUUCUCGACUCCAAUCCUCAACAAUUACAUCUUAAUUUGAGGACCUCAAGAUUGGGUAGUUGUUCAAUCAGUGGCAUUUUACUACAGGGAAGACACAGACGGGCAAGACACAACUUUUUCAAAUUCAUGGGAAAAGAAAGCUCAACAUGAUCCAGCUGAUUUGGUAAGAAGGAGCCCAGCUCCAAGGUGAGUGAUUCUAGGCAUUCUAGUCGACUCAUGUUGCAGCAUAGUCUAUCUAGUUCCCGAUCAUUGAAAACUUUUAGUUGGCGAAUGUUGGGAAUCCUUUCCAAUAUGCUCUCUGCUUCUUGAUCAAGAUAAAGACACAGACUGGAGAGUGUGUCCAAAUUGGGUAAAGUGGAGUGGUUUUCAAAAACGUUGUCAUUGGAAGCAAAAGGAAGAACAACAGAGCCCCCGCUAACAUGUACGUGCCUCAACUCCUUCAUGUUCCAAACGCUUUUUGGCAAAAAAACCAUCUCACAAGAUCUUAGACGAAAGGUUUCUAAAUGUGAGAGCUUGGCGAUAGACGAUGGAAUGGAUCUCAUCCACAAAGCUGUAAGGGCUAAAUACCUCAAAAAAAGAAGUGAUUCGACUUCAGUUGGAAGCUUUGUCAGACUUAGGUAAAUGCGCUCUAAAUUCAGAACUUUAAGAUGUUUGUAGAUGCAAAAAAGGAAGGAAACGUUAACCAACUGAAAAUCAUAUCCUUGAAUCCUAUCAAAGAAUAGCAGAGUACCUAAAUGUGGACAAAAUAGCCUUGACCUUAUAAAAUCUUCCCCACUGGAGCAAAUGGACAACCGAGGUGGGGUGGGAGGCUCAUCAAAGGUAGAAAGCUCAUCAUAUCCAUGCAGGACCUGAAGAAAAUUCUUUUCUUUUGCCUCGGUCUUACAGAACUCAAAUAUCAAAUCGUGAAUGUAACAAGUUUUGACUCCACCAAUGGAUCUGCUUUUACUUGCCAUAACUAAAUUGCGACCAAUCAGGUCCAUCAGAUAUUCUUCUGCAAUGUCCUCUGAUCUCUUGCCUUCAAUUUUUUCUACAAAACCUUCUGCAACCCAUAGACAUAUCAAAUCUUUUGCAUAAAUUAUUUCAUCUUCUCGAAAUGCAGCAAAGUACAACAGGCAAGCCUUCAAGUGAUAUGGUAAAUGCUCGUAACUGAGCUCCAAUGACUUUUUGCACUGGUCUGCACUAGACACCAUGGUUGAAGUUAAACUUCUAGCAAAAUCUUCCCAAACCAAAAUAUCAUGCUCUAUAGUUGCUAGGACUCCAGCUACAACAACAACUGCAAGUGGCAAUCCCGUACACUUUUUGGCAAUCUCCAUCCCAAUUCCACGCAAUACUUGAGGACAAUCUUCUUUUCCAAACACCUUCUUUUGCAAUAAUUCAAAACAUUCUUUCUCAUGGAGUGGGCGAAGAUUGUGAGGUUCUCCAGCAUAUUGAACCUGUGAAGCCACAUUAGAAAAUCGACUCGUGAAAAGGAUUCUACUUCUCUUCUUGUCAUCGGGGAAUGAAAUUCUCAGCUCAUUCCAUACCUUAAUGUCCCAGACAUCAUCAAAAACAACAAGAUAGCUCUUCGUCUUCAGCCUUUGAUAGAGCUUUUGAAGCAAUUCAUGUUCAUUCAAGUUUUUAAGCUCUUCAUCCAUGCUAGACUGUUUUCCAUCAGAGCACAAAAUUUGCAUUAACAAGCUUUUCAUGUUAAAUGCUUGAGAAACAGUACACCAAAGACGAAUGUGGAAGUUAUAGAUAAUUGAACUAUCAUUGUAAACUUUUUUGGCUAAAGUUGUUUUACCAAGCCCAGCCAUUCCGACAAUGGGAACAAAUUCCAGCUGUUCUGAUCCGCUUCUAAGUCGUUCAAUUACUUUUUCUGCCUCAUCAUCAAGACCAACCAUGACUUCAUGGACUGUUGGUAUAUUUUCUUUAGAUGGCAUGUGCCUGGAAGGCUUGCAAACUUCUUGUACUCUUAAGCUAUGAGAGUAAUUAGGAAGACUAUCUAUAAUGCUUGGGCCACUGAUCUUAUCCUUAAAAUGCUUGAUAUGGGUGUUGGUAUUAGCCAGCAUAUCAUAACAAACAAGAGCAUCUUUGGAUUCUAAGCAGCUAACUUCUCCUUCUUUCACUUUGUUUAGAGAAGGGAAAAAAAUUAUAAUCCCUGCCUCACUAAGAAGAGCUCCAACUUUUUCAUUUUCUUCAUCCAUCUUCUCAUAAUGCUCCCUUAAUAUGCUCCUCAAGAAUCUCAGUCCUGCAUAGAGUGUUUGCAUUUUAUCUUUCAUAGAAUCCAUAAAGCUAGAGCUGCAGCAUAAUAGCUCCCAGAGACAACUUAGCAGAGAAUCAUUGAAGUUGAUCAAUAUCUGCUUAUCCAUCAUUGUACUCUGCGAAGAUUUUGAGGAUCUCGUACAUCCAAGAGCUUCCAUAUAAAUCUCAUAGAGUUGAAAAUCAACAGCUCUGAUCUUCCGUUGUUGUUUAUAUAUCUUGGAGUAGAUCCUACGAUUCGUCCACCUUUUCUCAGGAUCAUCAUCCGAAAAAGAGCACAUGUAAGAGAGGCGUGCUGCGUUCAAAGCCACCACCUCAAAGUGAGACAAUAGCAAGGCAGGAAUAUCUACAGUUCCUCGUAAUUUGGCAAAGGGAAUGAAGCUUUUCAAGAAUGUUAGCUUUACUUCAAGGGCUUGCAAUUCGGCACUCAAUGCAGCAGAAAGAGAAGAUUUAUUAACUUGGGAUUCCUUACGAAGAAAUGAAUCGGAAGGCAUCAAAUCCGCUAGAUUUUGUAGAAUGAGGUCUAUGAAUUCCAUUAAUUCAUCAUCUCUCCUGCAAGAAUUUGACUGCAAUGACCUGCUGCUUACCAACAUAACGUACACUUGGAUGAUUUCUUGCUUAAAUGAUUUGAUCUGUUUUCGGAAUUUAGAGAUCAGUGGUUCGUCAAGAGUAUGUGACAUUUCUUCAGUUUCUGAUCUAAGGGAAAGAGAGUGAAUGUCCUCCUCAUAUUUGUGAACAGUAUCGUCAAUGCAAGAUAGGAAGGAUGGAAGACUCACCUUCUUAACAACAUUAUCAGAUUCCAAGUACAAAUCAUUGCUUUGGCUCCACUUUCUUGCACACACAAUAAAUGUUUUGAGGAAUUUCACGUCCCUGAUUGCAUCUGCAACAUCGGAAACAGCAACAUAAUGGCGUUUGUAGUUGUUCAUGAGCAACUCUAGAUCAAGUAAGACACGAUCGACGCAAGUGGAGGGCCUGGAGGCCAUCUCCAUCUCUCAUGCAGGGAUUUUCCUCAGUUUCACUGUCAAAUUUCAAGGGAAAAGCAAAUCUCACCUACUGCAGAGCUAGCAACUAUUUCUUUCCUGAAAAAUCUUUUUUGCCCCCUUUUCUGGUGGGAAGUUGAAGAAGAGAAAUGUGAUAAUAAAUUACUAUUCAACAGCGUACAAAUAAUCUGGAAGUCAUCUUGGUUUGAAUAAUGAUUUUUGUGAAUGGAUCCGCACCUAGACUUGCUUUUCUUUUUAAAAUAUUUUUUUUGGAUAAAUUAGUACUUUAAGUCCCUGUUAUUUAGUGCGUUUUCGUAUAAUCACCGUAUGGUAAAACGUACAUAACGCCCACGCUUUGUAAGUACAGUGUCAAAAUGAUGGGUAUCGUUCGUCCCUCCGUGAUGGAAUAAGCUAAAAUGUUAACAUUAUUCCUAUCAAAAGCCUAAAAUCUCACUUUUUCUCGCUAAAAAAUAAAAAGGAAAAAAGAUAUAUAUAAAUAUAGGGUAAAUUACACAUUUGUACCUUGUGGAUUAUUAUUGUUAAUUUUUUUAUUUUACAUAAUGCUUCUGUAUUUUGAAAAGUUAUACAUAAUCACUGGGGUUAACAAAUAAUCUCAGUCUUAAUGUUGGGAAUGCUUUUGACAUUUUAGUUAGUUUCAUUGUAGAGGAGCACGUUAAUUUAAUAUCAGGUAAAUUGUAUAUAAUCCCUCUAUGGUUUCGUCAAUUGUCAAAUAAUCCCCCUAAUAUUUCAAAAUAUUCACUUCAUCUUCUAUGGUUAUAUGUAAAGUAAAAACUUGAUAGAAAAUAUUAUAUAUAAUGCCAUUAAUUGAAAUACUAAUACUCCCCUUACUUAAAUACUAAAUCAAUUGAUGGCUUAACUCCUUGUAUAGAAGUAUAGGGAGAUUAUAUGGGUAAAUGAAAAAAUCAUAAGGGGAUAAAGUAGAUACUUAUACAAAUCAUUUAGGGGUUAUAUGGAGAUUAAGGUUUUAUCACGCAUGCUUUUAGAGCUCGUUUGGUAUAAAUGUUAUAACUGAUUGAACAUUUCGUCCAUUUUUCACUUUAGAUAAAUGCCAUGGGGAAUUAUGUGACUAUUUUGAAAUCUUGUGGGGGGGGUCAUCUUGCAUUAUAUAAAAUCACAGGAUGUUCUAAGUAAUUUAUCCUUUAAUAUUUUAGUCCAAAACAUGGGGAUAUAUUUAUAACAUUUAAAACUAUAGGAGAUUUAUGUAAAAAAGUGCAACCAUAUGAGGCCAAAUAAAUUUAACCAAGAUUUGUCCUUGUAAUCAGGAAAGAAUUUCUUGCAUAUUAGCCUAGUUACCCUUAGUUAAAGAGAGAGUGGGAAGAAAAGGACAAAACGGGCUAAAGAUAUAGGUGGCAAAUCAACCCAUUUUAUUAAAUUUAUCCAUACCCACCCAUGAAUAGAUGGGUAUGGAUUUUUUUAGUUUUUGCAUAUAGGUAUAAAUGUGUUACCCAAUAAUACCCAUUCAUAUGCAAAAUGGGUUACCCAAGAAUACUCAUUCAAUGAAUGGGUAUUAUUGGAUAACCAAUCAAACCCAAUUAAUCCAUUUAGAAUUAUUUUCCCCCAAAUCUCCUCUCUUCUCCCUCCCAAUUUUUUUUCUUCAGAUUUUUCAUUUUGUUAUGAUGUUAACUACUUUUGUUUCAUUAUUAUCUUUAUUUGUUGAUUUUAUUUUAUCAGUUUAUUUUCUCUUAAUUUGUUAACUUACUCAUUUUUUAGCAUUACCAAUUUAUGAUAAGUUUUAGCCUCUUUUCCUACAUUUCCAAAAUGAAAUUUUAAAUUUACAUUAUGAAAAAAAUAUUAGGGGUUCAAAAUUUUUGGAUUAAAUUUUUAUGUUAAUUUUUAUAGUACUUAAUUUAAAUUUUUAUAUUCUUAUUAUUCAAUUAUUAAAUAGUAUUUAAUUUUGCAACAUAGAGUACGGAUAGGAAAAAAUUGAUAAUUAGACUUAUUGAACAUUAUAAGUAAAUUUUUAAAACUAAUGAUGGGUGCAAAGAGUGGUAUAAAUUAAUAACUUAGUUUGCAAAAAUGAAUUUAAAUGAGUUUACAAAAAGUUAAAAUAAAUGGAUUAUAAAUGGGUAAUUGGGUUACCUAAUUCAUUUUUUGACUUACCAAUUUGUACCCAUCUAAUUAAUUGGGUUUAAAUGGGUUGACUCACUUAUACCCAUUACCCAUUUUACCCAAUUCAAACCCGUCCAAGUCACUCAUUUUGACACCUCUAGCUAAAGAAAGAGUUCAAGUUAAGUAGAAACUUCCAACAUCACAGAAAUAAAUUUUAAGCACGAGGAAUAACUUUUUCACUUAUCGAAAUGUUAAAAAUGAAGUGAUAAGUUACACAUCUUUGUUUUCUUAGAUUGCCAAUUAAUUAUUUCUUUCAAAAUGCAACCAUUGUUAUUAAAUACAAUACAUCUUAAUGCUGCAAACAUCAACCUGUGCAAUUAGUAGUUGUUAAUCUUAAUUACUAAGAAAACCGUAAAAUGACUAAACCGAUAUUUUAGUUUAAUGAAAUUAACAAGUUGAAUAAAAAUAAUUACAAAUUAACAAGGCCCUUAAGCGUAUCUCCCUAGUUUGGCCGGUAAAUAAUCUGGCAACUCUUAACCGUUAUAGGUCAGUUAGCUGGUACAAACAAUAGCUACGCAUCCUACUGUUCCAAAUUCUCAAACCUUCGCUUUCCCCAUUGGGGGUAUAAACAAUCAUAAUCAACCCGAAUAUCCCAGUGUCCAAACUUGUUUGAUCAUUUUAACGAAUUUGAAGUUUUAUUUAUUUAUUUACCAAACUAAGUUUGAACGAAUUUUUUAUCGCAAACUGACUUUGAACAAACUCAAUUGGUAAAGCUCCGCCCUUGCAUUGGGUAGUGUUCAAUAAAAUGUUAUUGAAUAUAAAAUGUUAUUCGAAUUUGGUUUGAUUAGUGAUCAAAUCAAGUUUGAACGUAUGAGCUCUUACCAAGUUAAGCUUGAUUCGAGUAUCGAAUAAUUUUGUUCAUUUUUCAAUCUUAUUUUUCAUCGCUUUCUAAGGUCUAAAGUCUUUGCUGGAUCACAAAUAUAAUUAAAAAGUAAAUCUAAAAUGUUUUACAUAUUUUCGCCUUGCGUGCUUUGAGCAUAAAAUUGGCAAUCAAAAUGGACCUAGGCAAUGAUAAUGAUCCUUUAAUCAUAGUGAAUCUCACAUUGGACGCUGCCAGCCAAGAUGUCACUAGCUAAUUGUACAACUACUUUCUUUGGGACUGGAUGUAUCCUGUAUCUAAGAAGUUGCGGCUCAACAAUAAUCGAAAAACUUCAAAGCAUCACAACUAACAAAUGCCAACAGCAGACUUAUGCCAUAACGUAAUUUAACAUUUAAAUUUAAUGGAUUCAAAUCUUAACAUGUUCGAUGCGUUUGAUAACCAAAAGUUAAACAUAUAAAUUAAUUAAGUAGCAUUAAAUUUUCUAAACAAAACUUACUCGUAAAAAUAAGUAACAAAUUAUUCAUUUAUCAUUGAAUAUGAUAUAUACUCAAAUAUAUUAGAUUUAAUACUUAACUAUUUAAUAAUUUAAUGAAUUCAGACUUUAGAUUUCAUAUUUCAUAUUUCAAUUUUCAAACUUUACUCUCAUCAAACAAACGCACCCUUAGAGGCCUGGCUAUCGCACAUGUCAAGUCCAACAAACGAGAAAACAUAGUCCGGGGAAAUGUAGACAAAGGGUCAAUUAAUAUCUUUGCAGAUUGUUUGAUGAUGAAUUAAUUUCUAUUAUAAAACCAUCAAGUUUAUGCUAUACUUUUCUUUUUUCCUUGUAGUGAGAUGUUUCGAAUUCAAAAUCUCUCACUUAUACUCUUGUUCUUCGUACAGUCCAACCCAUUUCUCCGCUCCCCUCAGGUUUAUGGUAUACAAAUGCUACAAGACAGAGAAAAGAAAAUUUGAUAUACUUUCAAUUUUGAAGGCCAAGAGAUCGAAUUAUUUAGCAGGGUUGUUUGUAUCAGUAAUGCCACAAAAAAAAAGAGAACUAAUUUCACUUUUCACCGUCUUCAAUGAUUUCCACUUUGCAUCUCAAACUUUUUUCCAAAUAUUUUUCACAUUAAAAUCACCUCAAAAUUUAAUUUUGAACAUUUUGCACCCUGAAAUUAGCAAUUCAUCCAUGGCAUCGCAAAAUAUUAAUGUAAUUAUAGGAAUAAUAUCCACCUACGCUAGCUUCUCAACCGUACAAAGUAGGAAUGGUUCUUUAGAAUAUCCAGGGAAAAAAAAAAGAAGAGUGAAUGCAUAUCUGUUUUUUAGCACUUCCACGUGCAAUAUGAGUUGUCGGGCUGAUAUUAGACGCUCUGAUGAUUUUAGGAUUUGAAAUGUGUAAAAUAAAAGUUAAAGAUGCAGAGUAAUAAUGGGCUGCAAACUUAAAAGCAGGGAAAGUGGAAUUAACCCCAACAAGAACGUCGUGCACGGAUCAGUCUCCUUCCUAUUAUAUUCCUCAAACUAAUUAAUAAAUAACUCAAUAAGAUAACCAACAGAAAAAAAAAAUUCCACAAGCUUGAGACCACAGAAGUUUUAAAAUCGAGUUUAAAUUCAUCAUGUUGAAGAGUUGUGGCCAGAUUCCUUCGAGAAGGAUGAGUUUUGAAGUUGUGCAUCUCGCUGGCGGAUCUACGUAUUGGACAAUGGAGGCACGUACUUUUUUUUUUUUUUUUUUAAACUAGAUCUUUUUUAUGGAGGCACGCACCCAACUGGCCAAAACGAAGUAUUUAUAUCAGGCAUGAAUUUGUUUUUUAUUAUCAUCAAUCAUCAUCAACAUAUAAGACUAACAGCGAAGGAUGGUUACUGUUCAUAAGCUUUUCGUCGUCCUCACGUGCCGAAGGAAGGUCCUCGCGUGCUACUGUAUUAUUAUUUUUCGCCUCAGCUCUUCUCGUCGUCUCGUCUCAUCUCAUUAAUGCACCCACGUGCUUUUCCAUUUUUUUUCCCUUCUCCGUCUGCUUUGGUUCUUUCUUAAUAUCUUCCCUUUCACCUCUUUUUCAUCUCAUCUCAUCAAUGCACCCGCAUGCUUUUCCAUUUUUUUAUUAUUACACGAUGGAUUUUAUCCUUUGGAUUUAUGGCCUCCGUCCUUUACCUGAAAUUUCUUCUCUUCUACCUAGCAAUUGGAGGCAUCUCAUUAAUGCACCCACGUGCUUUUCCAUUUUUUUUUCCCUCCUCCGUCUGCUCUGGUUCUUUCUUAAUAUCUUCCCUUUCACCUCUUUUCAUCUCAUCUCAUCGAUGCACCCGCAUGCUUUUCCAUUUUGUCGUCAUCCGUCUGCUGUGGUUAUGAAUGAGUGUGCUGAGAAUCUUUUUCUUAUUAAUUGGAGUAAGGCGUAUUACACGAUGGAUUUUAUCCUUUGGAUUUAUGGCCUCCGUCCUUUACCUGAGAUUUCUUCUCUUCUACUCAGCAAUUGGAGGUACGAUUCCUUUUUCUCCUUCCUAUCUCAGUUUUUGGCUCUUCCUUUUAAUGAUUGUGAUAUUUUUCUAGGGUUCCUCUCCCAGCUAUUUGCGUUCUUCAACCUUACUCUUUUGUCGGAAAUUUCUUCUGUGCUUUUUUCUUUUUUUUUUGGUUGUAUUUUCGCUUGCAUGCUGAAUUUUACAGGUGUUGUUCUUGUCUUUUUAUUUUCUAGGCUUCCUCUUCCAGCUGUUUGCGUUCCUGCAAAGGUUGAUCUUUUGUCGGAAUUUUCUUCUGUGUCUUUUCCAUUUUUCCCCUCUUUGCCUAUUUUACGAUUGUUGUUCUUGUCUUUUAAUUUUUUUGCGUUAUUUUGUUGUUUUCGGGGUAACCUUGUGCAUUUGUCUUCCAAAUCUGCGUAAAGGUACUGUUUUUUCCCCCUUAUUUUUUUUGUGAUCGCCUUUUCGUUUGAGUUGUCUUUUCUUUCUCCUUUGAACCGGUCUUAUCUGUGCCUUUUUGUUUUGCAGGAAUGACAACUGCUGCUGCUUCUACUGUUAGUUUUGAGCCCGAGCUUGGUGCCAUUCCAUGUGAGCCUUUUGACGAAUCUUCAGGUUUUUAUGUUUUAUAGGUUUUGUCUUAGUUGCCUUUGGGUAUGCUUGUUCUAUAUAUUUAUCUUAUUGCUGCUAUUGCUUCAACCGUUGCUGCUGCGCUUAAGCUUCUUCGCAUAUCAAAUGUCUCUGAAUCUACACGUGGUUGGAUGACCUUGGUUCAUGUUGUUGAGGCUGAUCGUGUAAAGGUUGCUAGCCAUGGAUCGAUUUCGAAGUCGUUCCGUUACAAGGAUUUCUCUCUCCAAACUUUUCUCUUAUCUCAGUUCUUUGCCGAUCCUUUCUCUGUUUCUAUAGUUUCUGCUAGGGUUUUUGUGCGCCGCUCUCCCUCUGUUGGUCUGCUGCUCCUCUUUGUUCUCAAAAAAAUUUUCUGAUCUCUCUUUUCCUUCUUUCCUUCUCAUUAUCUUAUCUCUUUCUCUUUCCUUUUAUUUCCUUCUUUCCUUCUUCAUUAUCUUAUCUUUUUCUCUUUCCUUUUAUUGAUAUUCAUAUUUGCUUCUAUCUUUUUCUUUAAUAUUAUCUCAAGCAGAUCUGCAUUUUUUUCAUUAGAAAUACUUAAUAUAGAGAUUGACGGUGAAUAAAGCUCCAUCGCCAUCUUAGUUGGCUAUUCCUAUACUCAACAUUGGUAAUUCUAUGAUUUUACUUCCUUGUGUUUUUUUCUUUUUCUUUUUAAUUAUUGUAACUGAUUUAAACCUUUCUUUAGAAUGAAAAUGUGUUGCAACUAAAGAUGAUUAAAGCCCCAUGACUACAAUCAGCAGCUAGCCAUAUCAAGCAACAUGCUCUACCAUCGGUAAUCCCUCCUUACUUCCUUUUUUCUUGAAAAAAAUUAUAUUAUGGUGAUAUGCUCGAAUUCCCCCUUUUUCUGACAUUAAGCAGCAUAUAAACAAUGCACUUACGGAGUAAUAAUUUUAAGAAGUAGAAAAGUGGGUUGUUCGAUAGAAUUUUGAAAAAAAUGUUACUGCCGAUGAUGCUUUGUUUGACGCUUGAAUCAACUAUUGUGUAUGACAAGAAAAAAGGCUGAUAUUUUAGAGAGAGAGAUUUCCCACAAAGAAAAAAUGAAAUUAAAGUCUGUGCACUCAAUUAUUUCAAAAUUAUUAUUUAUGUACAGUUCACAUCUUUUCUAUUUCUUGUUCGAUAUUUGGUAAUUUGAGUGGUGUUUGUGUUUUUGUGGAGUCUUCGUUUAACAUCCAUCACCUUGAUUUGAAGGUGACUAAAAUUCUUUGUUUGGUUUUUCUAUUAUAAUUAUUUGACUGGGGUUUUCUAAGUGUUUGCAGUUCAUUUGAUUUGAAAUUUUGACUUUAAUGUUUGAACCAUUUGGCACAGAUUACAUUGUUACUCAAUUCCUUAUUCUGUAUCUUAAUUUUCCAAGUGUUUUAUUGUUCUUUUCCUCCUGCACACAUUGUGCUUGUGAGACAUUGGCUAGGUUUUACUUGAAAAGAAUCUAAAAUUAGGCAUUUAUUAUGACAUGACAAUAAUGCUAUACGUAGUUCACUUGCUUGAACCCUGACUUCAAGAAAGUUGGAUGGUAAAGAAUACCUAUGUCAGGUAAAGUAAUUCUCUUAAAAGCUUUUUAUUUGAUGUCAAUCAAAAUGGACUGUUAUUUUCAUGAAUUGAUUGAAGCACUUGCAAUGUACUUUAAUUUCUUUUUACUAAGUUUGCAUAUGUUUAAUUUCAUUUUCUAUUGAAUCACAUUAGAUUAGAUAGAUAGGCAAAUCUAAUGUGUCAGUUGGCCUGUGGUGCUUGUUCCCUGUGUUAAAUUCUUUUUCUUUUUCUUUGAGUUCAUUUUUUUAUGUUCAUUUGCUUUUUCUUUCUCACCUGAUCUGAAUGAUUGUGGUUUUGUGUGUUUUAAGUUUUAUGCCAAUUUUGUGUUUCUAAAGUUCAGAAAUUCUUGAUUUAUUGCUAUAUAAAUGUGCCUUGUAGGCUAGCUGUAUUGAGACUAUGGUAGAUGGUGUCCAAUUUGCUUGCAGAUUUUGGUAUUUGGCGUUAGUUUCUUGUGACCCUUUUUUUAAUCUUUUUUCUUACUGAUGUUUGAACCGUGCCUUGAUUUUGUUUUUUCUUUUUUUUAAUCCAGUGAGAUAAGUCUAUGAUCGUCUUAGAGAGUGCUUUUCAAGAGACAUAUUUAAACUUCCUCACUAUAAGUGUUCACUAUGUGCAGGAGAAUAACAGCACAUGUGGGUGUUAUUUACUUAUAAGAUUAAUUACAAAACAUGCUUUUUUUUAAUUACAAGUUGUUCCAGAUUUUCAAACUAAAGUAGCUGCAGUACAACUUUUUCACUUAAUUAGUUCAUGCUCUAAAGUUUUGGUCUUUUACUAACCAAUUUUAGGUUCAAUCUAGAUUACCACUCAACCUAAUUUUUUGGUUUGUUGAAUGCAUGGCCAAGGUAUUUGCUCAUGUAUGCCCAAAAUGCAGGUUUCAUUUUAGCUAAUGAAUCUUUAAUUCACAGGUCUACAAUGUUGCAGGAUUACUGAAAUUUUGUUAUGCUGAUGGUUAUCAUAUACAUAUUAGGAGAUGAACACAAGGACUAUAAUAUAUAGAGGUACACACAGAUCAUUUUCUAUGGUUGAGGUGAUAUAGUGUUGGUUAAAUGCCAUUUGUUAGGUUUAUUUAAAUGCACAUACUAGCAAAGAAUGUUAGGUUCUUCUAUGCCUCAACUCAUGCCUUUAUUUUGAUAUUAAGAAAUUGUUAAUGAAUGUGAAGUUUAAUGAAUCUGAUUCAAUGCCUGUAGUCUACCAAUUUUAUAACAUUAUUUUUGCGUGCAUUGAAGGUGCUCUUAGGUGAUAUCGAUAUUUUCCAUUUUUUUUCUCUGAGUUGGACUUUCAACAUAUAAGACUUAGAGCCAAAGGGGGUUCUACUGUUCCAACUUUGGUUCAUAUCGGUGUAGUUAUGUUUGGUUGAGCAUACACUAUAUUAUUUAAUUGAAGUGAAAUUCUAUUUAAGAAUACUGAUUAUGUAUGUGUAGUUAUGCUUGGUUGAGUAUACACACUAUAAUUCUCCCUAUUAACUUAAAAGUUAAUCUUAACUUAAUAUUCUUCAAUUUUAUUAGUGGUAGGGAUGAAAUGGCCACAUUGCACUGGGUGUUCAUGAUUGUAACUCAAAUUACACUCUCAACAAGGAAAAAACUUGGUUGGGGCUUCAACUAUGAUAUUGAAGGUGUUUAUAUUGAGCAUUACAUGGUCAGGCUUCAUAGAUUCCAAGCUAACUUUUACUUUCUUAAAACCUUGAUUUCAUUUGUUGUGUUUUUGGUUCUUCACUGGUAUAAAUAGGAUGAUAACUAACUGUUCCCUAUUGUAAUUUUAAUAGGAUGGGCUUAUACUUACAUCUAAAAAGGAGAAAGCUCAUCGUGUAGAUUUAUCAUGGGACUUCUUAGGCAUUCAAAACCUUGGCUCAAGUGCAAUUUGGCUCAGUUUGUGUUGCUGAUGGCGACUGACGAGUGAACUCAUAGUUGUUUAUGCUUAAUGAAGUGAAUUUCUGUUGCAUGUAAUUGUUAUAGCAAGUGUCAAAAUAGAAAAAUGUAACAUAAUAGUCUUCUUUUUAGCUACUAAGGCAAACUGUAUAUGCUGCCUGUGUGAAAAGGGUGCAAGUUUUCUCAUACUAUAUGUAUCUAGCUUUCUUUGACAAGUUUGUGAUGAUUUGAGGCCGUAUAUUAGAUUUUGAAAUGCUUGUCAUGUUGUAGAUGUGCAUUAGUAAUUGGCUUGUGUUAUCUAACGAAGUCAAUUUCUUUUUUAUUUUUCAAAUUAUAUACAUAUUACAAAUGCUUUAUGGGCAUUCAUGGUAAAUUGUCACCGCGCAACGCGCGGUCCAUGCCUCCUAGUUAUUAACAUAACACUCUAACAGCCAAAGGAUGUUACUGUUCAUUUGGUUUUUUUCGUCGUCGUCGUCGUCGUCCGCUGUAGCAUCUCAAAUCAUUCAUCCUUUUUUUUUUCCUUUUCUUUUUUUUUUAUUUUAUUAAUUAUUUAUUCCUUUUUUUUUUCUAUUACUACAAGGCCACGCGGCCUACUCCUUCUUUUUCUUUUUUAUUACAAGGCCACGCGGCCUACUUCGUUAGCUGGAUCACUUUUUCGUCUGUCAUUUUUCUGUCCUCUUUUUCCUCUCUUGUGUAUCAUCUUCGCAUCUCAAUGGCCUGCGAAAAACUUUUCCAGCUUGAUUUCCUUAAUGAAGUUUUGUUUCUGCCGCUCAUUACCCUAUGGUUUACUGUUUUCUCGGUUUGCCCGUUUCGCUCUCUUUUGCUUGCUGGAUAUCUCGCUGCUGUUUCUUCUUCAGCUGCCUUUUGUUUUCAUUUUCAGCUGGCGUCUCUCAAAAAACUUCAUCGGAAUACUUUCCCAGACCGCUGUCCUUAACGGAGUUUCUUCUUGCUCAGCCCCGCCAAUCUUCAUCUUCAGGUGACCUGUUAUUAUUAUUUUUUUUACGUCUUUUCUGGUCUCUUUUUUUCCCCUAUGCUUUACCAGUUUCUGUUUUUCCGCGUAUUUUUCCUCCUUCUUCCAUCUGCGUUUUUGGGUCAACUGUUCCUGCUUUUUUCCCUGCUCGAUUUGUCGUUGUUUUUUGAGCUGGCCUCGGGGAAACUUUUCCACCUUCUUUUUUCCCACAGGUGGCCUCAGGAAAACUUCAGGCCACCCUUCGUCGUUUCUGCCCUUGCCGUUCUUCGGGUGCUUUUCUCCCAUUUUUUGGGUUCGUUUCUUCCUUUUCAUUUCAUCUGUGACGGCGGAGAUACUGAUUUUAUUGCAUUCUUCUUUUUUUAUGUUUUAUUGCUGAUUCUGGUUUUUAUGUUGUUCCCUUCCUUUUUUCCCUUUUGAGUCUUUGAUUUUUUUGUUAUGUCAGCCUGUUCUCUUCACUGUUUCCCCGUUUUUCCCCUCGUUCUUUGUUUAUUUCCUCUUUUCCCCUGGGUUUUUCCUUUUUCUUUCUUUUUUCAGAACAAUCACUAUAAUACUAUCACUAUAAGUUCCAAAAACAUUAUUCCAUCAUAAGAAUUGUCUUCUUUAUUAAACUGCUUUUAGUAAUUAUUGCAAUUGUACAAGAGAAUGAACAGAGCUGCGGAUUUGUCAAAGUCUGUGCCUUAACCAGUCACACCUCCCCAACGAUGCUGGAUCACAGCAUAAACCAUAAUAAUGUCUCUCAUUUGUGAAAACUGCAAAAGGGAAGCAAGUUUUUUCUAUGUUUUCUGUUUUGCCUUUCCUUGCAUUGCUGCCUAAUUGUCUGCAUGUGUUGUUUAACUGCAGAUGUAAUGGGGAUCGUUGUUCAUGCUUUCCCUGCACGAGAUGUUUAUAUGGAAGGGACUAUGCGCCAUGGGAGAGACUAUGUCAUAGUUGACCACAGGUUACCGUUUCAUUGUGGUUUACCUUACUUUUGUCCUUCGUUUGAGCCCUUUUUCCCUGUGUUAGAUAAUCCUUUGAUUUGUGACCUUGCUGCAGUAAACUUCCAAUUCUUUUGACUUUGUGGGAGGAUUUUGAAUCUAUCGAGGGCUGUGUUAUUGAUGAAGCAAUGCCUACCAUGCCUAUUAUUAUCGCUAUGAGAGUUAGGGUCUUAACGGAAAAUUGUAUGUCGCUCUUUUUCCUUGUGCAUUAUGUUUUGUUUCCUUGAUGCCUGGUUGGUUUAUUUUUAGUUGCCUCGCUUGUUUUGUUGUACUAGAUAUAUCAUUGUCGACCCAGCCAUCUUCUGUUAUACUUGUUGCUCCUGAUGUUUUGGAGGCACGUGAGCUUGACUGCUGGUUGGUUUUUAUACUUUUGAAUUGCUGUUCAUCAGUGUGUGGCCUUUUUUAUUCUGUUAUGGGCUUACUUUUCUUUGUUGUUUCUUGUAGGUGUGAAAGAAAUGUCUCGGAAUUAGUCCAUAUGAUUUUUGACAAUAAAUCAUACGCUGAUCCGGCUAUUCUUUUACCUCCUGUUCGUGCUCCAACUCUUACUGCAAUCUCCAGCGUUGCAUCCUUCACUCGCUUUGUUAGUGACUUUCUAUUUUUAUACCGCAGCUUUUUCCUUUGCUGUUGUUUUUUCCCUUUUCU
This 92019-nucleotide long non-coding RNA is filed under the name Coffea arabica (coffee). RNAcentral describes it as "long non-coding RNA (CARA_LNC002499)". Lineage: Eukaryota; Viridiplantae; Streptophyta; Magnoliopsida; Gentianales; Rubiaceae. The record is from RNAcentral.